AGAAUCAUCACCUGAAUUUUAUAUAGAGCCUUUUGAUGAAAAUGAGGAACAUGGUCAUUUGAACUCCUGCCAGCAAGAUGUUGCAACUGAAAAUGAAAUGCUAAGCAAUGAAGCAAUUUGAUAUAUUAAAUAACUUAUAAAAAACUAUUAUGAGAUCAAACACAGAAAAUGAAUGUGUUGAUCUAGUUACAAGUUGGUUACAAGUAGUCUAUUUAUGGUGAUAGCAUUCUAUAUGGUAACUUGUCUAGCAAGUUAUCAGUUAUAACAAAUUAUAACUAACUAGUUUUUAGUGUAAUGGUGACUCUAUGAAGAUAAUGAAGGAUGAACCAAUAAAGAAACACAUGUCGGUAACCGAUCUUCUAGUAUCCGGACAACCAACCCAAUCAACAUCAGAAAACCUAGGAGUUGCAAAGAUGUUGAGCUGGGAAAGAAAAUUCCACAGCCAGGAGCUUGCUUUAAAAUGAACUUGUGUUGGAGUAGCAAACAAUUGACUGAGUUACUGAACAAUGAAGGUAAUGUACGAACGUGUGGUAAUGAGAUAUAGCAACCUGCCAAUGAGCCUUCUAAAUGAGGAAAUGUCAGAAAAAUUGGACCACUAUCUUGAUGGAAUUUGAUAGAGGGAUAAGAAGAAGUAUUGAUAGGCUUGCAAUUUAGAUGUUCACUAUCUGAUAACAGAUCUAAGCAAUACUUGCGUUGACAAAGAGAAAUGCCUUUCUAAGAUCUUGCAAUUUCUAGACCUAAAAAAUACUUGUGUGCCAAGAUCCUUGAUAUUGAUAGCAUUGUGAAGAGUGACCUUGAUUUUAGGGAAUUCGUUCAAACACAUUCUUGUUAGGAUGAUAUCACCUUCAUACACUAGAAGAAUAGUGAAAGAUGUGGGAGUAUGUUUAGUGAACAAAGAGUGAUCUGAAUGAGCUUGUUUGCAUCCUUGAGUAAGAAGUAAAGUUAUGAGCGUCUCAUACCAUUUCCUGCUAGCCUGCCUAAGACCAUAAAGUGAUUUCAGAAGCUUGUAAACUUGAUUUGGCUUGGGACAGGAGAUACCUUAUGGAAUAAGCAUGUACACUUCCUCUUGUAAUUCACCAUGAAGGAAGACAUUAUUCACAUCUAAUUGAUGUAAAUGCCACUUGUGGCUAAGGCCAGGGUCAUUUUAACGGUUGUGAUCUUCGCAACAGGUGAGAAAGUAUUAAAAUAGUCUAACAAUUGUGUACAUGCAAAUUUUGAAAUUAAAUUUUCACAAAUCAAAUAUAAACCUUUACAUUUUUUUUAAAAAUAAUUGUGAUAUUUAUUUAUUUAUUUUAAAUUUUUUUAUAAUAUUUGAUUUUUUAAGUUUGACAACAAACAUCUUUUUCCAAUCGCUCUUGAAAUGAAUUACUCUAUGUUGGGAAGCAAGCUUCAAGAAAGUUACUUGCUGAGUGUUGCUUUAGUGAUUAUCCCUGCCAAUUCGUUUGCAUAGGAAACACUGUUGCUUUAGUGAUAAUUCAAAAUUAUUUGGUAAAGGAUUGAGAUAUUUCUAUUUGUCACAUUCUCAGAUAAGGAAACUCUUGUGCGGAUAUUUUUAUCAAGUUAAGAGAUAACCACAUGAAACCUCUUGUGAUGGUUCAUGAGAUCUGCCUUGUCUCUCUCUCUACACUACUGUUAGCGGAUGUUGUAGGAAUAUCUUUUAUUAGAACGUUGUUUCUUUUUUCUUUUUCUUUUUCUCUCAUGUGACAAAAAAACAUAUCUUUAUUUUUCUUCUUUUGAACGUAGAAAAAAACUACUCUUAUGCUCAUGUAAAUUCAUGCACAACCUUGAAUUAUUUCUCAAAUCACGAAAUUGUUUUUUGGAGCUUAAUUCAAAAUAAUAAAAAAUCUUAGUUAUAAAUUGUAAGAUCUGUAACAUAGAACAACCUAGAGGUGUUUGCUAUUUAAAUUUAAUUCAACUGAUAUAUGUACUCUAUGGAGUGAGUGUGUGUGUGUGUGUGUGUGUGUGAAUGUUUGUUAAGUAUGAAAAUAUAGAUAACUAUGUUAUAUGACUUGAACUUUAUGGGAUGUCUUAUGCCAUGAUUUUGUGGUUUGCCUGACCUUGUACGUUUCGAUAGUUUUUGAUUUUUAGAGAAAAUAGCUUAUAGCUUUUCAUUAUUAAUCAAUGUUAAAAGGUACAUCAUUAAAAACUUGGGGACUUGUAACCAAAAAAAAAACUUGGGGACUAGAUAAGAAUAAAGCCUCUCUAGCAAGAGUAUGAGCGACCUCAUUCGCUCGUCUCCUUAAACUCCACCUUAGAGUUUUCGAAAUAAACAUUGCGGCAUCUUUUGCAAUCCUCCAAUAUUGCUCCAAAUUCAGAAACAUUGUUGCUGCCUUUGUUAAAAUAAUCUACAACUAACUUCGCAUCCAUCUCAAAAUCUACAUUUGUAAGUUGUAGUUCGUAUACCCAUUGAAUUGCAUAGAGCAGACCCAAUGCUUCCCCAAUCUCCGGCCUACAUAUGGGAUUAGACCACAUCAUCUUUGCCUUCCUGAAAUUACCAGCAGCAUCCCGUAUACACAACCCAAAACCAACAUGAUUUAAAUCUUCCGAAAACGCCGCGUCGAUGUUGCAUUUUAGCUUACCUUGCUGCGGUUUUGUCCACUUGAUAUGUGAUGACAGCAAGCUUGAUGCUCCUACAUAAUGCAUAUUUACAUCAGCUUGCUGCACAACCAUAUGUCCAGCUGCACUACACUUCUGCUUCCUCAUAUUUGCUUCUCUCCACUCAACUAACAUCUGUUGUGCUCGAGCAGAAAUAGCCUGGCAUGUUUCUGAAAUAUUCUGCCAUAUUCGAAGAUUCCGACUCUUCCAUAAACUCCAUAAAUUCAUCGCAAACUGUUCGAAUUUCUCCUUCGUUAAUUCUUUGAGUAGAGCAAGGAUGAUUUCAGCCGCUGUGUUAUGAUUAAGCAUCACCGAACUCACUUUGUCUACCAUUGAACAAUUUAACCAAACAUUUCUUGCUUUAGGACAAUCAAAUAGAACAUGAGUCGUAUCCUCGUAACAUUCCUCACACAAACCACAUAAAUAUGUGCAAUUCACUCCUUUAUCCAACAACCUGGCUUGUGUCGGUAAACAAUCCCGACAAACCCUCCAAAGAAAAUUAUUCACUUUCAGCGGAACUUUUGAGUCUCCAAAUGCUAUCCCAACUGCCUGCCCUAUGCAAGUAUGAAUUAUCUACUAUAUUAUUCACACACAAAUGGUACGCACUUUUAACCGAGUAAUGGCCGUUUUUCUCCGCCUUCCAUAUCAAAGCAUCCUCCUCCACUUGAUGAAAAAUGGGAGUUCUAAUAAUCUCCUGCACAGUAUCAUAAUCAAAAUAAUAAUUAACCAUGUUGUAAUUCCAGCCAUUAGUAUUUUGAUCAAUCAAGGAGUGGACUCGAACAUUCUGAAGCACAUCGCUAGAUUGCCCAACACCCGAAAUAACUCCCCCAUUUCUUAACCACGGGGCCUCAAACAUUGGAAUAUUUAUGUUGUUUCCAAUUUUCCAUCUAGCACCUGAUCGGACAAUCAUCUUUGCACUAAAAAUACUACGCCAAACAAAACUUGGAUUGUGUCCUACCUUCGCGUUCAAAUAAUCACUACGAGGAAAAUACCGCGCCUUAAAAAGUUUUGUUACCAGAGACUCAGGUUGGGUUUGAAACAUCCACCCUUAUUUACCCAACAUUGCUAAGUUGAAAGCCGUUAAAUCUUUAAAGCUCAUUCCACCAUAUUGCUUGUGCAGAGUAAGCUUCUCCCAAGAAAGCCAAUGAAUACCUCUAUUAUUACUUCCUCCAUGCUCCCACCAAAAAGCAUUUAGCAUUUUUUCAAUAGCAUCAAUAAGAGACGAAAGUAACAGAAAAAUGCUCAUAACGUAAGAGGGAAUGGCUUGCAAAACAGACUUAAUCAUAACCUCUCUACCAGCUUUUGACAGACAUUUACUGCUCCAAGAAUUAAUUUGAAGGUGAAAAACACAAGAAGGGGGGGGUUGAAUUGUGUUUUCUUUUUCUCUUAAAAAAGGAUUCUUCUUCUGAUAAAACUUCAGAAGCAGUUUGAUUGCUUCUGAUGAAAUGAUCAGAGUCAGAUUGCAGCGGAAAAGAACAGAGCAGAGAAAAGAAAGACAAAUACACAGGCAGUUAUCCUGGUUCCUUCCACAACACGGAAGUAGUCCAGUCCCCCUUGCACUUCCAAGGAGAUUUCACUAUAAUCACAAGAUUACAACUGCUCAAUACUUUCAAAGUAUGAGACUUCACAAAACAAUGCUCAAGCACACACGCAAGAGUCUUCCAAUGCUCAAGCACUAAGCAAGAGACUUCUAAUGCUCAAGCACGCAGGCAAGAGACUUCUAAUCAAACAAAAAUACAGAGAAUUGAGUUUGAAUUGAACACUUGAUAUACAAUCAGUGGUGUUCACAAUACAAUACAGAAAAGACUCUAGACUUUGAAUUUCUAAGAUGUAUCAAAUCAGUGCAGAAAUUCAGUGUGCUUUGUAGAAUCAAAUUGACAGAGUUUUCGCGCUUUUGAACUUAUGUAUCUCUAUCUAAAAUCUUCAAGUCUUCAUUCCUUUAUAUAGAGGCGUGAAAGAGACGUUGAGAUAAUCAGCACGUCUAAAGAGUCGUUUGAAAUCCUUUGAUUAUCCACCAGUGAUCCUUUGCCUGAUUUGGGUGUAGUCCUUUGAAGAAUAAACUUCAAAUUCAUUCCCAUCUUGAGUGUACAAAUUCUGCAGGCAUGGCUGUUGUUUUGUCUUGUAGCGUAGACAGAAAACAGAGUAGUGGUGGUAGUGGUUGUACACUUGUACUUUGUCAACUCUAUUAAUGAGAGACAAGUGCUCAGUGCUAUCCAUAUAUCCGUUGAUACCUCCCUUUCAAUUCUUCAUUCUUCUUUGAUAAGACUGAAUUGAGAAUCAGCAACUUUGAAUCUUCAGUUUGACUAAAGGAUCAAAUGUAGCUUCUGGUGAAAAUAUUGCUUCUGAUGAAAACUUUUGCUUCUGAUGACUUUCUGCUUCUGAUGACUUUCUGCUUCUGAUGACGUCAUCUCUUCAGGAGCAGUUUAGCUUCAGGAGCAGUUUUCUUCAGAUGCUCAGAAUUUCUUUUUUCUUUCCAUUGUUCUUCCAAGACCUAUUGAAAUAACUUGAGUAGCCUUUGGUCCUGUACACUUGAACAAUUAUUAGUAAUAACCAAUUGACAAUUUUUAAUACCUUGUUAUCAUCAAAACUUAAUAAGGUUCAUUGUGAAACACAUUUUGUUCCAACAAUCUCCCCCUUUUUGAUGAUGACAAACAAUAGUAUUUAAAAUGUUCAAUUGUUGUUGAUCUAAUUAAUAAGUUGACUACUGGGACAGAGGUUUGUAAGCUCCCCCUGAGUCUAAUAGUUCUUUAAGGUGAGGUUUGUAAGCUCCCCCUAAGUUCUAUUCUUAUUAAUUAAAUUUCAAUAAAAUACUUAUAAAAUCAAAUCAGAAGUAUUUAAAAGAAAUUUAGAAGUGGUUAUAGUAGGGCUCAGUGCCUUAACAAAUACUAUACAUUUACUCCCCCUUUUGUCAUCAACAAAAAGAGUAGAAACAAAAGAAAGAGUAUCAGAGCAAAACAAAACAAAAGAAUAAACAUAUAACUUUUAAAGAUAGUAUUUUCAGAAUUAAAGCUUGUAAAACAUAUUGAAGGUGAAAAAGCACAAGAUUCAGAAACAAUGAUAAUAUAUAUAGAAAGAAAGAUUAAGAUACAAAGACACAGCUACUAAGAACAAAAGUAAAAAACAAGUUGGAGUUGGGUGUGCAACUAAGGUUGGGCUUGCUUAUACAACUGUUCUAAGAGAUACUUGAUCUGAUCAUCCUUCUUCUGAAGUAGCUCAUCCUUUUCCCUCAUUCUUCGUUUAAAUCCAGCCUGAAUUCUAGCAGCCCUAGUGAUGUACUCUUCUUCUGGAUAGAAAGGAGUGAUGUCCAGCAGAGGCACAAAAUUCAGCUCUUUCUCCUUAGCUGCUUCAUGCAUAUCAUCCAAAAGCUUUUUCAGCAUAGCAGAGUGAGAUGACACACAUUUAGUUCUAAGCUGAUCCAGCAGCUCAUCAAAGCUCUUCUGUAGAUCCAUCCACUGAUCAUAAUAGUGAAUAGGAGGUGCAGGAACUGUUCUGCGAAGAAUCAGUGCCUGAAUCUCAUCACUAAGUCUGAUCAGUUGUUCCUCUAUAUACUCAGACUCCAGGAUAUGGUCAGGGAUGGGUGAAGGUUCAGUUUGAGUUGUAUUUGAUAUGGAAGGUUGGUCAGAGGUUAAGUCUAUUAUAGUGGGUGAAUCUGGUUGUUGUUGUUGUUCUGUUGUUUGGUCAGAAGGUAUAUGUUGGUCAGAAGUUGUUUGGUCAGGAGCAACUUGUUCAGAGGAAGUUUGCUCCUGAACAGUUUGCUCAGGGAUGGUUUGGGUUUCUGUUUGGGUUUCCAAGACAGUCUUUUCAGGAACUGUCUUAGAGGCCUUAGUGGGUGUUGGUUGCAUUUCACCACCUAGAUGUUUUUCUAAGUUGUGAAGGGUUGAGUAUUCUUGGUGUUGGGGGGUUUCUGAAGUAGUUGCAUCUGAAGCUACUUCAGAGGCUUUUUGUGUGGUUGAGUUAUGUGGUGAGUUUGUUGUAGGUUCUGGGUUGGGUUGAGGUUGUUGUACACUAACAGGUUCAGGAUUAUCUGGAUAGAGUGGAUGAGUAGGAGGCAAAUUGAAUUUCUCACAAAGUUUAAUUCUAUUCUUAGAAAAUUCUAUUUGAGUUUGCUCCCAGUCAAGUGUUCCUAAAUCUGUUAGUUUGGUAGGUUUGGUUUUUAGAAGCUUGUCUAUGUGUUGGCUAAGGGGUUGGUCAUCUGAUUCUGUUGAUGAUGAAGAGGGUGAAGAGGGUAGAGAUGGAAUCUGAGUAUUAGUUGGAGCGUUAGAUGGAUUACCUGAAGACUGAGCUUCUGGAUGAACUGCUUCUGGAGCUUCUGAAGCUGGUUCUGAUGAAGUUGCUCCUGAAGCUUGCUUAUUCUUCAAGGCUUGAGAAAGCAGAGUUGCUCCAUACUUAACAGUUUCUAACUCCGAUGCUAAAGCAGCAAUGUCAGGAGUAGGCACAUACCCUGCAGCCUUGAGACGUUCAUCCCUUUCUUUUUCAUACAAAAUCUUCAUCCUUUUCUUUUCUGCUAUCUUGGAUGCAGCAACCUCCCUAGUAUACUGCUCCAUUUCUUCAGUCAUUUCGAAACUGGGCAUGACUAUGGGCUCAGAAGUUGCAGUCCUUUUUGCUUUCUUAGGGCUUGAGUCUUCAUCCCAGUUCUCUUCCAGUUCUUCCAACAUUUGUGCCCUUCUUCCUUCACCUGUCUUCAGAUUUCUUGUUAAAUUAGACCUUUUCCUUUUGAUGGUCUGAAGAGCAGCUUCUCUUUUAUUUUUGGGACUUGGAGGCUUUUCAGAAGCAGCUUGAUCAGAAGCAACUUGUUCUGAACCAGCUUGUUCAGAAGCAGGCUGUUCUGCUGUUUCUUGAGUACUCCUUGUCCUUUUUCUGAUAAGAGGGACAUCUUCCAAAUCUUCCACUUCCUCAAGAAUGGUGGACAUAGCAGAUUUUACCUUCUUAGCUUUCUUAUGCUUCUGAGCACCCACCUCAGUAGCAUUUUCAGCAAGGUAUUCUUCCUUGGUGAUCUGCUUCUUCUUAGAUUUUCUGCUUUUGGCCACAGGCAGCUCACCACCAUACAUUUGGUCAGGAACAUCCUUCAAGCUGAUUUUCUGGUUAAAGGAUUUGUAGUGAUCCAUGAUAUAUGCCCUUUGAACCUCCAAGGGAUCUUGUUUACAGAUGGGAGGAAAGUCUGGGAUAAGAUCUGAUUUGGCAUCAGAAGGUUUCAAGUCAGUAGGACUCUUCUUCACAUCUUUUGCUUUAAUCAGAUGCAUAGCCCUUAGAGUCUCACCAUUGAUAAUCUUCCCUCUAACAGUUCCCAACUGUUCAUCUGUGAAGAUCUGAGCUUCUUUCAGCAUCUCAAUAAUUCCUCCCUGAUGGAAAAUCUCAGAGAGUAGUCUUCCAUAGGGUACCCAAGACCUUUUAUUCAGUUGACUCUCUCUGAGUUGAUGAACCAUAUGUCUGAAUAUGUAUCUGGGAAUAUUUGCCUCUACACCCUUUAUGACAAAGUGUAAGAGGAUUUUAUGUUCCAGAGAGGGCUGAUCACCACCACCACCUUUUGGUAGUAGGUUUUCGUUCUGAAUCUUCAACAUAACCUUUGUCUUGGUGUUCAUGUCAGAAUAGGCAAAGUCCUUUACCUUGUUGUAGAGAGUUUUGUUAACAAUAGCAUUCCAGGGGCUGUCCUUUGGCUUUGAAAUCCCAGCCUCAUGUUCUCCUUCUGCUGGUCUUCUGAUGACAAAGGCAAUAGUGUCCUCAGUGAUCCAGACACGGAUUCCCAUGAUGCUUGAUCUUAUCUGGGUUUUGGAGAAAGUUUCCAAGCCCAUUUCCGCUCUAGACUUCCCUUUGAGUUCAGGAUUGAGAAGAACUUUUUCAUCUUCUUCAAUCUUGGCGGCUUCCCUGUCGUAGAUGCUGGCUCUAACCCAGAAAUGACGAACCAGUGUUUGAUAAGUUGGUCCAUUUAGAAGAUUGAAGUACCUUCCCAGACCUUGUUUCUCGUAGUACUUGCCAAUGUCACAGUCGUGAGCGGCCAAAGAAUCAAAAUCCACCGGACUUUCUGAUUGAAUGUUUAAUUCCCAUUCCUCCAAGGACAUAGUUCUUCCUUUGAUUUCAUAAGCAGGAGUAUCUAUAUCCAUAUUCGAUGAAGAACCACCGGCAGAACUUGAAGAUGCCAUUGAUAUGAAGUGGUUUAAGGGUUCUAAAGAGUUUUUGAGAGGAUGAGAGAAUGUGCUUACUUACACAGAGGGUUGAGAAGAAAUUAGAAAGUGUUUGUUGUGAAGUGAGAAGUGUGUGAAAUGACUUAGUGUUUUUUAUUAAAACGUUUGUAAUUCAGAAGGGACAAACAAACACAGCAUUAAUGACAAAUUGGGGGCGCGUGUAAGUAUGUUAAAAAGCGAAUAAAAACAUCAUUGCCCUUUUUGUUAUACUCCAAUACAAAUAGACCACGUCAGAGACUCUUCAGAAAACUACCUUUUGGGUAAUGGGACAGCUGUUACAUAAAGUAACUGCCAGCGUUCCCACUAACCAAGCUAUUCAGAAGCAAAGAAUAACACUUCUGAAGUUUUAGUGCUGACGUCAUCUUCAGAAGCACAUUUUCCUCAGAACCUCAGUUAAGAGCUUCUGAUGAACCAAAAAUGCUCCUGAAUAAACUUCAGAACCAAACUUCUUAUUCAGAGGCAAGCCAUUUUUCAAUCAGACACAAAAUGCAUGUUCAAAUUUUUCUUAAUAAAAUCAAAUCUUUCAACAGACAAAGGUUUUGUAAAUAUAUCAGCCCAUUGAUGUUCAGUAUCAAUGAAUUGUAUAUCUAAAAUUCCUUUUUGAACAUAGUCUUUGAUAAAAUGGUGUUUGAUUUCAAUAUGCUUGGCUCUUGAAUGUAGAAUUGGAUUCUUUGACAAACAAAUAGCAGCAGUAUUAUCACAAUAAAUGGGAAUACUGUUAGCAUUGAUCUGAUAGUCUUCCAACUGAUGUUUCAUCCAAAGUAGUUGUGUGCAACAACUUGCAGCUGAAAUGUACUCUGCUUCUGCUGUAGACAUAGCAAUAGUUGCUUGUCUUUUGCUUGCCCAGGAUAUCAGAUUCUCUCCCAGGAAUUGACAAUUUCCACUGGUUGAUUUUCUUUCAAUCCUAUCACCAGCAUAAUCAGCAUCACAGAAUCCAAUCAACUUAUAAUCUAGGGAUUUCCUAUACAGGAGUCCAAGAUUAGUUGUUCCUUUCAGAUACCUGAAGAUUCUCUUAACUGCAGUUAAAUGAGAUUCUCUAGGAUCUGAUUGAAAUCUUGCACACAAGCAUACACUGAAUAAAAUAUCAGGUCUAGAUGCAGUGAGGUAUAACAGAGAACCAAUCAUACCUCUGUAUAGCUUCUGGUCUACUACUGUUCCAGUAUCUUCUUUGCUUAAGGUGCAGGUUGGAUGCAUUGGAGUGUUCAUCACUUUACAAUCUUCUAGCUUGAACUUCUUCAGAAGCUCCUUUGUAUAUUUUGUUUGAUGAACAUAUACUCCUUCUUUACUUUGGUUGAUUUGAAUUCCCAGAAAGAAUUUCAAUUCUCCCAUCAUACUCAUUUCAAAUUCAUCCUGCAUUAACUUAGAAAAUUCUUUGCAAAGAGAUGCAUUAGUAGAACCAAAUAUUAUAUCAUCAACAUAUAUUUGCACAAUCAAAAUAUCUUUCUUAAGAGUCCUUCUGAAGAGUGUUGUGUCAACUUGUCCUCUUUCAAAAUCAUUUUUAAUUAAGAAAUUACUUAGUCUAUCAUACCAAGCUCUGGGAGCUUGUUUCAAGCCAUAUAGUGAUUUCUUAAGUUUAUAAACAUGGUCAGGAUGCUUAAGAUCCUCAAACCCAGGAGGUUGUUUAACAUACACUUCUUCUUCAAUGACACCAUUAAGAAAAGCACUUUUGACAUCCAUUUGAUAUAAUAUUAUGCCAUGAUUAAUUGCGUAGGAUAGAAGUAACCUGAUUGCUUCCAAUCUUGCAACUGGAGCAAAUGUUUCAGUGUAAUCAAUGCCUUCUUGUUGACUGUAGUCUUGAGCAACAAGUCUGGCUUUGUUUCUGGUUACUUCUCCUUGUUCAUUCAGCUUGUUUCUGAAUACCCAUUUUGUUCCAAUAAUGUUCUUCUGAGAAGGUUUGGGUACCAGAUCCCACACAUCAUUCCUUUGGAAUUGAUUUAGCUCUUCUUGCAUAGCUAAUAUCCAUCCAUCAUCUGAGAGAGCUUCUUCAACAGUUUUAGGCUCAAUUAUUGAAAGCAGUCCUAUUAAAGACUCUUCUUGUCUAAAAUGUGAUCUUGUUCUUCUAGGACUAUCUUUGCUUCCAAUGAUUAACUCCUCAGGAUGUGAAGAUUUGUGCUUGAAUUUAGGUUGAAUAACCUGCUGAGUGUUAUCUUGAAAGUCCUCAGAAGCACUUUCAUUCUGUACUUUUGGGCUAGGUUCUGCUUCUGAAUUAGACUCAGCUUCUGGAGUGAUUUCAGCUUCUGGACAAGAUUCAACUUCUGUAUACUUUUCAGAAUCAGAAGGUUGAUCAGAUUCUGAUGCAUCUUCAGAAUCAGUUGUACCUGCAUUACUUUCACUUUGCUCUGAAGUUUUACUUCCAGGCUCUCUAUCAUCAAAUUUUACAUGCAUAGAUUCUUCAACACAUUGUGUUUCUGAAUUAUACACUCUGUAUGCCUUUGACCUUUCAGAGUAACCUAAAAAGAUUCCUCUUUGAGCCUUGGCAUCAAAUUUCUUCAGAUAGUCUUUAGUGUUUAAGAUGUAACAAGUACAUCCAAACUGAUGAAAGUAAGAGAUAUUGGGUCUUCUUCCUUUAAAGAGUUCAUAUGUUGUUUUCUCCAACAUAGGUCUGAUAUAGAUCCUAUUUUGAAUAUAACAUGAAGUAUUGACUGCUUCUGCCCAAAAAUGUUUAGCUAAGUUGUUUUCAUGGAUCAUGGUUCUGGCCAUUUCUUGUAAGGUUCUGUUCUUUCUUUCUACAACCCCAUUUUGUUGUGGAGUUCUAGGAGAAGAAAACUCAUGGAGAAUCCCAUGUUUUUCACAAAAAAAUUCAAAUGGCUCAUUUUCAAAUUCUCCACCAUGAUCACUUCUGACUUUCAAAAUUUUCAAUUCUUUUUCAGAUUGUAUUUGAGUGCAGAAGCUGCUAAACACUUCACAUGCAUAGUCUUUACUUUUAAUGAAUUUUACCCAAGUCCAUCUGCUGUAAUCAUCAACAAUGACUAAUCCGUAUUUACUUCCAUAUAAAGAUGCAGUGUUAACUGGACCAAAAAGAUCAAUAUGGAGUAAUUCUAAGGGUCUGGAGGUUGAUACAAUGUCUUUAGAUUUGAAAGAACUUUUCACAAUUUUCCCUUUCUGACAUGCACCACAAAGUGCAUCUGAAUGAUAAUCAAUGUUAGGCAAUCCUUUGACCAGUUGUAACUUGCUAAUUUUAGAAAUUAAUCUCCAAUUAGCAUGUCCCAACCUUUUAUGCCAUACCCAUUUUUUAUCAUUCAUUGACAGAAGGCAAACUACCUUCUGAUCAGCCAGAUCAGAGAAAUUUAUUUUAUAAACAUUCUCAACUCUCUUUCCCUUGAAUGUAAUGGAUUUGUCAUCCUUGUUGACUAGUGUGCAGUUGGUCUUACUGAACGUUACAUCAUACCCAUUGUCACAAAAUUGACUAAUGCUCAAUAGGUUAUGCUUCAGACCAUCUACUAGCCACACAUUAUUAAUUGAGAUGGAGGAAUUACCAAUAGUACCUGUACCAAUGAUCUUUCCAGUUUGGUUGCCACCAAACUUCACUUCUCCUCCAUCUUUCAUUGUAAGGGUAAGGAACAAAGCUUUCUCUCCAGUCAUGUGCCUUGAACAUCCGCUGUCUAGGUACCAUGACCUUUGUUUCUCUCUUGCCCUUAAGCACACCUGCAUUUUUGGCCAAUUCAGAUUUAGGUACCCAUAUCUUCAUGGGUCCUUUUGGGUUAGUUUUGGAGGUUUUACUUUUCCUCCCUUGUACCUUAGGGUGAAUGCUGAGUGGCUUCUGAUCAUUCAAUACUUUGGGUUUGACACCUUUUGGUAUUGUUUUCUCAGAAGCAGUAGCUGCUUUGUUCUUCUGAUCCUUUUGUUUUGGAAUUUUAGAUUCUGGUUUAAUCAGAUUCUGAUGAACAGGUUCUGAUCUUUUCAGAAUUUUAAUCUUUUGACUCUUAGGAUCAGAUUUUGUCAUUACCUUGAUCUUAAGAUUCUCUGGCUUUGAUGUGAUCUUAGCCUGUGAACCUGAAGCUUCAGGUUUUGACUGAACAGCAGUUAUAGCAUUUGUACCUUCAGGCACAAAGGUGGAUUUCAAUCCAUCCUUGAUACAAUCACAGUAGCUCUUGAGACUGUAUUCUUUGGAUUUCUCCUCAGAAUAUCCAAUCCCUUUGCCUUUGUUCUUGUAUGUGCUGUAGAUCAUAGAAGCAACUUUGCUUCUGUCUAUUCCAGCCAUAAUAAAAUCAUCCAAGGCAAUCUCAUGUUUAUUGCCUGAACCUUUAUCACAUUUUUCUUGUAGCUUCUGACAAAGACUCUUGAGUCUAUCUUCAUAUGUUGUUGAUAUGAGGUUAAACCCUUUGAGUUCUUCUUCAGAAGCUUUCAGUUCCAAUAGAGUUGAUUUUUGUUGUUUCAUCAAAUCAACAUAUUUUUCUUUUAAAUCUGUCAACUCAUUGGUUCUGUGUUCAAAUAGUGAUAAAAGUUCUUUUAGAGAAUCAACAAGUUCUUGUCUAGGGAUUUUGGAAUAUACCUCAUUUUCAUCUUCUGAAUCUGAUUCAGCUUCUGAUACUGCUUCUGAUGAUACUGUUGCCACUAAUCCAACGGCUGCCUUAGCAUCAUCAUCAGCUUCUUCUUUAUCAGAACCAGAUUCACUAUCCAAAUCUUCCCAGGUCGCCAUCAAGCUCUUUUUGAUUUGCUUUCUGAAUUUACUGGAGUUGAAGCUUGAUUUCUUGGAUUUGCCUUUAAACUUCUCCUUCUGAAGAUCAGGGCAAUCAGCAAUGAAAUGACCAGGCUUCUUACAAUUGAAGCAUCCCUUCUGAUCUUCUUUCUUGAAGUUCUUGUAGCUACCUCUCUUGCUCAAAAAUUUCUUCUGCUUCCUUGCCAGAUACUCAAGCUUGUUGGACAGCAUAGCCAUCUUUACAGAUUGAUCUUCAUCAGAAUCUCCAUCAGGUGAUUCUUCUUCAGAUUCACUGGCUUUGUAGGCUUUGGAAGACUUUGAGGUCUUUCCUUUAGAUGGUAAAGCAAUGGAUUUACUCUUCUUAGAGGUUUCAUGCUCAUUUAAACUCAUUUCAUGCACUUUGAGUGAGCUAACAAGAUCUUCAACACUUAAAGUAUUUAGAUCCUUAGCUUCCUCAAUAGCAGUUACUUUGGGUCUCCAUCUUGAAGGUAAGCUUCUCAAAAUCUUACUAACAUGAUCAGAAGCAACAUAGCUUUUCUUCAGUAUCUGCAAUCCAGAAACUAAAGUUUGAAAUCUUGAGUACAUUUCUUCUAUACUCUCAUCAUCCUUCAUUCUGAAAAGUUCAUACUGAUGAACUAGCAUCAAAGCUUUAGCCUCUUUCACCUUCUUGCUGCCUUCAAAGUUGGCACAUAGUGACGCAAACAUAGCCUUCGCAGUAGAUUUGUCACUCAUCUUCAUGUAUUCAGUGCGAGGUAUAGAAGCCACAAUAAUCCCUCUGAUUUUGUGGUGCUUCUUGUAAAGCUUCUUCUGAGCAGGAGUAUGUAUUUUUCUAUCUAUAGCAGCUCCUUCUUCAUCUAAAUCCAGGUCAUCAACUCCAUCUUCCAGUAUGUCCCAUAACUCUUCAUCUAAUCCCAUGAUAAAGCUGUACAUAUUAGUUUUCCACCAAGAAAACUCUUCUGGAUCUCCAUUAAACCUUGGAGCUUUUCCAGAGUCUGUUUUCUUGUCAGCAGUAUCAUAGUCAUGCUUGACGCUUGUGUAUUUUGGAGUAACUGAUUCCUCAUCUCCAGACAUGUUUUUCUAAUAGAUCUUGAACUGUAACACGGUUAAGUGCUGUGAUAACAGAGCAGGCUCUGAUACCAAUUGAAGGUGAAAAACACAAGAAGGGGGGGUUGAAUUGUGUUUUCUUUUUCUCUUAAAAAAGGAUUCUUCUUCUGAUAAAACUUCAGAAGCAGUUUGAUUGCUUCUGAUGAAAUGAUCAGAGUCAGAUUGCAGCGGAAAAGAACAGAGCAGAGAAAAGAAAGACAAAUACACAGGCAGUUAUCCUGGUUCCUUCCACAACACGGAAGUAGUCCAGUCCCCCUUGCACUUCCAAGGAGAUUUCACUAUAAUCACAAGAUUACAACUGCUCAAUACUUUCAAAGUAUGAGACUUCACAAAACAAUGCUCAAGCACACACGCAAGAGUCUUCCAAUGCUCAAGCACUAAGCAAGAGACUUCUAAUGCUCAAGCACGCAGGCAAGAGACUUCUAAUCAAACAAAAAUACAGAGAAUUGAGUUUGAAUUGAACACUUGAUAUACAAUCAGUGGUGUUCACAAUACAAUACAGAAAAGACUCUAGACUUUGAAUUUCUAAGAUGUAUCAAAUCAGUGCAGAAAUUCAGUGUGCUUUGUAGAAUCAAAUUGACAGAGUUUUGGCGCUUUUGAACUUAUGUAUCUCUAUCUAAAAUCUUCAAGUCUUCAUUCCUUUAUAUAGAGGCGUGAAAGAGACGUUGAGAUAAUCAGCACGUCUAAAGAGUCGUUUGAAAUCCUUUGAUUAUCCACCAGUGAUCCUUUGCCUGAUUUGGGUGUAGUCCUUUGAAGAAUAAACUUCAAAUUCAUUCCCAUCUUGAGUGUACAAAUUCUGCAGGCAUGGCUGUUGUUUUGUCUUGUAGCGUAGACAGAAAACAGAGUAGUGGUGGUAGUGGUUGUAACACUUGUACUUUGUCAACUCUAUUAAUGAGAGACAAGUGCUCAGUGCUAUCCAUAUAUCCGUUGAUACCUCCCUUUCAAUUCUUCAUUCUUCUUUGAUAAGAAUGAAUUGAGAAUCAGCAACUUUGAAUCUUCAGUUUGACUAAAGGAUCAAAUGUAGCUUCUGGUGAAAAUAUUGCUUCUGAUGAAAACUUUUGCUUCUGAUGACUUUCUGCUUCUGAUGACUUUCUGCUUCUGAUGACGUCAUCUCUUCAGGAGCAGUUUAGCUUCAGGAGCAGUUUUCUUCAGAUGCUCAGAAUUUCUUUUUUCUUUCCAUUGUUCUUCCAAGACCUAUUGAAAUAACUUGAGUAGCCUUUGGUCCUGUACACUUGAACAAUUAUUAGUAAUAACCAAUUGACAAUUUUUAAUACCUUGUUAUCAUCAAAACUUAAUAAGGUUCAUUGUGAAACACAUUUUGUUCCAACAUAAUUUUCUGCCAAACUCUAUCUUUAGUAAAGCUGAAGGUUGCUUGUUUAUUCCUUCCUACCAUAGAAGGAAACCCAGAUAUUUACCUGUAACAAGAACUGGAUAUACUCUGAGGAUUGAUGUAAUCAUUUGUUGGACAUUAUUAUCAACAUUCCUACUACAGUAAAUUUCAGACUUCGGCAAACCGAUUGCCUAACCUGAAGCCGCCUCAUAAGUGGUAAGGAUUUCCUUCAUUUUAUGUGCUUCCUCCUCUGAAGACCUGAAAAAUAAGAAGCAAUCGUCGGCAAAAAGAAGAUGAGUAAUCAUAGGUGCAUUCCGACAAAUUUUUGCUCCAUGAAUUUCUCCACGAACUUCAACUUGCGUAUUAAAGCAGAAAGCCCUUCAACACACAAAAUAAAUAAAUAUGAGGACAACGGAUCCCCUUGGCGAAACCCUCUUCCUGGAAUUAUAGGCCCCACUCACUCUUGAUUUACUAACACCGAGUAAUCAACAGUUUCAAUACACAUCAUGAUCCAAGUCACCCAUUGGUGACAAAAACCCAUUGUCAUCAUCACCUCCUUCAAGUACAUCCAAUCUAUUCUGUCAUAUGCCUUGCUGAUAGGGUUGGGAAUAGGCCAGGCCGGCCUACAGGGGCCUACGGCCUGGCCUGUUUUGGCCUGGCCUGGCCUGGACUGUUUAGUAGAUAGGCCUAGGCUUAGGCUUUUAGGAAAGCCUGUUUAGUUAAAUAGGCCAAGCUUAGGCUUCAAAAAAAGACUGUUAAGCCUAAUAGGCCGGCCUAUUAAUACUUAUUUAUUAAAAAAAGAAAAAUCAUAUUAAAAUAAUUGCAUAUAUUAAAAAUAUAAACCUCUUUUUCUCUAUCUAUUAGUCCCUUAAUAGGCUUUGUUGUUAUAGGCUUUUAUGUAGGCUUUAAUCUAGUUGAAAUUUACUUGUAGUGAAAUAGGCUUUUAAGUAGGCUUUAAGACAUGUUUAACCUAUUUAGUAGGCAAAAUGAACUAUUUGAUAGUCUUAAUGUGAAGUAGGCCUGUAAGUAGGCUUUCAGGUCAGUCCAGGCUUUUAAAUAGGCCAGACCAGGCCUAGAAAAACGACCUAUGAUAGGCCAUAGGCCAGGCUCAGGCUUGUGAUUUAUUUCGUAGGCCAGGCUCAGGCCUAUCAAAGCCUGGCCUAUUCCCACCCCUACUUGCUGAUGUCAAGCUUCAACGCCACAUUGCCUUUCUUACCAACAGUUUUCAGUUUCAUAUAAUGAAUCACUUCAAUAGCUACCAUUGCAUUAUCUAAGAUAGACCUUCCAGGAACAAAAGCAGACUGAUUUUUAGAAAUACAUUUAUCCAACACUGUCUUUAACCUGUUCACUAAAACCUUCGACAACACUUUAUAAAGCACAUUGCAUAACGCUAUUGGGCGGCAAUCCUUCAUUGUCUGUUGUUCUAUACAUUUAGGAAUAAGUGCAAUAUUGGUAGCAUUUAAAGAAGCCGGAAAUUGUCCAUUACCUAACCAAGCAACACACUCCUUAAAAAUAUCCGGGCUGCAAACUUCCCAAAAAUGUUGGUAAAAACCUGGAUUAAAUCCAUGUGGCCCUAGACACUUAUCUGAGCUCAUUGAGAACAUCAAUUCCUUGAAUUCCUCUAUCUGAAAAGGCGAAGAGCAUUCAAACUUUGUUAGCUACAGAUGCCUUAAAUCGUAAAUAAUUAAUUUUGGUUUUAUUCCAAAUCUACCACCACUAUACAACACACAAAAAAUUCUCUCUUCCCACUAUCUCUUUCCUCCCACGAAUGACUCCCACCACCACCGCCUGUGUUAAGACAUAUUCAUAGGACCGUGGUACCGAAACGAUACUCUUGACAGAUCCCUUUCUCCCAUGCGUGAUUCACCAUGAAUCGGAGAUGUAUUCUCCUCCAUCUCUCCCUCCCUCUCUCUAUCUCUCUCUCUCACUCACUCUAUCUCUCUCUCUCUGUGUAUCGGCCACCACAAAAUACAAAGGGGUGUCGUUUUUCUAAUGUUGUCGUAUUAGACAUUGUGUUAAUGUGUCAUUGACUUUCCUUGUGAGCCUGUAUAUGUAAACAUAUUUGAGAUUUGAUCAUUUUGAAAAUUUGACGAUUUUGGAAAAGUUUUGAAAUACGAAUUUUAACAGAGAUAUAUGAUUUAAAUGAGCAUAUCUAUGGUACUCCUACCAGAAUCGUUGAAAGAACGGUCUAUGAAACUCGAAUAGAUUAAUAGAUUUUCCCUUUUAGCACAUUUAAGCCCUUUUUUUCUUUAUCUCUUUGUCUUUUUCCCUUUUUACAUUAUUCAAAAACCCGUACAAUUCUUCGAUUCAUAACUAUGCUUUUGUCACUUUAAACCUAUCAGCUAAGGACCCUUUAAGGAUCAAGAUCGAAUCCUAUAAUGCCCUUGGUUUUGAUUCAAGACAUUACUUUUAUUUCUUUUUCUUUUUUUUUUAGAAAUAUAGGACUAUUUUUUUUGGUUUAACCAUAGUCAUUAAUAAUAAAUGUAUAACCGAAACUUAGACAAAAAUUCAUAAAAUAGUUUAAUUAAAAUUCUUAAAAUAAAAAACCUUUAAAAUAUUAAAAAUUACAAUCAAAUCAAAAACCAAACUUUGUCCCCCUUAAGUGCUACAAGCAAAACGUCAAGUACACAUCAUCUCUUCUUUGGUACUUAAAAUAUUGGUUGUUUGUGAGGGUUAGUCUUCAACAUCCAUAAAAUAAAAUCAAUAAUAAAUUAUAACAAGAAAUAAGAAUAUACAACCAUUAUCAAGGAAUCAUAAUAAACAAUUUCAAUUUCUUAUUCAUUUAGAAUAUUAUUCACUCCAAAUGUACUAUAAAAACAAACACAAGACUCAAUGCUAAGGCAUAUGCAUGAAAAUGCAAGUGCAUAAUAAUUUUAAUCUCUCCAUUUGGCACUUAAUAAUACAUUGAAUCGUCUCAUUUGCCACUUAAUAAUUCAUUGAUUCGUUCCCAAAAUGUCAUAGAUGAGGUGCCUACGAACAAUCUCCCUACAUCCACAAAUCCCGUUUUUGAACAUGUUGACCAACAAAAGCAUUCAAAGUUCGUUGAGGUUCCAGUUCCAGUUGAUCAGACACAAGAGCGGGUUCUUAAUGAUGAUGUCAAAUUCGUGAUAUGCAGCAAAAUAUGGGGCAGAAGUUCCUUUUACACCAUACUUGACAAAGAAACAAUAGCAACAACUUAAAAGAGCAUACCAAACAUGUUAUAAGGAUGAACCAUCCCCACUUACGAAAUUAAGGUUCUAAGCUGGAAUUCGAGAUUCGAGGUACACGCUGUGCGAUUAAGCUUAGAAACUAUGGUCACUCUGAUCAGAGGUAAAUAUGGUUGGAGCCUUUACCACCAUUUCUUAGGGAGGACUUCUUUAGGACUACUUUGCCUUACCUUUUUUUCGUUUUCAUUGGUCCUCUUGUUUAUUUUGUUUUCCUUUUUAGUUUUUUAAGUAGUUUUUGUUCGGUCCCCCCUAUUUUUUUUUUUUUUUUUCAUUUUUUAAUAAAUAUUAUAUGAGUUAGGUGUCAUAGGAUGGGAGUGUCAUGGAGGUACCAAUUCAAUUGGGAUGUAUAUGAUACCCCUGAUGUUUAUCCUUUCUGUUAAUUAAUUAAAAAAAAUUGUCCCAUUUGUCACUUAAUAUUAAUCCCCCGAUUUGGCACCUAUUCCUUCAACUCACUCUUUCUUUACUUUUUUGAAGUUUUAUACUCUCAAACCACAUGACUUGUCAAUUCACAAAAUCACUAAAACUUCAUAGUGAGCAAAAUUUCAUAAGACAUCUAAACGACAAAUCAACGAAGAGUCACUUUAAAUCAAUCAAAUCUCCAAUUUCACAUAUCACAAAUCCAUUCCUUGUUUGGUGACUUAACCAGCGUAGACACAGCUAUAGUAGUACUAUUGCAGCCAAGGUAAUGGAGUAGUGGUUGUACAAUUGUAUUAUGUCCUUUUUUUGCGCUCUUCAGUGGAUAGUCAUCCAAUGCCUUCUAAUUCCUCUGAAAUAGUCAUUGCUCUAGUCUUUUAUUCCUUCUGCAAUGAUGUGUCUUCAGAAUAACAAACUUUAACUAACUACAUCUCCUUGGCUUCAGACUCUGAUGGUCUUCAGACUCUUGAUGACGUCAGACUCUGGCAGUUUGCUUCUGAUGGUCUUCAGACUCUGUCUUGCAACAUAAGCUUCCUUUGCUAAUUUCAUUGCUCUCUUUUGUUCCUUCAAAACCAAUACUUGGAUAUAAUACUUAUAAAUUAUUUUCUAUGAUCCUGCACACUUGAACAAAUAUUAGCAUAUCCAACAAUAUACUCAUAUUAGAGGUGACGAUGGACAUUAACUUUUUUUUUGACAAAAUACAAAUCAGUGAGCUUAGGACCAAAACUCCGAAAAAUUGAAAUAAAAGGACCAAAACACAAAUUCAAAACAAGGGUAUCAAAACUCUGAAACAUUUGAAAGAGAAGGACCAAAAAUCUUAUUUUUAAAAUAAGGAGGAUCAAAACUUUAUCUUUUUUAUUUUAAAAUAGGAAGGACAAAAAUGCAUUCAAGCCUUAAAAAACUACACUCUCCUCUCCCUUAGAAAACUCGGAUCUCAUUCUCCUUAAUGUUAAAAUGUGUGUUGCUAGUAUUUUUCAUUUCCUUAAUGUUAAAAUGCAUUAAAAACAAUCAUUCAAACGAGCAUGUAUGUCUACUAUUUUAACUGUGUUAACUCAUGUAAAUUAUAAACAAUGUUUAUAUUAAAUUUUUAUUAUGAUUAAUAUGCUUAAAUAGCUAAAAAAAUAUAGUAAAUUUAUAAUUUAACUUAAAUUAACAAAUUAAUAAUAACACUAAAAGAAAAAUAUUUUUUUUAUGUGUAGUAGAUGGUUCUGAUAAGAUUAAAAGUCUUUUUGUGAUGCACCUUGUACUUGACCUAUUGACCGUUAAGUUUCUUUAUUUAAAUAACAAGAUCGGUUUGACCUACAUAUGACUUAACUUUGGUCGUAAGUCUCUAUCCACAUAUUUGACUUAUUGUAACAGUUACGUAAGGUUAUUGUGCCAUAUGUCAUCUUUAUCGUUGAUUGACACCUCAUAGACAAUAUUUUUAAUGAAUUGUUUUGUUUGACUCAAUAAAAAUAAGAAAUUUUUGUCUUUUCCUAUUAAAUUUGACUUUUUUUUUACUUUUUUCUAAAUUCAAAAUUUAAAUAUUCUAAGUGUAGUUUUGUAGUUAAUUUUUGGUUUGUAGGGGCCUGAAUUUGAACCUACAGAUUCCAUACUUCUCUGAACUUAUUAUAUGAGUCUAAACACUAGGCUACUUGACAAAAAAAUUCAACAAAAAAUAAUAUGAUAAUGUUUAUCCUUUUAUUAUGAAUAUAAGUAGAUUGUGCUAAUAAGAUUAAAAGUCUUUCUGAUGCGCCUUGUACUUUACCUAUUGACUGUUAAUUUUCUUUAUUUAAAUAAUAAGAUUGGUUUGACCAACGCAUGAACUACCCUUGGUAGUUAAUAAUAAGAUAGGAUUACUAUAUUUUUAGGGAAUAUUCUAAGUGUAAUUCGGUAGUUAAUUUCAUGGACAUUGGUUUGUAGGGGCCUGAAUUUGAACCUACAUAUUUCAUACUUCUCUGAACUAAUUAUUAGAGUCUAAACACUAGACUCAAAAAGUUCAACAAUAAAUGAUAAGAUAAUGUUUAUCCUUUUAUCAUGAAUAUAAGUAGAUUGUCCUAAAAAUAUUAAAAGUCUUUCUGAUGCGCCUUGUACUUUACCUAUUGACUGUUAAGUUUCUUUAUUUAAAUAAUAAGAUUGGUUUGACCUACGCAUAACGUAACUUUGGUCGUAAGGCUUAUCAAUAUUAUUGACUUACUUUAAUGGUUACGUAAGGUUAUCGUGUCAUAUGUCAUCUUUAUCGUUGAUUUAAUACCUCACCGUCAAUAUUUUUAAUGAAUUCUUUUCUUUGACUCAAUAAAAAUAACAGUUUUUAUCUUUUCCUAUUAAAUUUGACUUUUUCUUGAUUGUGUUCUAAAUUCAAAAUUUAAAUAUUCUAAGUGUAGUUCGGUAGUUAAUUUCAUGGACAUUGGUUUGUUGGGGCCUGAAUUUACUCCUAGAGAUUCCAUACUUCUCUGCACUAAUUAUAUGAGUCUAAACACUAUGCUACAUGACAAAAAAAUAAGGUUAACUGUUACAUAAGGUUAUCGUGUCAUAUGUCAUCUUUAUCGUUGAUUUGACAUCUGAUAGACAAUAUUUUUAAUGAAUUGUUUUGUUUGACUAAAAAAAUAAACAGUUUCUUUCUUUUUCUAUUAAAUUUGACAUUUUCAAGAUUGUGUUCUAAAUUCAAAAUCUAAAUAUUUUAAGUGUAGUUCGGUUGUUAAUUUCUUCAACAUUGGUUUGUAGAGGCUUGAAUUCGAACCUACAGAUUUCCUACAUCUCUGCACUUAUAGUGUGAGUCUAAACACUAGACUACUUGACAUUCAACAUUUAGUAAUAAUAUAAUGUUUAUCCUUUUAUUAAGAAUAUAAGUAGAUUGUCCUGAUAAGAUUAAAAGUCUUUCUGAUGCGCCUUCUUCUAAGGGUAUUGACUGUUAAGUUUAUUUAUUUAAUAAAAAGAUUGGUUUAACCUACGCAUGACGUAACUUUUGUCGUAAGUCUCUAUCAACAUAUUUCACUUAUUUUAAUUGUUACGUAAAGUUACUGUGUCAUAUAGCAUCUUUAUCGUUGAUUUUACACCUCAUAGACAAUAUUUUUGAUAUAUUGUAUUGUCUACUUACUAUAUUAUAAAGAUAAAUCCCUAUGAUUUUACCAUUUUGCCCCUAUGAGAGGCAUUUUUGUAAUUUCCUAUUGAUGGGGUGUGGUUAGUGUCACCUCAUCAUUUUUAGGGUGCAUUUCCCAUUUUGCCCCUCACCAUUUUUUUAAUUAUUUUAUAUUUUAAUAACUUUUAACUAUUUUGAAAUUUUUAUUUUUUUAUCCAUUUUUCAAUUUUUUCACCCAAAUUCAGUUGCUUCUACAUUGCCGUUGUGGGAUAUUAAGGUAUCAUUUGACCCAGCUUUUUUCCAACUUCCCUACACUUUUAAGGAGAAGUUAGGUCAAACACACUAUCAAUUAUUUUAAUUUCAAUAUUGUUUAAUCAUCACAACCUCACAAAUAUUUUUAUUCACACUGUCAUUUAAUGAUACCAAAUACUUUUAUUUCCUUUCUUCAACCUCGCAAAUAUUUACACACAUUAAUGUUUAGAGUAAUUUUUUAUGUCUGUCUGUCUGUGUUUUUGUUACGCUGAUGCAAUUUCUUUUAGUGUUGCUUGAUUGAGUGCUACCUCACCGAUUUUUUUUAACUAUUUUCCAAUUUUCAUAUUUUUAAAAACUUUUGACUAUUUUCCAAUUUUUUUAUUUUUAACUAUUUCCCAAUUUUUUCUUCCAAAUUCAGUUGCUUCUACACUGCCGUUGUGGGAGAUUAAGAUACUAUUUGACCAGUUUUUUUUUCAACUUCUGUACAUUUUUAAGGAGAAGUUAGGCCAAGUAUAAUAUCAAUUAAGUACUUACUAAAAAAAGUACUUUCUUUUAAUGCAUAAAAUUGAAUGGAAUGAGUUUUGGCCAAAAGUUGUUGAAUGCUACUUCAAAAACUACUUCUCGACAAUUUAUUUAACAAGCAUCUAUCUUAUAUUCACGUUGGGAACCUUUUCUUUUAUUUUCUAAUAUUAUAUUUCAAUAUGUUUUUUUUUCUUCCAUUUAAUUUUUUUUAGCCGAUCCAUUUAAUUUUUUUAAGGAGGUUUCAUUUAAUUUUAUUACCUUUUUUUCAAAGAAAUUUUAUUAUCUUUUUAUCACUUAUAUAUUUAAUUUAAAUAUCGUUUAAUCAUAACAACCUCACAAAUAUUUUUAUUCACGCUAUCAUUUAAUGAUACAAAAUAUGUUUAUUUUCUUUCUUCAACCUCACAAAUAUACAGACACACAUAUUAACGUUUAGAGUAAUACUUUAUGUGUGUCUGUUUUUUUGUUACACUAAUGCUAUAAUUUGUAUAAAAUUUUGAUUUUAAUUAAAAGUAAAAUUAUAGAUGUCUUUACUUCAAAAAAGGCAUAGAUGCCUAAAAAAAUUAUACUUAUCUUUUAUAUAUAUAUAUAUAUAUAUAUAUAUAUAUAUAUAUAUAUAUAUAUAUUGUCAUAUCCCAAAUUUGGACCAUUUGAAAUCUUUCUUGUCCGCAUUUUAUAUUAGUCCAGAUUCUCUUUUAUGCGUUUUUUUUACCUUUUAAAACUCGUGUUUUUCGUCAUUAAUCAUUUAAAGACUUUCAUCUGGCAUUUAAGUCCUCGCUCGCUUUUUUUACAAUAUUUAAAAUCACUUCAUUUGAAUUUUUAUAAACGCAUUUUAUAAUCCUUUUAGUCAUAACAGGCAAGUCAUUUUAAAAUGGCUAAUUGUAUUUUAAAAGGCGUGUCUUUUUAAAUCAUUUCAACCGAAAUUCCGGCAGGGAGGAUACUUUGAAGUACCUCAUGUCAGAUUCCGAAGGGACUUUUUAUUUUUUUAUUUUUUUUUAUUUGUCUUUUUUUAGUUUGUUUAUUUUUAUUUUAUUUUGUUAUUAUUAUGUUUUUUAUUUUUUUAUUUUUUUUUAUUUAAAAAAAAAACAAAGAAAGAAAGAAGACUCACGUCUUCCUCUCUUCUUUUCUUUUUUCUUUUCUUUUUCUUUUCUUUUUAUUUAUUUUAUUUAUUUAUUUAUUUAUUUGUUAAGCUUUUGUCCCCAAGUCUCAGCUGCAGGGGCAUUUUGGUCAUUGUUUUGCACCAGAGCCAACCCUAAUUUGUCACUAUAAGUACACAGCAAUCAUUGGGAAAUGGGUCCAAAAAAAAUUCACUGUUCACACGCGUCAGAGUCAGAAAACGGGUCAGAUUGGUCCCUAUCAUACCACAAACACUUUUCCCUUUCUCUCUCAUCUAAAUUCCAGAUCUAACACUAAAAAAAUCAAAGAAAAUGAUGAACAUUCAUAUGAGUUCAUCAUAAACCUUCAUUUUUUUCCAGAAAUUCACCUCAAACCUCACGUAAUCCCGAACAACAGUCACGAAUCAUUUCAUUUCACCCAUACACAAGUUGUUUCAUUCUCGGAUUUAGAACAACAACCAUACCAAAACGUAAAUCCAACCCAAACAAAACCGGUUCCAAGCUUCAAAGAACCAGAUCGGAGCUAAAUAGACCGGAUUCGCGAGAAAGGAAACGGAACGCGCACAUAAAGAAAGAACAAGAGCAAAUCGGACCAGAAACAACAACAACAAAGCAAAAAGAGGUAAAAAAAAUUCAAAUCUUCAUUUGUAGAUCUAGCUCAAAUUUCUCUACCCUUUUUAAAACUAAUACCGGAUUCGAGUAGAGGAAGGGAAGAGGAGUGGUUUGAUGUAAAAAAAUUUCGAAAAAAAGCAAAAAAAAAACUCCGGCGCGACGGCGCUCCGGCCGACCACCGCGCCGGAGCAGCUCCGGCCGCCCCUCCCCCACCUUCUUCUCCGGCGAGAUUCCUAGAGAGAAGUGGGAGCUUCUCUCUCUAGGUUUUUAGAAAGAGGUUUUUUGUGAAUUGUGUUAUGUUUUUUUUGUUAGAACUCUUUUAUAAUGCUUUCUUUUUUGUUGGAUCUUGUGCACAUGCGCAUACUGCAAUUCAGUGCUCCAUCGCGUUACAGCCCUUGGAUCUGGAUCAUUCCUUGAUCUGAGGGCUCCUGUGUAUCUUGAUUUUGGAUCAGGUGGAUUUUUUUUCUGCGUGAGUAUGGUGUGGUUUCUGUUUGGACCAUCAGAUCGUUGAUCUGACGGUCACUGUGUUUUCAGUAUAAUCCCUUUGUUUCUAUGUUGUUCUUGUGACCCUUGGAUCGUUGGAUCCAAUGGCUGUGAUGAAUCCAGUGAAUGAAUCUGGACUAUUGAUUUAAUCCAAUGGUCCAGAAUUAAUCCUGCUGAGCCAAUGUUUUAUUAUUUUUUAUUUUUAAUUAUCUUUAUUUUUUUAAAUACUGUUUUUACACUUUGUUGACAUUUUUGUGGUUAGAAAAAUUCCAAAAAAUAUUUUUUCUCACUAUUUUAAUUUUCCCUAAUUUUAAAAAUCCUUUCUAUUUGUUUUCUUUUGUGUUUUUUGUUUAUCUCUUAUAUGAUGACCUUAAUUUUUAUUUGUCUUAAUUCUUGCUUAUUAUUUCUUAUGUCUCAUUCAUCAUAAUAUUUCUUGUGAUUACUAACUAUUUAAUUUUUGUCUUGAAUCAUAGCAUGCACAUUUAAUUUUCUCAUUAUUUUAUUUUGUCAUUGACUUAGUAUGUAUAAAUAGGGAAUUGAUGUAAUUUUAUUUCUUGCAUUUUAUUUUGGCAUAAAGGCCUUAGGGUUGUAUCUAGGAAUUGAUGUAAUAAUGUAGGUAACACAAGCACCGACACAUGCACCGACACUACCACAUUUUAUUUACCGCUUUCCGUUAGUUUUUACGAUGUUACGUUAGUUAUCACCGUUAGUUUAGAAAAAACCUUUUUAUCAAAAAAAAUCAAAUAUGUCAAAUUCAAAAAAAAAAUCAUUUUCUUAGCAACAUUUUCUCUUUAUUUUCUUAAUCAAAUUCUCAAUCAAUCUUAAUUCAACUUCAACCAUUUCUUUUCAAAAAUCAAUCAACCUCACUCAUUUCUUUUAUCUCAUGCCUUGAGGCCUCUUUCUCUUCUUAAAACUCAUUUUCAAAAAAUCUUAAAAUCAACCUAACCCACCAAAGAAAUUCUUGAGUGGAACUACGUCGGUUUUGAUCCCUUCCCAAAAGGGUAUGUAGGCAGAGGACUCGUCCUUCCAAAUCAAAUAAAAAUAACCAAAAACAUACUUCUUCUCCCUCCAUUCUUUCACUUAGAUUUUAGGUAAUAAUUUUUCAAGUAAGCCAAAUGAAUUUAGCACAAGAUAAUUUAGGUAAGCGGUUCCUUCGGAGUACCGAAGUCGUUUAGGGUGCUUAACACCUUCCCUAUUCGAAACCAACCCCCGAAUCCAAAGUCUCGAAAAGGGUUUUUACUCAUUUUUUCCCUUCCCAAGAAUAAAAAUCGAGAGUUCAAAGAUCGACGAUUCAAAUCAAUUAAUGGUUUGACAUCCGAAAAUCGCGAGCACAUAUAUAUAUAUAUAUAUAUAUAUAUAUAUAUAUAUAUAUAUAUAUUGCACCUUUAUAUCGUAACAAACUAUGCAUAUAUUUUUCUUAUUCAAAAAAACUAAACAUUGCUAAAUAGAAAAGUUAUUAUUUUAUAUUGUGUCAGCAUUAGAUGAUAGGAUUUUGUAUAAGUUUGAUAAUGACCCGGAAGAUGUCUUUCCUUAUGUAGUGGGAAUAUAGCUGAUGUAACACUAUGGAAAAAAUACUCCGUAGCUUUACCAUUUACCAUCUAUUUACCUUGAGUUCUUUGCUUCCAUUUUGUAGUCAAUGGCAACCCAAAUAUAUGUAACAAUUGAUCAGGUUCGAGGCUGCUCAUCAACCUACAUCAUCCGGUUGUUGAGAAGUUUAAGACUUAGUAAGUUUGCAUUAUGAUUUCACAAUACAGUGUUAGAGUAAUUUAUUAUUUCACAAUCCGAUUUGAUUGUUUUUUGACCAUGUUUCUUGAAUUGUUGUCGUGAACUUAAUACUUCUCAAGCUCAGAGUCAAAGCUUCAGUUAGAACUUCAGUCAGAGUUCGACUUCUUCUCAACGUACUUUGUACAACGAUUUUUCCAAACUAUCUCAGGUUAGGCCAAUUGCUGAAUUUAUAAACUUAGUCAAUGUCUGCUUUUUUUAUGCACAAACAUGUUUUGAGUUUUUUUACGCACAAAUUAAAAAUACAUAUUGCAUUAUUCUUUAUUUCAUGUGCAUAAUUUGUGUUAGGAAACAUACUGCAUCACUAUUUUGUAAACAACUAAAUUCAAUCCUAACCAGUUUGGAUUGUAUUAUGACAAUUCCACCAAAUGUUCGAAGACAUCAAUGUCAAAUGGUGCUAGCUGUAUAUGCACAUGCGGAAGUGAUGCUUAAUUUCCAUUUGUUUCAAUAAUGUUAAUUGGUCAACGGGGUACAUAUAAUGUACAUGCAUGCAUUUAUCUAGACUUUAUAGGAAGAUAAUAGGAAGAUAAUUUAGAAGUCAUGCUACAUUUUCUUUAGUUUAAAAUCAGUUAUACUACCUUUAUUUUAUAAAUUAUAUGUAACUAUAUUCGCAUACAUCUUAUCCAUGUAAAUAUGCAUUAGACUAAUAUUGCAGUUAUUCUCCUAUUUAGCAUUUCCCAAACGAGGUGUCAAGAACAAUUCUGAAAGGAAAGCGCAAAGCAAUCUCUCAUUGAUGACCAGACACAGAGACAGUAUAACUGUCACCUCAUUAUCACCGAUAAAGCAAGCUACGAAAAUUACUUGGGUGGACAGUGGUUCAAUUUCUGCAGAUAACGAGUGAUGGAAGAAGGUGGUAAGCAUCUUUGAUCUCGAAAAGUCACAGAAGAAUUUACAAAUUCGAGUUGUUGCAAAGUAGAUCUUUGUUGUUGAACUAUUUGAACUUCUACUAUUUUGACGUAUCUUGACUUUGGGAUGUCAUUUGUUCUUUUCAUUUUGUCUGGUGUAAAUAUUGGCAAAAAUCCCUUUUUGGUUAGUCUAUGAAACUUGCAAUCUCUUUUAUAAACCUAAUUAUUAUGUAACGUUAAUCUACACAUUGUUGGUUCUCUUUAUUGGUUCCGAUUAGUAUCAUGUUAAUUGUAAUGUUGUUUUCCUAAUCUCUUGAACAAAAUAAAACAUGUUCUUUUCCUACAAUAAAUCUUUAUAAUGCUUUGGUAAAUGUUUUAGAAAUGUACAUAUAUAUAAGUUCUAAUUAACACUGCAGUUUGUUUUAUACCUAGCACUUCUCAAAUGAGAUAUCAAUGACAUUUCUAAAAGGAACAUGGAAAACAAUCACACUCAUCGACAAACAAGCUCAAAAAGGUAUAAAUGUCGCUUGAUAACAGCAAAGAGAGCAAGUUACAAAAAAUACUUAGGUGGCCAAUGGAUCAAAUUUUGCUGAGAACAUAUGUUAGAGGUAGGUGAUAAGUUAAUUUUUGAUCUAGAGAAGCCACCUAAAAAUAUGCACGUUCAAGUCGUUUCCAAAUAAAGAUUUGGUGUUCAUGAUCCGCACUUUCAACAUAUCACCUUAACUCUAAUCCUAUACUAGAUUAUCUUCACUCACCGAUGCUAUUUCUUUGCUUGAUUUCAUUUGAUGUAAAUAUGGCUAUCAAUCAUUUUUUGGUAACUCUAUAACAACAACACUCUUUUUUAUAAUUUUGGAUAAUAUGUAAAUUCACACAUCAUUGGUUCCUUUAUUGGUUCCAAUUGUUUUCAUCCUAAAUAUUAUAUUAAUUCCUAAUCUCAUAAACUGAUUAUAUGCUCUCUUAAUCAGUCUAUACAUAUUUUAUGAUGAAUCACAAUGUUCCAUCGUUUUACCAUCUCUUCUUUCGAAGAUUUUUUUUAUCGAAUACGUUACUGAACAUGUGUGAAGCACGAGUUUGUAACUAGUUUGACUAAGGAAAUAAGUAGUUUUUGUCUUUUCCUAUUAAAUUUGACCCUUUUCUUAACUGUGUUAUAAAUUCAAAAUUUAAAUAUUCUAAGUGUAGUUCGGUAGUUAAUUUCAUAGACAUUGGUUUGUAGGGGCCUAAAUUCGAACCUACAGAUUCCCUAAUUUGCACUUAUUAUGUGAGUCUCAACACAAGGCUACCUGACAAAAAAUUUCAACAAUUAAUGAUAAGAUAAUGUUUAUCCUUUUAUUAUGAAUAUAAGUAGAUUGUCCUAUAAGAUUAAAAGUCUUUUUGAUGUGCCUUGUACUUGACCUAUUACUGUUAAGUUUCUUUAUUUAAAUAAAAAGAUUAUUUUUUAUCUACGCAUUACGUAACUUUGGUCGUAAGUCUCUAUCAACAUAUUUGACUUAUUUUAAUCGUUACGUAAGGUUACCAUGUCAUAUGUCAUGUUUAUCGGUUAUUUGACACCUUCAAGACAAUAUUUUUAAUUGAAUUGCUUUGUUUGACUCAAUAAAAAAAAUCAGUUUUUGUCUUUUCCUAUUAAAUUUGACUUUUUUUUGACUGGGUCCCAAACUCAAAAUUUAAAAAUUCUAAGGGGAGUUUGGUAGUCAAUUUCAUGGACAUUUGGUUUGAAGGGCCCUGAAUUUGACCUUUCCAAAUUCAUACUUUUUUUUCUUUAUGUUUUGAGUCCUAACACUAGGCUUUUUGACAAAAAAAAUCAACCAUUAAUGAUAAUAUAAUGUUUAUCCUUUUCUUAUGAAUAAAAGUAGAUUGUCCUAAUAAAAUUAAAGUCUUUCUGAAGUACCUAGUACUUCACCUAUUGACUGUUAAGUUUCUUUAUUUAAAUAAGAAGAUUUGGUUUGACCUACGCUUGACGUAACUUUGGUCGUAAGUCUCUAUCAACACAUUUGACUUAUUUUAACGGUUACGUAAGCUUACCGUGUCAUAUGUCAUCUUUAUCGUUGAUUUGACACCUCACAGACAAUAUUUUUAAUGAACUGCUUUGUUUGACUAAAAAAUAAGCAGUUUUUGUCUUUUCCUAUUAAAUUUGACAUUUUCAUGACUAUGUUCUAAAUUCAAAAUUUAAAUAUUUCAUAGUGUAGUUGGGUCGUUAAUUUGAUGGACAUAAGUUUGUAGGGGCCUGAAUUCGAACCUUCAGAUUCUCUACUUCUUUGCACUUAUAAUGUGUGUCCAAACACUAGACUACUUGACAAAAAAGUUCAACAUUUAAUGUUAAGAUAAGGUUUAUCAUUUUAUUAUGAAUAUAAGUAGAUUGUCCUGAUAAGAUUAAAAGUAUUUCUGAUGCACCUUGUACUUGACUGUUAAGUUUUUUUAUUUAAACAAAAAAAUUGGUUUGACCUAUGCAUUACGUAACUUUGGUCGUAAGUCUCUAUCAACAUAUUUGACUUAUUUUCACCGUUACGUAAGGUUAUCGUGUCAUAUGUCAUCUUUAUCUUUGAUUUAACACCUAAUAGACAAUAUUCUUAAUGAAUUGUUUUGUUUGACAUAAUAAAAAUAAGCAGUUUUUGUCUUUUCCUAUUAAAUUUGACGUUUUGUUGACUGUGUUCUAAAUUCAAAAUUUAAAUAUUCAAGUGUAGUUCGGUAGUUAAUUUCAUGGACAUUGGUUUGUAGGGGCCUGAAUCUGAACCUAUAGAUUCCAUACUUCUCUGUACUUAUUAUACAAGUCUAAUAGACAAUAUUUUUAAUGAAUUGUUUUCUUUGACUCAAAGAUAAUAAAAAGCUUUUGUCUUUUCCUGUAAAAUUCGACAUUUUUUUUACUGUGUUAUAAAUUCAACAUAUAAAUCUUCUAAGUGUAGCUUGGUUGUUAAUUUCAUGGACAUUGGUAUGUCUGGGCUUGGAUUUGAACUCCCAAAUUCCUCAUUUUCUUAUACUUAUAAUGUUCGUCUAAACACUAGUCUACUUGACAAAAAAGUUCAAUAUUUAAUGAUAAGGCAAUGUUUAUCCUUUUAUUAUGAAUAUAGUACUCCAUCUUUUCCAUAAUAAUAUAUUCUUUUUAAAAAUAAAUAAAUUAUUUUAAUAUUUAAAAUAUUAUUUUAAUAAUUAAAAUAUUAUUGAAAUUACUUUAAUAUUUUUCAUCAAAUCUUAAUUUAAUAUAAUAUUUUAAUAAUUAAAUAUUUAUUAAUUAAUAAUUAAAAUAUUUUCCAUCACAUUAAAAACAAUCAUUCAAACGAGCACGUCUGUCUACUAUUUUUACUGUGCUUACACGUGUAAAUUAUAAACAAUGUUUAUAUUAAAUUUUGAUUAUGAUUGAUAUGCUUAAAAUGCUAAAAAAUAUUAUAGUAAAUUUUAUAAUUUAAUUUAAAUUACCAAAUUAAUAAUAACGCUAAUACAAAAAUAUUUUUUUAUGUGUAAAUAGAUUGUCCUGAUAAAACUAAAAGUCUUUUUCUGGUGCGUCUAGUGCUUGACCUAUUGACUGAUAAGCUUCUUUAUUUAAAUAAAUAUAUUGGUUUGGCCUACGCGUGAAGUAAUUUUGGUAUUCAGUCUCUAUCAACAUAUUUAACUUAUUUUAACUGUUACGUAAGGUUACCGUGUCAUAUGUCAUGUUUAUUGUUGAUCUGACACCUCAUUGACAAUAUUUUUAAUGAUUUGUUUUCUUUGAUUAAAAAAUAAUAAGCAUCUUUUGUAUUUUCCUAUUAAAUUCGACAUUUUCUUGACUGUGUUCUAAAUUCAAAAUUAAAUCUUCUAAGUGUUGUCCGGUUGUUAAUUUCACAGACAUUGGUAUGUAGGGGUUUGAAUUUGAAUCUACGGAUUCCCCACUUCUUUGUACUUAUAACGUGAGUAUAAACACUAGACUACUUGACAAAAAAGUUCAACAUUUAAUAAUAAGAUAAUGUUUAUCCUUUUAUUAUGAACAUAGUACUCCCUCUUUUCCAUAAUAAUAUAUUAUUUUCAUAAUUAAAAUAUUACUUUAAUAAUAAAAUAUUAUAUUAAUAAUAAAAAGUAUUUUAUUGAAAGCACUUUAAUAUUUUUCAUCAAAUAUUCUAUAAACUAAUAUUUAUUAAACAAAAAAUUGAUAGCAUCAUGAAUAUUAUUUGUCUAAAAGAAUGUUAUAUUGUUGGUGUCAUUAAAAAGAACAAAAAUUUAUAUCAUCUUUGCUAUAAUAUUUAUUUCUUAAAAAAAGUAAGUAUAAUUCCUUAUAAGACGAAUGUGCAAAAUAUUAGCCAUAUACUUUUAAUCAAAAUCAAAAUUUCUUGAAAGUUAUUGUUAGUAAUUUAUACACAUUAAUUUGAUAAAAAAAUUGAAGCUUCUCUCAGAAAAAUUGAAUAUAAUAAACUCAUAAUUUUUUUUAAGAGAGGAUGGCAAAUGCCAAAUAUUAUUUUAUUAAAAUAUAUUUCUUCUUUUUGACUUGAAUUGGAUAUGAGUAAAUAGAAAUUAACUUUUAUGAUUAAAAUUAUUUUAAUUAUUUUUGUCUAGAAAGAGUUAAUUUUUGACUGGAAAGAGUAGUAAAUAAAUAUUAUUUUAUUAAAAUACAUUUUCUUCUUUUUGACUAAAAUUAAAUAUCAAUAAAUAAUCAUAAAUUUUCCCUUUGACAAAAUACAUUUGAGAGUACUAUAUAAUCCAAGUGAAUGAGUCUUAUUUUUCCACAACACAAGAACCAGUGUCUCUUGAAACUGUACUUUUGGUGACUUUUGCCAAAGACUUCAGUUUUUUUUUUGACUCUGUGUGUGUAUCUGAGUAAGUACUGAGAAACGGUGUGGUGUGUGACAGUAAAAAAGCUGAUAUUUUCUGCAUCUAAGGUAUUCCUUUCUUCCUUCUUCAUUUCAUUUCUUUUCUCUUUCUCUUUCUUUUCCAAAACAAAUGAAAAACUCUUUUUUUCUACUCUCUACACCCUACUCUAUAACUAGCUUACUUUUUAUACGUAAAAAUAAUAAAAUAUAGUAAUUUUUAUUAUUGCAUUGAUUUGAAAUUAAGGCUUGUUGGUGUUGGUGGUUGAAUUUGUGUCUUUGUUCUAUUACAUGCACAUGUGCUGAAUUAUUUGGUUUAUGUUACCUUAAUUCAGGUUCUUCAAGACAUACUCAUCAUCAUCAUUGCUUGAAGAUUUGGACUGGUAAAUUACUAAAUCUUUGUUCUUUUUGUGUUAGUGAUUAAUUUUUUUAUUUUUUUUGGAAAUUGAGAUAAAUUGAAAAAAAAAAAAAAAGGAAAUUUCGAUCUGGGUAAUUUUUCUUUUUUCUAGAUUUGUUAUCCUUUAACUGAGAGUUAUUUUUUAUUUUUUGCAAAAAAGAUAAAGUUUUUUCCAUUUAUGUGUUUUUAACCUUAUUUAGAUUGUGUUAAAAAUGUAAAGCUGCAAAAAUAUCAUUGUAUUAUAAUUGCUGUGUUUAAUUUGAUGCUUAGAUAGAUUGCAGUAUCCUCAGAAAUUAAAUAUUCUAAAAGAUUGUGUAAUUUGAACUAGUAAUUUUCAUGCCUUUGAGUUUAAUUUUUCAGGAAUUCAUUAAAUUUCAAGAAUUUUGUAUAUUGUGUUGUUAUAAUUUUAGCUAUUCAGUCUUAUCUUUAUGAGGGAUUUGAUUAGUUGAUGAAUUCUUUAAAUGUGAAGAAUUUUUGUGUAAUGUGUUGUUUGAAUUAUUCAUUCUUGUGUACUUGAGAAUUUAAUUUCUCAGUAAUAUACUUUAAAUGUGAAAUUUUUUGUAUUCAGUUAUUGAUUCCCAGCCACUAACCAAUGUUGCAAAAUCUUGUUUUUUUGCAGGAAAAUGGCAGUAUCAUCUGAUAUUCGUGCUUGGGACGAGUUGAUCCCUGAUACCUUGGGGCUGAUUUUCACGAAACUUUCGCUCUGUGAAAGAUUCACCGUGAUCCCAAGGGUCUGCAAAUCAUGGGCCAGUGCUGUAAAUGGUCCUUACUGUUGGCAAGAGAUAGACAUAACUGACUGGUGCAGCUACUCUGAGCCUCCACAAGUUGAGCGGAUGGUUCAGAUGCUGAUUACUAGAAGUUCUGGAUCGCUCCGGAAACUCAGCGUUUCUGGUAUCCAGACUGAGAGGGUUUUCACAUUCAUUGCUGAUAAGUAAGCAUCAUCCUUUGUUUUCUAUGUUUGGUUUCAUAAUUUCAUUGGAGAUACAAUUGAGAGUCUGAAUUGCCGUUUGCCUCCAAACCUAGAUUUGAUUAGAAGUAAUAAAAUGUAGCUUUUUGGUACGAACAGUCUUCAAUUUUGUGCAAUCUUCUAAUUUCAUUGAUGUAGUGCUUAUCUCGCAUUCAAUUAUACUGCUAUAGCAUUUUGAGUGUCUCACACUAUAUGCCAUUGACUACUAGAAAUCCGAACUUCUUGUUAACUAAGUUUGUUGUUCAUUAACUCGAUGUUUGACAGAAUUUGCCAUAUUUUACUUAUGUUGUAUUUUUUUCUUUCUCUUUUGCAAGUGCGGGCUCGCUACAAAACUUACGCCUUCAAAGAUGCAACAUCAACACUUUUGCUGUUGAACAAAUGACCGGAAAGCUUUCUAAGAUUUCAAUCUUAGAUUUGAGCUACUGUCUCAAAAUCUGUAGCAGUGAUAUAGAGACCAUUGGGAAGAACUUGAAACAUCUGGAAGUUUUCUGCCGGAAUAUGCAUCCGGUAGAAACUUCGGGAAAACCAUCAGAAGAUGCAGAAGCACUCGCGAUUGCCUCUACAAUGCCAAAGCUCAAGCGUCUCGAAAUGGCUUACAAUCUCGUCACCAGUGAAGGUGUUUAUAAAAUCCUCUCGUCAUGUCCUAAGCUAGAAAUUUUGGAUUUGAGGGGCUGUUGGGGUGUCAAACUUGACACCGUGUCUGUGCAGCAAAAGUUUCCGAAACUUGCGGUUUUGGGGCCUCAAGUUAUUGGAUAUUACGAGAUGUUGGAAGAUUGCUCGGAUAUCUCGGAUUCUUCUGACUCCGAAUAUGAUGACAGCGACAUGGACGAGUAUGACUAUGAUGAUGACAGCGAUGAUGGCAUUUGGUAUCAUCUAGGAGGGAUUGAAGAGCUAGAGUUCAGGGCUUAUGCAGGAGGUGUCGAAGAUGCUGCAAUGUAUUGGCCUCCAUCCCCAUGAACUGUGUUCUUGUUUCCCUCAGAACUAUGUUUGGUUUUAUGUUUUCUGUAAUUAGUGCUUCUUUGCUUUGGACUUUCUUUAUGCUCCUUGCAUAAAAUGUAUCAAAGAAAAUGAAGCAUUUGGGCUUCUUGUAAGAACUUAAGAUGCUUAUACAUCUUAAGAUAUUUGAAAGUUUCUUAGGUUCUUAUUUUGAUGGAAUAAAGAUAAGUUUGUAUCAUAGGAAAUAAAGAUAUUUUUUUCAAGCCAUCAUAAAAUGAUCUUUGACCUCUGGUUGGGAUAAUGCAUAAUAAUAAUAAUUAAUAAUAAUAAUAAUAAUUAUUAUUAUUAUUAUUAUUAUUAUUAUAAUAAUGUAUUUCCUAUAUAGUAUUAUUUUUUUGAUGGUGUUAUUUCCUAUAUAGUCUAACAAGUAACAAACCUAUCUUAAAUUCAUCCAAAUUACAAAUAUCGUCCACAUACAGAAUUUAAUAAAGGAAUUUAUCGAAGAAAAAAAAUAUAUAUAUAUUUUUUAAUUAACAAGCAAAUGUCUAUAGCACUCUUGGCAAGACCAAUAAAUUUAUGUGAGAUUGAUGGACAAAGUAAAGACAGCUAUAAAUUAAAACAAGUUAAUGUGGAAGACUAUGAUUUCCCAGGUUAGGUAGAAGAGAGCAUAGAGUGGACAGAACAAAGGUGUAAAGCUUAUUAGUUUCACAACAAUCAAUCAACACAAUGAAUUUGCAGGAUUCAAUAUGUUGAUUUUUUGAACCGUCAUAAUAUUCCUAAAGGCUUAAAGCCCUUUAGAAAGACUCUAAGCCCUUUAAAAUGGCUUAGGUGCCCUCCAGAAGGACUCCUGAGGCCUGGGCGCACCCUCCGUAGGGCGCCGCCUAUCUUAGCUUCUAGAAACCUCUGAAAACCGCCUAAAAUACACAAAUACCCCUGUUGCUUGGGGAUCAAGCAACCGAAACCUAAGUCCAUAGCAGACUAUAAAUACCACCCUUGAGAGCAUUCUCAAGGCAUCUAAUAAUCAGUCUAAAAACCUAGUAUACGAUUUUUAACCUUAGAAUCCCUUAUUGUACUUUUUGCAAGUACACUUUUGAAUUUUUUUUGUGUCCUAGUGGAUUUUAUAUUUUAUAUGUAGGAUAUAAAAUCGAUAAUUUCCAUUGUACCAAUAUUAUUAUUUUUUUGUUGAUAAUUUCCAUCACUAUUUGAGCUAAGCAACUACGGUUGAACAUAGAGUAACUAAGUCUAUAGAGGUACUUUUGUUUGUUAGUAUCAUUGAGAUAAUGGACUUAAAACAAAAAAGUACCAUUGAGAUAAUGUUCACAAAGGACUUGAGUACUUAUUUUGCCUUAUGCCUAAUGUAGAUGUACUUGUUGAAUAACGCCAACGUAGAUGCUUUAAGCUUUAACAUUGUAUGAAUAUGUUCUUAAUAUUUUGGUUCCUCUUGCCUUCCAAUCAAAAGGUCCCGUUAAUUAGGCGUCAAAAUCACAGAGUCACCAUAGUUUUAUAAAAUUACGAUGAUUUACUGAGAUUCUGAGAAACCUAUCGUAAGAUCAAACAUGCAUUUUUUUUUUAAUCGGCAAAAUAUUAUUCAAUAAAGCAACACUCAUGCAAAAAAAGUCCUGCAUAUAUACGACAACCUUCCCAACACCAAAAGCAAAAACAGUAAAAAUACUAAACAAUGGCUAAAGGCCAAACAUGCAUUUCAUCUGAUUUUUCCCUCCCAUUUCUUUCCUUAUGUAUUUCAUUCAACCAAAAGUGUGAUGUUCAAUCUCCACUAAUAAAACAAGAGAGUAUUAGAUUUCGUUCAAUCUUCACUUAAUGCAUUUCAUCCUAUCGAUUACGUUGGAUUCAUCUUCAUGUUGUUAGAUUUUUCCUUCUGUCUUUGUUUUUACAACGUGUAACUAAUUUGCUUGAGUUAGGUUGGAUAUCUUGAUGCGUUAUAAUUUUUUGAUUAGAUCUAACUUCAAUUUCAUUCUAAUUCAUAUAUUACAUCUCCUUUUCAUACUAUUUUUUGAUGAAAUGUCAAAGAAAGGAUUAUAGAUUUGAAAUUUUAUUUAUAAAAAAUUAAAAAAAAAGAACAAAAUCACAUGCCUUUAUAUGGAUUCUAUAUUUUUAAUGUAAUUGUCUCGAUUUUCUUUACCUGAGGAGCUUCAUUGAAGUAAAAUUUUUGAGGCUUGAAAUUACUAAGAACCUAUCCUAAUUAACUCAGAAUAUAUCGGGCGAAAUCUAAUACUACUAGAUUUGUCUUAAAUCGUUAUUUAUCACUUUUUUUUUUUGAAGGAAUUUAUUUAUCACUUUUAAAAGCCAAUGCAUUGUUUGAGACAGUGUUAAUUAUUUUUGCUGAUUAUUUUUUAUUAAAUUUAUCCAGGAAUAAAGUCAAUGGAACGUGUUGUUUUCAAAGGUUGGAGUAACUUCAUGGUCAGAUUUUCAGAUUCCAUAACUUUAGAGAAUGCCAAUUGAGGAGCUAUGUCUGAAAAAACUUGGUGCUUAAUCUUUUAUUUUUAUCAAUUAGCUCACAACAAAUGAUUAAUGCAAUAUAUUUUUUUUUUUGACUAAUCUCUAGCAAAUUAGCAAUAUAUCUCAGGAGAAGAUGAAGAUUUGUAUUGAAUGAAAACAAAAUCUUCACAUCUAUUUUGAACUGAUUUGUUUUCAGGAAAUUUAACAAACCAUGUGGUUUCCUGUUCCCUAAUAUUUGGAUAGUUACAGUGAAAUCAUAGGCAUUUGUUUGUGUAUAGAAAUAUAAUAUUUUUUUAGUAGUGUAUAGAUUAAUUUUUAUUUUUUUUUAAGUUAAAUUAGUCCACUUAAUUGUGAAUCAAACUUUAAACCUUAGGGAGAAACACACUCUAAUAUCUCAAGAAAAAUAAUUAUCUUUUAUGUAAAGGAAAUUAUCUCCAAUAAUGUAUUACACACAUUAUGAGAAAUUAAUACUGGAUCUUAAAAUAAAAAGUAAAAUAAAUUCGAAAUUGAAAAUUAAACAUCACCAGGAUUAUGUGAAUGAACCAAGUAGUCAAUAGUGUAACAAUUUUGAUCCGAGUAAAUACCCAAAUUCAUCCUUGAAUUUGCAAGGACCGGCCAAAUUUGUACCACAAUUUUUCAAAAUAUCAAAUUAGUUCCUGAAUUUAACAGACGUCCAUCAAAUUCAUCCCUCCGUUCAAUCCCCCCGUUAGUGAGGUUGACGUGUCAUCCUGCAUGAUGUGCUUUGAUGUCCACGUGUCAUUUAGUCAGCCACGUGUAUAAGGACCAAUUUGAUGGAAACGUUACAAAUUUCAGUUUUAACUUUUCACUUUCAAUUUUUUCUGUUUUUUUCUCUUUUACCCCUCUUUUAAGGAUAGAUUUGAUAGUAAUUGUAAUAAUCCAGGGAUUGAUUUGAUCGAUUUCAUUGCAGGGAGUGAGUACAAAGAGGUAUGGCAUGAGAGGACUAGUUAUUUCAAUUGAGAAGUCUACGCAAACACUAGUGAGGGGUCCUGCUCCACCACAUCCAACUACUCCUAGAGCUAUUAAAAUGUCAUAUCCAAGUUAUAGGCCAUCUAGUUCUACUCAUCCCUAAUUCAUGGAGUUUAUCCCAACCCCAAGAUUUUCAAAGAAGUGAUGUUUGAUGCCUGAUUAAAUUAUGCUUUUGGAAAAUGUAAUAUUUAGACUUGUUUAAAUUAUGCCCCCUAGUUGGGUUUCUUUUUGGAUAUGUAAUAUUUAAGAACAAUGGAAUGUAUGACUUAUGACUUGUUAAUGUCCCAUGGUUGGGUUUCUUUUUGCCUAUGUAAUAUUCCUGCACUUGUAGUGUAACGACUAAAAUACAACUUAUUUGAUGGAAUGUACUACUUAUGACUUGUUAAUGACUCAUAGUUGGGUUGCUUUUUGCCUAUGUAAUGUUCUUGCACUUGUAGUGCAGUGACCGAACUAUGACUUAUUUGAUGGUAUAAUCAAGGAUCAAAUUAUGUCUUUUUACUUUUUUACUUUAUUCUGCACAUAUUUGCACCAAGGAUCACAUUGACAUCUGUUUAAAUAAUUCAAUGAUUUAUUUGAUGGUAUUUUUAUAUAAUGUAGGGAUCAAUUUGAUACUUGGGCAAAUAAUUUAGGGACUAAUUUGAUAGAAAUAUUUUGACAGAAAGGUUGCAUUCAUUCAUCUUCAACCUCUUUAAUUUUCAUUACAACAAUACACAUACCUAGUACAAUACACCAACAUUCAAGUACUCUCACAUCACCAUUAAAAAUAGAGCUUGAAGAUGAAGACCGACUAUUAUAGUUAUUUUUGCACAUACGCCCACCACCCAUCAUUUCUGAAUACCAAAGCUUGAACAAUUUUUGGGGAUUUUUGGAUUUCAAAUUCAAACAAAAAAAUUAGGUUUUGAAGUUUUUUGAAUUGGGGAAGAACGUUGUCAUCAAUUAAUGGAAGAAAUUUUAGAGAUUUUGAACUCUCAGUGACAAAUUAUAAAAUUAGGGUUCCAAUGUUAUGGAUUUGGGGAAGAAAGAGACGUUGGGUAACAAUUAUUUUUCUGCAAAAGUGAGUUCGAAUUUUCUAUAAAUCAAUCAAUUUGGUCCUUGGAAAUUUUGUCAUUUUAAGCCAAAUUAGUCCAUGUUUGUGUGGCAUCUGACAUGGCAAGCCUUGUGAGAGGUUAACAGUACACGUCACCUCCAUUAACAUGCCAACUUAACGGAGGGACCGAUUUGAUUGACAUUUGGUAAAUUCAGGGAUAAAAUAGAUAUUUUGAAAAAUUUGAGGACGAAUUUGGCUUGUCCUUGCAAAUUCAAGGACGAACUUGGGUAUUUACUCAUUUUAAUCCAUAUUAAUUAGAAUGUUUUACACAACUGUGUCUUGUCUCAACUAGUAAAAUGUUGAAAUUGCUAGAUUGAAUGUUGUAAUUGUGGUUCAAAUCAUGCUCUUUACUUAUGCGUAUGUGUUUCAAUAGUUGUUUGACAUUUCAUCCGUCUACAAAAAAAUAAUGCUUGGGCUAUGAAGGGUAGCGCAUUGGGUUGAAAUAUGACGUUAGAUUAAGAGCAAUCAUAUAAGUAAAAUUGAACAUCAUAUGAUUUGAUUUGGGAAAAAAAUAUGUUACACUUAAAACAAUGAAGAAUGGACGUUGAUCACCAAAACGUAUCUUUCCGCGCUAACCUUCUAACAUUUUGAUAAAAAAAUUAGGAUUUAUUCCAUUCAGAUUGUAACAAAAAUUGUUUCAUCAUUAAUUCAUGUAAUCAUAAUCUCUUUCUCGUAUUUUUAUCCACAUUAUGCGUCAGCCAGAAGAAGGAAAAUAGAGACAAAAAAGUAACAGAGAAACUACUACUCCCUGAGGUUUUAUUUGACUAAAAAAUACUCCCAUAGUUGUUUCUGACAAAACUUAUUGAAUCAAGUUAAAAUCAUUAUUAACUUAUCAUUAGUUAUUUAAUGAAGGGAGAUAUAAACUCAUUUGAGUUGGACUAAUAGUGUUGGCUUAAUACUUUAAAGUGUCUUACUCUUAAAAUAUCAUAUUUGAUUCUCUGUUGUGUUAACAUUGGUGGAUUAGUUUAAUUUUUUUGUCGAGUAGUCUAGUGACUAGAAUUCACUUUAUAAGGUGUCUAGUGACUAGAAUUUACUUACCUCUGCAGGCUUUCCAUCACCGAUUCACAACCACCAUCACUGAUCAAUCAUCAACUGAUUCACAUCAUCAGGCUUUCCUUCAUCUUCUUCCUUCUUCACCAAAUCAUCACUGAUUCUCAACUCUCAAGAUUUCAAUCAGUUUUCCCCUUUCCAAAACAACACAGUUUGAUAAGUAAAUAAACUCUCUUUCAUUAAUUUGAAUGUUGAAAUUGCUAAAAUAGAGAUUGAUAGAGAUUUGUUGAAUGUUGAAAACAACACUGUUUCAAAUUACAAUCGGUUUUCCCCUUUUCAAAACAACACUGUUUGUUGAAUGUUAAAAUUGCUCAAAUAGAGAUUGAUAGAGAUUUGGUUGAUUAUUAACUGAAUUAGUAAUAAUUGAUUUCUGCAUAUUUACUGUUUUGGGAGUUUUUUUUAAAAUUAUUCAAAUUUCAGUGUAUAAUUGAAUUUAUAUAUCAUAUAUGUUGCUAAUUACUAAUUAUGUUUUAAUUUUAUUUUAUGGUUCAAUCUCAACAUUGUAUGUCUAAUGAUGUUGUGCUGCCAGCUCUAUCCGCGCAUGACUUUUGGUGGUUUUGUGCAGGUUUCAUUUUCUGUCCUCUUGUUUUAGCCUUUUAGGAUUAUUGGAAUUAGUUCCUCUAUAUUUUGGUGUUAGGUGGGGGUUCCUCAUGUAUACAGUAGUCAUUUUCACCUUUAGGUGUACCGCAUAUAUACGGCACCUUGUAUUUAUCUUUUAAAAAAUAUAAAUAGAACAUUGCUCUUUUAAAAAAAAAAUACGUUUUGAUUUUAUCACUGGCCUCUUUUCAUUCUCAGAGCCGAGCCUCCGAAUUCUCAGGGACGGCCCUGAUGUUAAGCAAACAUAUUUUUUUAAAUACCUUAGAAUAAAAUUUCCAUCUUUAUGUUCAAAUGAAUGCUAUUCCUUCAACUAAAUUUGGUAAACCGGAAAGAAACACACCCAUAUUAUAAUUAUAAAAUGGUUACGAGGGUCGCCCUAUUUAUAAUAAUUUCCUUUUUUCCAUAUUUUAAAUUAAACUAAUUUUCCUUCAAAAAAAAUUAAACUAAUUUAACUUUUGGCUCCUAAAAAAUUGAUUUAAUUUUGUAUUUAUUAGCAUACAUGUGGACAUUGCACGUGGGCGAUACUUGUAAUUGACAAUUUAUGAUCCAUUAUUAGCAUACAUGAUAGAUUUUCAAAGUGUUUUUUUUAAGCGAAACAUGUGUUACUUAAAAAAAAAAACGAGGACUCCCUUUUAUGUGUGCACUUAAAUGUUGUCGUCAAAUCUUUAUGAUCAUUUACUUCAAAAAAAAAAAAAAAAUUGUGGUGGCCGGAAUUUUAACCUCAGAUCUUAGAUAUAUUAUGCAUUGUUUAUACCAACUGAUUUUAAGUUCACGAUGACAAAUUUACUUCAAUUUUGAUCACUCUCAAAGAUUUUUUCAACUCAAAAUUUGUGAUGUAAUACAUUUUAAAUGAUGUAUCAUCCGAGUUAGUGAUGUAAAAUGACUAACACUCAUGAAAUUACAAGAAAAUAAAAAAAAAAUCUUAAAUUUAAGUUCAAAAGAUUUUUUUUUAAGGAAAGUUCAAAAGAUUUUUAUUUAUUUAAUUGAAUUGGUGAAAUGUAAAUAACUAACCGAGAUAGAUGAUUUUACAUCAUUAAAUUGUAUAUUACUUCAUUUAAAAUAUGUUUCAUUGUUAUUUUUAAGUCCAAAAAUUAAACAUAAGGAUGGAAUCAAAGUUGAGUGAUUUUAAAAUGGCAGGAUCAAUUUCAUAAAUGAAUGAAAAUAUGAGAAUUAAAAGUGCAAUUAAACCUUAUUUUUUUAAUUAUCUUAUUAAUACACAUCUUUUAUAUUAUGAUUUUAUCAUUUAUGAAACUACCAAAUUAUCAUGUUGAGUUCAAUUAUCUUGAGUUCAACAAAAUCACACGACUGAUUAAUGGACCUGAAUUUGAUGUUGUAGCAAAUUUAAAUAGUUUGUUGCAGUAGCAAACCUUGAUCAUCAAUCUACGAUCUGAAAAUUCCAAAUUCACUGCAUGGAUUUCAACAAUUUAUAGUGUCAGAUCUUGAGUUAGCUUUAGCUACUAGUUAGAAGGAAUAAUUGGAGUCUUGAGCAUACUAGUUAACUACUCUACACAUUGAGCAUAGCAUGAACUGAAGUGAUGAGUACAUUGAGUUAUUCAUUUAAGUAACAAAAACAUAACGUAUAUAAUUUCUAGUAACUCAAGUUAAGAAUUUAAGUUAGUAAACUACAACAAAUACAUCUCAAAUUGAAAAUUUAACAAGCAUCAUAACAUUCGAUACCUACUAUUAACCCACAUCAAAACGUGACUUUUCUUAACAAUUUAUGCUUAAACAUUGUUCUAUAAAACUAUACAAACUCAGCCAAGUGAUACAUUUUUCUAAUCAUUACUUUCUAUAUGCAAGGCAGCUUCUGACUAUAACUACAUAAUCUUAUUAAGCAUUAAAAUUAUAAUCUAUGAACAUAGCUUCAUUCAAGUGUCAACUAUAUUUCUCAGUAACAUUUACAACAUGAUGUACAGACUUCCAUUACAGAUUUGAGUAAACAUUACAAAUGUAGAAAGUCCAAACUUAUAAACUACUCCAUCCGGUUCUAUUUAAAAGAAGUAUUUAGGUUAGUAAAAGAUGAUUUAUUUGAUUAAAAAUUUAGAUUAAAUACAUCAACUUUUGUUGACCUAAAUGUCUCUUGUAAAUAGGAUCGGAAAGAGUAGUUAUUUUGUAAGAUUUUCUUUGCUUUAUAAAUCCCUUAAUCAAUUUUGUAAAAUCAAUUUUGUAAGAUUUUCUUUGCUUUACAAAUCUCUACUAAGUAGUUUAUGCUAAUAAAAUCAACAGGAAUGGAUGAUUCUAUCUUGUAGUAACAUUUCAUUUUUCUACUAUGAUCAUUCUCACUACACAAUUGAUUAAUUAAGUCUAAUGUUUUGUUGGUGGAUGAAUAUUGUAGGGCCUAUUUUUAUAUUUGAUAUUGUAUUUAAAUUUAUUAUAUCAUAGGGAGGGUCCAUUUAUCAUGUACUGUAAAAAAUUUAUAUUAAAUAAUUAAUAAUUAUUUUUUUGUAAAAAAAGAAGAAGCAAUAUUGUAUUAAUUUGCUUACACUAAUAAAAUAUUUUAAAAAAAAUGUUAUAAAAAUGAUUUUCUAAAGAAAGUACUCAAAGCAGAUUAUCAUUUUAAUCUAUUUUUAGUUUUUUCCAAUUUCUCAAUAAAAAAAAUUAAUAAAACUUCUAAGUAUGAUUAUUUUAUUUCAAAAAAUAAACUUGUUUGCCAUAAAAUAUUUAACAAUCGGGCCAUAACAUCUAUCUAUCGUGCACUUUAUUCAGGGCUCGCCCAAGGCAUAGGUCGGGGGUGAGGCGGCCUAGGUCCAAUUUUCUUUUACGGAUGGGGGUGUAUAUAGUAAUACUGGGUUUAAAGAUGGUAUAAAUAUCAGUAACCGCAAAAACAUUUACCAGACUUAAGUCCAUCAGUCAUUUCACUCUUUUUUUACAACCCAGCAGCAUUUCAUUUUCACACCCCCAACUUAGCAUUUUCAACCUCAGCAUUUCAUUAGUCAAAUUGCAAAAUUUAGAAGCAACGCGUAAAAUACAAAAUAUCUACUACUUCCUAGAGACCAAGUUUGUUUUUUAUUUCGAGAUAUUUUUUGGUGUUUCAGAUUGAAUUUAACAUGAAUUUAUAUUUAUAUUUCAUUUUAUAAUAUGAGUUUCAAUAUGAAAGUUUCAUGUUUAGGACAUCGAAUUUGAUAAGUAACAUAUAAUUUUCUAUUGAUAAAUGAUAAAAGGUUUUCAUAUUACUGGAAUGAUAAUGAAGUUCUUUGAGAAAUUUUAAAGGUAAUAAAUCAAUAGAAUUAUCAAAUCAGAUAAUGAAACUUGUAUAAAAUUUAGUAUGUCUACUAUCGUUUUACUUAGCUUUGUUGCCUUUGGUUCGGCUGGCUCAAUUUUUUUUUGUUAUUCUUUUUUAUUAAUAAUAUAUAGGAUGAGAUGCAUUUGAUACAAGAUAUUUUGAAGUGUCAGCAUAGUUUGAAUUGUAAAACAUGUAUUAUAGGAACCAUCUUGAUUAAUGCAUAUCUCAUAUAAAAAAAUAAAAAUAAAAAUCUAUUAUAUACGGGGAUCAUUUUCUUAAACCUGGCUUAAGGCUCAUGAAAUGUUAGAAAUGGGUCUGACUUUAUUCAAAUAAACUCCACGUAUUACUUUCUUACAUAUAUAAAUGGAUUUAAUUUGUAUACACACUUCUUAAAUAUCAAUCAUGUACUUCAAAAUGGAUUAAAUUAAAAUAUAGUUUAAUUAAUUAUUUUAAUAAAUGAAAUAUUUAUUAUAAAGUAAUAAUUAUUGAAUAAAACAAUAAUGACAUGACUAUUAAAUUUAUCGACCUAGACGUUGUUAUAUGAUAUAUCAUCAAAAUUGAUCCCUAAGGGGAGAUCAAAACUCGGAAAAAAAAAAAAAAAAAAUUGAAAGUAGGGCAUCGAAAAAUAAAUUUUUAAAAUGAGUGAUAAAAGUUUAUUGUUUUGAAAAUAGGGGAAUAAAAGUACAUUUAAGUCUUUUUUUAGAUUUAUCUUAUAAAAUAUUUUUUAUUAAUAAAAAAUUUAGAUGAGUAAGGCUUCAAGGUCUUACCCGGAUAAGAUAAGUUUCAAGGUUCGACGAGAGCUAACAAAGGUACUUAUUUUGGACCGGUUAAAAGACCAAUCCUAUGUUGACACGUGGACUAUACUUACGUCGCCUUAAGGCUCAACGCUGAAGGAACACACCAACUUCCGUACACAAUGUUGCUUUCAAACACGCCUCCGCACGAGGAUCCCGCUAACGUGUCCUCUAACUGCUCUCUAAUCACACGCCGCAAAACCUGGAGACAGUUAUUCUCACGCGCGCCUAUGCAAGGGUGACUUAACUUCACCCUCAAGGUAUGAUUCACUUUUCACAACACUUUCUACACACUCUUUCACAGUUUCUUACUGACUUGAGUGUUGGAGUGCUAACGUGUCUGCAGACACAUUUCGUUCUACCGCGAAGACUCUUCGCCACUGUAAUAGAGCACAUUCCGCCACCGUUGUUUCUCAUCAAUCCUCACCGGACAGAUCAAUACUUAUAAAGUAUAUAUCAAAAAGAUUAUUAUGUUGAUAAUGAAAGGUUAAAUCAAUGACCUUGCGAGUGAGUCACUCUUUACCAACUGAGUCAACUGUGACAAUUUUUUUAUUUUGAAGGGUCAACAUUGAUUACUUGUUGGUUAUAAAAAUCAAAUAUAUAAUUAUUAGUAUUUAAAUAGAUAAAUAAUUGGAAGAAGAAAUAAACUAUUGUAAGUUCUAUAGGGACUACUAAUAAUUCAAAUAGAGAUAGGUGGGGGUAGGAGAAGCCGGAAGGAAGUGUGAGUGGGUUGGUGAAAUAAAAUGCUUAAGACAGUUGUACCCUGCAAUGGAAGUCUUCAACUUGAACAUAGUCAAUUCAAUUCAAUGCAAAACGUAACCGAAAACACAAUUCAAUAAUGCAAUUCCAUACACAUACCUUGUUGCAUUGCUUGCACGUGUGUUAACUUGGAACUUCAAGUUGAUGUGCUUUUUCCGUGUGGAAAAUUUUGAUUUUGACCAACUUUGUGAUAUUUUAUUUUACUUAUUAUAGGGGUAGGUAACUUGGUAUGGUCUUUCUAAUGUCGUCGAUAGGGGGCUAAUAUGCAAAUAACGAUAAUCAUAGGAAGGUUUGCAUGGAUAACCAUUAACCAAGUUGUUCGUCCCUCUAAAUAGUGAAAUAAAGGGGCUGUUAGGAAUAUAUAUUUUUUUAACAUUUACUCUUUUAUAAGAUGAGCGCUAUGUGGAUCAUACUACUUCAUGUGAAACUCACUUUUAAAAUACCAAACUUGCAUGAAUUUCACCCAAAAAAAAAAAUAAGUGUUGAAAAAGUAUUAUCUUUAGCACUCUUCAUAGCUUAAAUCAAAUGUAAUUGAUGAAAAAAUAGUUUUUAGGUUCAAAAGGGUUUUCAAGUUGAUAAUAUCCGCUCUAGGGGUAAGAUAUAAUAGUUGUUUGGGUUUGUUUCUUUCUUGCUCUUUUUAUUUUCUUUUGGUUUGUUUCACAUUUUUUCUUGUUUAUUCUCUUUUUGGGUUUGACAUUUCUCUUUGGUUUUGCUUCGUAUUUAUGAAUUGAGAAGGUUUUGGUUUGUACCAUUUCUUUCUUUGUUCUUAUGUACGUUAUUUUAUAUGUUUAAGGUGUUGUAGUUGGUUUAAAAAUCUUAUUCAAAUUUGUGACGUGACAAAAAAAAUUUGUUUGAUAUAUUUUUAAUAUAUUUUUUAUUUGUUGGAAAUGAUUGUUAGACCUCUGAUACCAACAUUGCUGGGAGGGAUGAAAGUCACCUAUGAAGAUUUUUUAUGCAUGAUAAUUUUGCUAUAAAAAAAAACUUAAAACAUGAUCAUAAAAUAAAAACAAGGACUGGGUUGACUUGCUCACUCACAGAAAAAAUAUAAAACUAAUGUGACAAAAUAUCAACAUAUCCACUUCCCCCUCUCAAAUAAAAAAAAAAAUCAACAUGGUCCACUUAUUUGCAUAACUAUAUCAACUUAUCUCAUCGAAAUUUACUUAUAAACCUAAUGUUACUAUUUUUAUCUGAAGCAUCAAAACAAAAUAGAUAAGAGGUACAUGAUUAAAAAAUAAAUAGCACAAACUAAAGACAAAAUAAAUUUGUUGAAGGAUUGUAAAUGGUGAAGUCAACAGAAACCAAAUUAAUUAAAUGUAGCAGACAACAACCAAUCUAUUCACCAAACUCUUUCACAACAAUCUAAAGCAAAACAAUUAGAUAUUUUGACAAUUGUCAAAGAUUAUGUCAAAAUUGACGAGGCUUGCUUUUAGUCUCAGAUUUAUCGGCUCAGCUGUGAUUAUAAGAUAUUUUAAAUAUAUUUGUUGUAUAAGAUCAUAAAUUUAUUCUUUGGAUAUAAAUUUAUUAAUAUACCAAUUGUUAAUAUUAAUACCUUUAAAAAAAGAAACAAUUAUUAUUAUUAGUUCAUUUUGGACUAUAAAAAGUGAAUAUUGAACACAGAUAGACAAUUUACUUUGAAACUCCGAUACUUUAAAAUGGAUGACGAAUUGUAUCAUGUACCGAUAUCUGCAUGAUACUUUCCGAUACGUAUCAAGAGAGUAUCCGGAAAUUAAAUUUUAUUUUUAAGAUACUUCCCAAUACGUAUCAGAAGAGUAUCUGAUAAUUAUCCUGAACCGAUAGCUCCCCCGAUAUUUGCCAAUUAAUGUUAACUAAAAUAACUUAACUCUUGAGUACUGAUGUGUUCUUUUUUGGAUAUAGUGCUUCUUUUUUGGAUCGAUAUAAUAUAGCACUAACAAUGUUCAUUUUGAAUAUAGUAUAGCACUCGUGGUGCUCUUUUUGGAUAUAUUGUGUAUGUAAUUGACUAAUUAUCACUUUCUUAAUCAUCAAUAUUAUUUAUAAUUAUUUAUGUUGAUGUGCUACGAGCCUAUUACUGGUUUCUUUUGUUUGUUAAUAUAUUUGCAUAUACAAAAAUGGUUAUAAUUAUAUUGUAUAUUUAAUUAUAUAAUUUUUUAUUAACGUAUCCCAGUCGUAUCGUAUCUUGAUUUUUGAAAUUUUUCCAUAUCGGUACCGUAUCGUAUCUCGUAUAUGGGCUUCACAGCUGAUAGUCAUAUACAGAUAAUAUGCAACCGUUCAAAAAAAAACAAAUGAAAAUAUAAUACACAAUAAUUAUACUUAUGUAACUUUAAUAUCUAUGCAUGAAAAGUGUCAAAUGAUCAUCGUGAGCUUAGUUCAGUUUGUAAGAACAAUGUAUAAUAUAUGCAAGGUCCAGGGUUCAAACCCCAGCCACCACAAAAAAAAAAAAAAGUCAAAUGAUCUGUAAUAAAUACAAAGGAAAAAUUACUUUAAGUAAAUUUUCAUUUUGCCUCUAAAGAAAAUUUUCAUAUUGAUCAAUUUUUAGUCUCUCGCAAAAAUAAAUUGAAAUAGGUCUUAUAAUUUAAAGGAAAUGGAAUAACUACAUUUUGUAAAUUUUAAUUUUCGUCAAUUUUUAGUCUCUCACAAAGAUAAUCUGAAAAUAUCAGUCUUAAGUGAAAAUUUAUGUCAAUUUUUUUAAGGCUAAAGUUACAUAGACACUCAUUUCAGCCAUACCACCCCAUACACACGCUUAGGUGGCAUUUGUUCUGAUUUUUUUUAUUUACUAAUCCAAAAUGAAUGAAAAGACCAACACACCCUUAGAUCUCACAGGAGAAAGAAACUCAAACAAAAAGCCAUCUCUGGUCAUUGUUCAUUGCCCCUAACCUGAAAACCCUAGCAGCGGAUUCAGUCUUUCUAUAACCAUCUUCGUCCACGGCCACUCUUGUCGUCUCUCCUCCCACUUUGUUGUCUCUCUCUCUCUCUCUCUCUCCCCCCUUAUCUCCCUCGUCAUCUAUCUCACCUUUGACUCCCGUAAUUUAAAACGAAUUUUUAUAGAUCUGGCGAAGCCAUGGCCAGUGGGAUCUCAGGUGGAACACACCAGAUUUGGAGAACCGCCACCUAAGAGAAUGACAGAGAGAUGCGAGAUUGACGACGAGUCCUAACAGUCAAACUUUGUUAAGAAUGGUAAGACAAUUGUUUCGGAAAAGAGGACAAUAUUUUCCAAUUGAGGAUGGUAGAGACAAGAAGGAAAAAGAAGGAUUAGAAUGAUGGUGAUGGUGUGCCCGUGGAGAGAGAGAGAGAGAUCAAAGGCAAAAAAUAAUUUUUCUUUUUCUUUUCUUACAUGGAAUAUGCAUAAUUUUUUAUUAUUAAUUUUGUCAUUAACGAGUGGUAGAAGACUGGUAAAGACACAAAAGGGUGUCCAUGUAUAAGAGCUCUUUUUUCCGCUUGCAUCCAAAGCUUUAAAAAAAAGUCACAUACUAAAAGUAAGUGAUUCACAUUUUCCACUUCACGCAACCUGCAACACACACAUUUAUACUAUGUUGAAGUAUUGCACGUUGAACUGAAUUAUCCUUUGUAGGGAUUUGGUUCUAAAGUAGCCGCCACGUAAAAAUAGAUACCCGAAACUAUUUUGUUCCAAAUUAUUACAUGUAAAUUAUGUUGAGUAUUUGGUUCCACAUUCCUCCAUCGUAACCAUCUUCACCCUAAUAAAAUUCAAUUAUUAAAACUCCGUGAGUUUUAUUUCGGGUAUGCGAAAAGUUUGAUAGAUGUAUACUUGUCUCAAAAGAGGAAUGUCUAUGGUUGAGUUUUAGUCUUUGUUAGAUUUCGUAACAUUAUAGAUGAUAAAAUUAAAAUUCAAUUAUUUAAUUAGGUGAAAAAAAUAAAAAGUAAAUAAAAAAGUUUAGAUGCAUGAUGAUAUUAGAAGAUAAAUGUUACACAAAAAUAUGAUAUUUUAUUUCCCCCUUAUCAUAUAAUAUGAUACUACAUUCAUUGUUUUCUAAAAACAUUAUUCAUUCCCCUAAAAAACUAUGUUCAUCGUACCCUCUUAGUACAUGUAUCAUCCAAUAUUUACUAAAUAGUUUAAUUAUUAUUUUUGACAGAAUUAAUAAUUUAAUUAUUAAUUGACAUUUUUAUUUGAAAAAGUUGUAUUAGAAUAAGUUGAAUAUAACAAAAAUGAAAGAAUACCAAUACAUAUGGCGUAGAAUAUAACAAAAGGAAAAAAAUACAUAAUUUAACAAAUGAAUGAAUUAUGUCAAAAAAGACAAAUGAAUGAAUCUUACUAAAAAAAAAAAAGAACAUGUAAAUCAAUUUGGCUUCGUUGCCACCUCCAAAUACCCUUUACAAAAAUACUCUUUCACCAAAUGAAAGGAUAUACGAUUUUUAAAAAGUUUAUGCUAAAGUACCUUACGCGUAGAUGUGAAAAUUGCCGUUUUAAAUUCGUGUUUGUUUCUUGUCAAAAAAAUUCGUGUUUGUUUAAUUCGUCAAUUGAUUACUGGUACGUUGAGUUAAAAAAUUAAUUUUUAACUCGUGUUUGUUUAAUUCGUCAAUUGAUUAAUUUUUUAAUUCAUCAAUUUUAGGCAUGGCAACAAAAUCCAUACCCGUGAUUAUCCACCCGAACCAAACUCAUUUUGACGGUUUCCCCGUUUUAACUAGGUUUGGGUAUGUGUUUAGGUUUUCCUCGAUUUUAAGACACGGGUAUGGGACACCCACCCCGAACCCAUACCCAAACCCGUCUCGAAUGUAGAAAAUUAUUUUAUGUUGAUAUGUAUGUUAUUUUGUUUGAUAAUUGUUAUGUUAUAAAAACUAUCAUUGAUAUUUAAAGGAGCAACUAAAUCAAUCGGUCUAACAAAUGUUAAAGUAAGCAUAUUGCUGGAUAAUGCAUUACAAAAUUUUUCUAAAGGUUGCAAAAAAUCUUAUAUUUUUUAUUAAAAAAAAUUAUUCAAUGCGGGGAUGAGGAUGGGGCGGGGAUACCCAAAUCAGUCGGGGACGGGGAUGAGGUUCAAUUUCCCAUCCCCGUUGGAUAUGGGUAGGGUAACGGGUAAAUAUAUUAAAAUCGGGUAUGAGGAAGGGGAAUGUAAAAUCCGUCCCCACCCUCCCCCAAUGCCAUGCCUAGUCAAUUCGUGUUUAUAAUUGAGUUAGGUUGGGGUAUACUACCUUUUAACUCGUGUUUAUAAUUGAGUUAGGUUGGGGUAUACUACCUUUUAAAAAAAAAAACUCAUGUUUUAAUAUGAUGUCAAAAUAAAGAAAACUUGUGUUUUAAUAUAUCAAAGAAAUACUAUCAUUUUGUCAGUUGAGCUAAUAGAACAAAAAGGAAUUUAACUUUUAAAAAAUUUGAUUAUUUUUUGAAGAGUCACAUUGGAUGUGAGAUGACUUGAAUAAAUAUUUAUAAGUGAUAAUAUACUAAUGUGAUAUUAAAGAUUUCUCCACGAUCCAUGAAACCACUUGCUCUCAAGCAUUUGUUAUUCGGCCACACAUCUUUCAUAUUCAUCACCAAAUCCAAUUGUGUUGUUUGUUAUUGUAAAAAAAAAAAAUAAUAAUAGUGUUGUUUGUUUUAAAAAGUGCGUUAAGGAUUCUACAUUUAAUGUGAUGUUUAAACAUAUGUUUAUAAAUAGAGAUUGACAAAUCGGUUUUGUAGAAUUUUGUUAUACCCAACAACAAAUUCUAAAAUAACAUUUAAUUUUUUUAUUUCUUAAAAUGUUUUCUAAAACUCUUGGUAACAUUUCUAUAUAGUAAAAUUGUCAAUGAAGAAAACAUUUACAAAAUACAAACAAAUGCAUGAAUUUGUUAACAUUUGUAUAGUAAAAUUCUCAAAGAAUAAAACAUUUGAAAAAUACAAACAAAUGCAUGAAUGAAUGAAUCUUACUACUAUUUUAAAAAAGAAAAAGAAAUGAAUGAAUUUGACUUUGUUGGUCGCCACCUCUAAAACCACACCACACUCCCCAUAAUACCCUCAAAAAAUUUCUCAAUUGACAAAAAUACCCUUCCCCCAACUACCACCACGUCUCUCUCUGUCUCUACCCAACAACAACCCCCAAAAUAACCAAACCCUUUCUUUCUUUCUUUCCCUUAUAAAACCCUCUCAUAACUUCUCAUACCCUCUCCAGUUCACGCCACCUUCUCUCAAAGCGUGACCAUUCAAAAACAUCAUAAAAUAAAAAAAACAUUCAAACACAACAAAAUCAUUCUGCAACAAACAAACAAACACAAACACAAUGUCUCUCUCUUCAACAUCUUCCACCUCUCUCAUUCCCACCAAAUCAUUACUCCAACCCACCAAACCAAACCCACCUUCAUUCCCCAUCGGGCUCAAACCCAUGCCCAAACCCAAACCCGGUUCAAUCCUCGCCGUUCACGCCGCUGAACCAGCAAAAAACCCGGUCCUCACCGAAAAGCCGAGCAAGCCUCAACCAACCACCAUCCCCCGCAAUGCAUCCACCAAAUGGACCAUUGACAGCUGGAAAUCCAAGAAGGCUCUUCAACUUCCUGAAUACCCGAGUCAGGAAGACCUUGAAGCGGUUCUCAAGACACUCGAUGCUUUCCCACCGAUUGUGUUUGCUGGUGAAGCUAGAACUUUGGAGGAGCAUUUGGGUGAAGCUGCUAUGGGAAACGCGUUUCUUCUUCAAGGUGGUGAUUGUGCUGAGAGCUUUAAGGAGUUUAAUGCUAAUAAUAUUCGUGAUACUUUCAGGAUUAUUCUUCAGAUGAGUGUUGUUAUGAUGUUUGGUGGUCAAAUGCCGGUUAUUAAGGUAAAAACUUCAAAUUCUGUUAUUUCUUUUUUUUAAAAUGAUGUAUCAUAAUCAAUCAUAUGAUUUGACUUUAGAUGUGUUGUUAAUUUGUUAUUAUUAAGUUAAAUAUUUUUAAUGAUUUGAUGAUUCUGAAAAGAAUCAAUAUUAUCCGUCCAGUUGGUAAGGAUUUGACUUGUUUGAGGAUUUGAAUCUGCGAGGAUUCAAAUUCCAAUGUUGAUGUGAUGCGAAUAUGUAAUAAACUUUAGUAAACCCCGAGAUUUUAACUGACCCUGAUGAGCUCAUAAUCUAGUUUUGUGUAAAAAAAAGAUUCAAUUUUUGUGUGAUGAUGAAAAUGUGAAAGUUGUUUUUUUAUGUGUAGGUGGGGAGAAUGGCGGGUCAAUUUGCGAAGCCAAGAUCGGAUAAUUUUGAGGAGAAGAAUGGUGUGAAGCUUCCUAGUUACAGAGGGGAUAACAUCAACGGUGAUGCAUUUGAUGAGAAAUCCAGGACACCGGAUCCUCAGAGGAUGAUCCGUGCUUAUUGUCAAGCUGCAGCUACUCUGAAUCUUCUCAGAGCUUUUGCUACUGGUGGUUAUGCUGCUAUGCAGAGGGUUACUCAGUGGAACUUGGAUUUCACUGAACAAAGUGAGCAAGGAGACAGGUAUAUUGUAACCUUCACUUUGUCUUUUUCUUAAUUUUUUUUUCUCCAAGGAAUUUGUGAUUCUUAUUUGUUAUAAAGUUUCCUUGAUAUAUUUUUUUAGUUUCUGGUUUUGUUAUUCAAAUUAGUCCUAUAUUUGUGAAGAUUUGACUGCUUUCAAUUGUUGAUAAAUUGACUAUUGAAAUUAUAAUACAUGACACAUUAUAAAGUUAUUUUAUUUUACAUUUUAGACUUUGAAUUAUGUCUAAAGGAGAUUAAUCUGAUUCUUGAAUUUUUGUUUAUGGCAAAAAGCCAAGACAUGUUUUUGUCUUUUCCACAGCCUUCUGAGAGUGUCUCAAAAGGUAUCACUCACCUUUGUUGAGAAUAUACUCGCCUAAAAAAUAUUUUUUAGAAUGGAAGAAAAUUGAUUUGAUCUGUUUUUUAAGUGAUUUUUUUUGGUUUAAUACAUGAUGAUAAAGGUAAAGUGAUGAUUGAUAUAACAAGUGGGUAUGCAUGUUUAAUGUGGUUGGCAUUGGGUUGUUAUUUUCCUCUCAAAUAAUGAUGUUGAUUGCUCACUGUGUUCAAUUUCAUGUAUAAUGAUGCUGAUACUUAUGAUGAUAAUUGAUAGUUAUCUAUGUAAAUAUUUAUCUUCUGUUCUUCAACCGUGAAAUGAAAGACUAAUAAUAAGGAUAAGAAACAUGAAAAAAGAUAAUAAUUUAAAAAAGAGGAUUCUUAAAAAUUCAGAAUGAUUUAUUCAAUAAGCUUUGUGUAGUUGAUGUUAAUAUGAGGUUUAAACAUUAAAGAAGGGUGUUUAUGUGUAGUUAUUAUUCCUUCAUUGCUUUCAAGAUAAUAGUUGAUCUCAUGGAAGUGCUAACUUGAAUCCUUUGCAACGGCUGCAACUGUUGGAUUGAGAUCUAGAUUCAACUGCGCCAAUUUAAGUCUUUAUCCAACGGCUCUGCAGCCGUUGACUUUGUGCAGCUACAACUCUUUGUUUUGUUUCUAACAUGGUCUAGUUAUGUUAAUGUUGGAUAUAUAAAUGUGAAUUUUGGUAAAUUAAACGUAUUCUUGGCAUGACAGGUACCGUGAGCUUGCUAACCGAGUUGACGAGGCCCUUGGAUUCAUGGCUGCUGCUGGUCUCACUGUUGACCAUCCAAUAAUGAGAACAACUGAUUUCUGGACUUCACAUGAAUGCUUGUUAUUGCCAUACGAACAAUCACUUACUAGGUUGGAUUCAACUUCUGGUCUCUAUUAUGACUGCUCGGCCCAUAUGAUUUGGGUCGGUGAGAGGACCCGACAGCUAGAUGGUGCCCAUGUGGAAUUUCUAAGAGGAGUUGCUAAUCCCUUGGGAAUCAAGGUUUGUACAUUAUUCUUAUCAUGCAACUUCAAUUUCGUUUUAUAAUCUCUUAUAAGUUGAGGUACUAAAUAUUAUUAAGCAAGUAAAUUGAAUCACUUAGCACAAUCUCUUAUAAUUUUUUUUAUACAUUGGCAGGUAAGUGACAAGAUGGAUCCAAAUGAGCUUGUUAAACUCAUUGAGAUCUUGAAUCCUCAAAACAAACCAGGGAGAAUAACUAUAAUCACUAGAAUGGGAGCUGAAAAUAUGAGGGUGAAGCUUCCACAUCUUAUCAGGGCAGUGCGUAGAGCAGGACAAAUUGUCACAUGGGUCAGCGAUCCUAUGCAUGGAAACACCAUAAAGGCUCCAUGUGGUCUCAAAACUCGCCCCUUCGAUGCCAUCAGGGUAUGUAAUUCUCAUCGACUCUUUCUUUUUUAGUUGGUGACAUGUUGCUUUCGAGUAUCUUUAAUAUCUUACUUUUUGAUUUACAAUCAAAUUUUAUUUAUCACCAAAUAAUGAAAUUGUUCCACUUGUGGUUCACAAUCUUUGCUAGAAAUAAAUAUCAUGCCUACUAUUAAAAGUUCUACUUAAAAUUAGAAUAAGGAAAAACAUUGAAAAAGAUUAGUGGAGAGUAAGUAAAUCUUGCUUAAUUUGACUAAUGUAUGUGAGCUGGUCCAUGAUGGUGGGCUACCAAACUUCAAGGCUUAUGUAUAUGAUUUAGAAUUUGGAGUGGUAGGUGGCAAAAGGGCCACUUGUAGAAGUAGGUGAAAUAGUUAAGUAUUCAAGAAAUCAUUUUUUUGUUCUUUGGUGACUACGAAUGUCAUUAUUGACCAAUUGGGUCUAACAUAGUUGAAUCCCUUAAUUAUGUGUUAGGAUAGGAAAAACUCGCUUUGGCGAUCUUUGUACCUUGGUACACGAUUCAUCUGUAAAUUUUGGGUGAACUCUGAAUUUCGAUUAAGUAUUCUGUUAAAUAUAUGAAACCUGUCCAGUCUCUACUGUUAAAUUGAGGGUAUAUUCCUAAAUUUUUGUAGAGAUGCCCUUGAUGAUUCAGGGUUCACCUAAAAUUGUCAUUAUGUUGCUAAAUUGUAAUUCUUUUGGGUAGGUGGGAUUAGACUUUAAGGGACCAUAUUAGUGUAAAUUUUUAUUUUUUUUCCAACUUAUAGAAAGAGACAUCAUACCACUUUAUAACUUUAAUCCCAAGAUUUGAAUUUUGUGAUUAUGAUUACCAAUAAUGUUACUAACUUUUGUUUCACUGAAUUAAUUGGACACAGGCUGAAGUGAGAGCAUUCUUUGAUGUUCACGAACAAGAAGGAAGCCACCCAGGAGGAGUUCAUCUCGAGAUGACAGGUCAAAAUGUGACCGAGUGCAUCGGUGGGUCAAAGAUAGUCACAUUUGACGAUCUUAGCUCACGCUACCACACACACUGCGAUCCUAGACUUAAUGCUUCACAAUCUCUCGAGCUUGCUUUCAUCAUUGCUGAAAGGCUAAGAAAGAGUAGAAUCAGAUCACAGCCUCCUCUUGAAUCUACUGGAUUUUGAAAAAGGAUUUGAAGAAAAACUCAACACAAUACCUUUGUUCUUUUUCUUAUAUAUUUAAUGGUUGUUGUUUACACACUGAUGUGGUGGACCUGAAACUGUUAGCUAGUUAGCUUUAUGUUGUUGUGUAUUGUGCUUGUAUUGUAUACUGCCUAGCAAUGCUUUUGAACUUGGGAAGGACUAAGAGUGCUUUAUUAUUAAUAAAGGAAGCUAAAAAGUUUCUAUUGCAUUUGGCAAAUUGAGUCUUUGAUAAUGACAGGCAUUGGCUUGCAAGUUGCAAUAAUUUAACUUUGGUGGUACUAAACAAAAUAUAUCUAAAUCCAUUAGAGGGUUGGACUCAAUGUGAUUGGACUUGGUGUGUGUUUUUUAUAUUAUGGUGGACGUUAAUAUAGACCAUAUACAUAAUUUAUUCAAUGAAUUUAAAAAAUAAAUUUUUAUUAACUUUUGUAAAAUCACAGUUGAUCGUCAUAAUUCUAACGAAUUCAUUGUGAUUCCAAACAUGGGCUUAGUAAUGAACAACCAGCCUAUGAGCUCAAUUAUUACUUCUUUUCGCAUGUAUGAAGGAAUGAAUAUGGUUAUUGGGAUUAUCCAACUUAUAAUUUUCUGCAAUUAAAGCAAAAGAAUUGUAUACCGUUACCUCGUAUGCUAGUAUGAGCAGUCCUUGUAUAGAAAUAUCAUUUGCAAACACAAAAAUACAAAAUGUCCAACAGUUUCACUUCAGUGGUGUAUUUUUAUAUUUAUUUAUGAAUGUGUAUUUUUAUAUGGUCUCAAAACAGAGUUUUAUUAUACUAUAUCCAACGUAUGUUGUCUCCUUUGAGAUCUCAAUUUCUCUCGAAAUAUUAAAUACCUAUUUAUCAUAUUAUUAUUUUAGUUUUUUAAAGAUCAAAUUAUAGACUUAAGUCUUUAAAACUAUACUCCUAAAAAAAUUCAUCCAACCUACCGUAAAUGUCGCAUAAAAACGUCUCCAGAUUCAAAAUCCACGUGUUUAACCAUUUUGAUUUUUUUAGACCACCUCUUUUUUCUUUUUUCUUUUUCUUUUUUUUUUUUUUUUUUUUUUUUUUUAAGUUUGUUCCUUUUUUUUGUCGAAAGAUAUGAGAUUUCAAUGAAACGCGGUAUAACCAAAAAAUCGGUUAAAACCACAAGUCAAGUAUAAAAACUAGUCGAUGGCACCUCCACCGGAUGGACAAAAACACCCAAACCACAAAAGAAAGAGAGAAGAUAAACUAACCCCAAAAACAACAAACAAAAAGCUAUUUCAAUAAACACAAAUACUUAUUAAGUUGGAAUCUAGCCGCAUAUGUGUUAAAUCUCUUGCGGAAGAACUUUUCUAUCCAUUGCGGUGUUAUCUAACUCAUAAUUAAUCUUUGCAAUUGCGAGUAGAGGAUACAUGAUUCUUUUUUUUUUCUUUUUGAUGGUAGAUAGAUGAGAUGACAAAGUCAUUAUAAACAAACUCACACACACAAAGUGAAGGUAUCGGGGUUCGAAUCUCAUGCACGACGUCUGGUCUAACAAUUAUUUCGGUAUUUUUGUCUGUUGAGCUAGAACUUAGAGACGAUGAUACAUGGUUUUUUUUUUUUUUUUUGUCAAGUAGUCUAGUGGCUAGAAUUCACAUUUUUUCAGAUGAAUAAAUGAGGUGUCUGGGGUUCGAACCCCAGCCUCUGCAUAUAAGGUACUUGAGCUCAAAUAUUUGAUUUGUUGCGCUCGGCACAAAUAAAAUUUGGAUUGAAAAGGCUAACAGUAACCAAGUAGUUUGAAUCAAAUAAUUAGUUUCGGCUAAAAUUGAACCGUUUGGUUAUUAUUUGAUUCCGGUCUUUAGCUAAAAUAAUACUAUUAUGAUCUCACUCUGGAUUGAUCGACGAUCCUUUUACUCGAUAAUUGGAUGAUCAAGACAAAAAAAAUUGUGCAUUUAAAAAUAGAUCAAAAGAAAACUUGGUAAUAUUCAUUCAAUAUAUUUACAUUUUUUACAAGCACAUCCAAUUAAAUAAAACUAAGUCACGUUUUAUAUUUUCUUUGAGGUGUGUGUGUCACCUUUUACCAGGUGAGAGUUACCUAGUGAAAUGUUGAUAACCUAUUAUGUUUUGUUAUUUUAGAUAAGGUAGGUAACCUAUUCUUAGAUAGCCCCACUCCAUUUUGUUCUCAGCUGCCAAAUUCCCGAAUGUAUAUAUAUAUAUACACACACACAUUAUUUGUGUUUUGAGGAAAUAUGUAUACAAUAUUUGUCACCUUCUCUAUUUACAUACAAAGAAAAAACCAGCAAGAGUUGGCAUCCAACAUUUGAAUAUUAUGUGUUCAUAACUCAUAACAGGCAAGAUUUUUAACCACAAAAAAUAUUUUUGACCAAACACUCUAAGUUGAACUAACUGAAACUUGACAAAAGCUCUAAUAGUUAGGUCUCCAAACCACCCUAAAUGCUGGACCAAUACCUCCCUCAAAUAUUUCUUACUCUAUAUAAGACCAAACACUAUCCCCUUCCUUCUCAUAAAAUCUCAAAUCAAACACUCUUCUACAAAUAUACACCUUGAUUAGUUCUAUCAAUUCAUCAAGUCAUGGCCUCAAUGAAAACAUUCAUCACAUCUUUAUUUCUUUUCGUUGCCUUGUCAAACAUGAGCCUAGAAGCUCGAAACCUUUUGCAAACAACCACACAACCCAAUUUGCCAAACAUUCCCACUUUGCCAAAUCCAACAUUGCCUUCAAUUCCAACAACAUUGCCACCUUUGCCCUCAAUCCCAACAACAUUGCCACCUUUGCCUUCAAUGCCAACAUUGCCUCAACCUCAAGGUAAUGUUCCUCCAUUGCCUACUAUCCCUUCUAUGCCUAAGCUCACUAUGCCACCACUUCCUAGCAUUCCUACCAAUCCAACACUUCCAUCUCUCAACUUUCCACCAUUUCCAUCCAAUUCACUUCCCAACAUUCCUUCAAUCUCAACCAUUAUCUCCUCCAUCCCUUUCUUCUCUCCACCACCUUCAACAUCUUCCCCUUGAAGUCUUUUUCGCGUGUUCAUAUCGUUAUUGUGUGUGAUGUAUACUGUUGGAGAUUAUGAUGAUAGUAUUAUUAUUGUAUGGUGUGAAAAGUUUGUGUAUUUUUCUUUUUUAUUUAUGAAUUUGAUAUUAUUGCUUGUACUCUUUUAUCGUAAAGACAUUGAAUUAUUACACAUUUAGUUACAACUAUGAUCGAUGUCUUGAACUUUUAAAGUCUUAUAAUAGCAAACAAUAUAACACGCCCUCUCAUCUUUGCAUAUAUAUUAUGGAGACAAAAAUGAGAGUGAAUUAAACUCUAAAAGGCAACAUAAUGGAACAUUGUGUAUGGAACACAAAAAGAGCAACAAAUUGGAAAACAUCAAAAGAAAAAUUUAGAAUGAAUAACAAUCAUGUAAGAAGAUAAUGGCUAAAAUAUGUUUUUGAUCCCCGUAAAUAUGGUAAGUUUGGGUUUUGGUAAAAAAAAAAUUUGAAAUCUAUCCCUGCAAAAUUUUUUGUUUUUUAAAAUAGUCAUUUACCCAAGUUUACUAAUAAUUUGGCACAUUUAUACCUAUGUGGUAUUCGCUGACGGAGUAACUUUGCACAGUUGGCAGCCACGUGGUAAUUAUUUUAGAUUAAUUAUUUAAAAACCUUUAUUAAAAAAGAAAAAAUAUAUUUUUGAAAUUAAAAUAAAACAUUUAAAAAGUACGGAAAUUAAUUUUUCCAAAUUUUAAAAAAUAAAAAAUUAAUUUUUAAAUUAAUUUUUUUCAAAAAAAAUUAAUUUUGAUUUUCGAAAAUUAAUUUCCAUAUUUUUUAAGAAUUUUUUUAUUUCGAAAAAAAAUGAAAAAAUCUUUUUUUUUUUGGUCAAGUCUUUUUUCUCUUUCAAAUUUUUGGAUUUUUCGUUUUUUUUAAUUCUGAAAAUAAAUAAAUUCUGUCCAAUUUUGAAAGCAAAAUCUGAAUAUAAAUUUCUAUUUGUUUUAAAAUUUUAGAAAAAUGUUAUCUAACUUAUUGUUAUUUUUUUAUUUUUUUUUAUUUAAAAAAAUUAAUUUCCAGGAAAAAAUAAAAAUAAAAACCUUUUAAAGUUCGAAAAAAACUAAUUUUUUAUUUAUUUUUAAUUUGUUUUUUCUUAAUUUUUUAAAAUUAAUUUCCUAUUUUUUUAUUUUUAAUUUUGUAAAAUUAAGUUCCAUAGUUUUUAUUUAAAAAAAUAAACUGUAUUUUUUUAUUAUUUCGUUUUUUUUUUCAAAAAUUUUAUAUCGAAAAUUAAUUUCCUUUUUUUCAAUUUUGUUAUUUUUAUUUCAAAAAUAUGUUUUUUGUUUUUUAAAUAAUUAAAAUGAAAUCAGUUACAUGCGGCUGCCACCUGUGCAUAAUUAAACAGUCAGCAAGUGACACCUAUGUAAAAAUCAGACACAUAAGCAAGAAAGUGAGCCCAAGAUCCUUUUUAAAAAAACAAAAAAUUUGUAGGGAUUGAUUUAAAAAAAAAUUACCAGGGAUCAAAACCCAAAUUUAUUAAAUUUACAGGGACUAAAAGCAUAUUUUAGUCUAAGAGUAUUGAUGAUUGAAGAUUGGACUAUUGACCUAACCAAAAGCUUAUUUUCCUUGUGUUGAGUCAAUUGUCAACCAUGUAAUUGGACACAAAUGGUUCACAAAUAUAAACUAUGGUUAAAUGCUCUUUUGGUCCCUUAACUAUUUAAUUGGUAUCGCUUUGGUCCCUUAACUAAAAAAAAGAUUGUUUGAGGAUUUUAAGAUUUUUUUAGUCUCGUUUUGGUCCCUUCUGUUAGGUUUCCGUUAGGGUUUUAAAAAAAAAAGUUAACUCCUGGACACGUGUCACCUUGUCAUUGGCUCUGAGUUUUUUUCUUUUUACAAAAAAAAAGAUUAUUUUUUUUUUAAAAUUUUAUUUUUUUUUUCAAAAAAUUAAAUAUAUAUUUUAAAAAAAUUAAAACAUUUUUUAUUAAAAAAUAAUAUAUUUUUUGUUAAAAAAAAAAAAACUACAGAGUCAAUGACAAGGUGACACAUAUCCGCACUUAACUUUUUUUAUUAAAACUAACGGAAAUCUAACAGAAGGGACCAAAGCUAUACCAAUUAAAUAGUUAAGAGACCAAAAUAGCAUUUAAACCUAUAAACUAAUGUCGAAUCAGUUGUGUAGUGAAAGAUAUUCCUAAGUAAAAUAUUUUUUCUUCAAAUUAUACUUAUCUAUCGUUUGACCAAAUUCUGAAUUGUUAACAUCCUUUUUUUUGCUUCUCGAGAUCAAUGCAUCCCACAAGGUUGAAAUCAAUUAUGGUUUGCAUUCAAUUGUCUACUAUGAUUAUGGAAACUCUUUCUCUUGUUAGUCAAUGGGUUCCUAAGAGCUACAAGACUUAAUUAUUACUGUGUUGGAUCAAAUUGUUUGUCUAUGUAUCAUCGAGACUUCAAAUUGAAAGUGUGUUUAAGUGUUCGCAAUCUGUUGGCAUCCAACACGACACCAAUUAUUUGAUCUUUCUUUUUAGAAAAGCACAUUGCCGCUUAUUAUAACAUACAUUUACUUUGGAGUAUUUUCUAAAAUUAUUAUCAGGAUCUAUGUGUCAAUAUCAAUGUUGUCGACUUUUGUGUAUGUUUUAGCUUCAUGGCGUCUAUAUAUUAGUGUGUGUGAUUAUAUAUAUAUAUAUAUAUAUAUAGUAGGGGAGGGAUAUUUUGACUCCAAGAGUAACUCUAAAGAGUUACUCCACAUUACAACCCUUGAUUUUAAUAGUAAUUAAUGGUUAUGAUUAAUUACUAUUAAUCCCUAGCAUAACACUUUUAUGAUACUUCUUCCUAAAUAGUCCCGCACCUGUGAGAGAAUUAAACGGCAGAAUCCUGGAACACGUUGAAUGCCUUUAACAUCAACUGGAAGAAUUUUCUAUUCAUGGUCUCAACAAACAUGACACCAAACAAAUUACAAAGGUUUGUGUAGCAUGUAUUGACCUACAAAUCCUAAAAAUCAUAGAUCCACAUCUACAAAACUGUACAUUCCUUCACCCCAAAAAGUUGGCUAACUAAAUAAAUCAUCACAUUCGGUGUGAUUAAUUCAAUAAAUUUCUUGCUUAUUAAAUUAUAAUUAGGCUCGAUUUUUAUCAACCUAAAGCGUUUUGUUUCAUCAAUCUAAUUAUUCAAUGCAGUGUUAACAUGAUUGAUCUCACAUGUAUUUAAAGUUUGAAGAACAACCUUCAUUUUAGUGUCAGACCAUUACACAUCUUUACAAAUCAUAUUUUGCAUUCCUUGUAGGCACCAUAGUCUCAGUGACAAGGGAUGGAAAAGAAAACAUAAAUUCAAAUAACAAUAACAAUCGAUUAACAUGUAAUAGAUUUUGUUGAUUAACAAUCCAUAUAGAUUAAUUUGUUAAACAAUUAUUUGCAAUGGAAAGCGUAACAUGUGGUAUCAAACUACGGAGACGGAGGCGUGUUGGUUUACGGACUAGUAGCAAAAUCUUACCUAGACAAUUAAUAAUAAAUUAUAGCCAUUAAUUCAUAUUAAAAUCAAUGGCUAAGAUGUGGAGUAACUUUUUAGAGUUACUCUUGGAGUCAAAAUAUCCCUCCUCAUAUAUAUAUAUAUAUUAUUUUUGAACUUGUUAAAAGUUUGGCAUUCCUCUCCUAUAAAUGUAUGUUUCAGCGAUUGUUUUUACUAUUUUGGUUUAAAGAUUGUGGUUUGGGUUAUGGGUACAAAUUCUUGAUAUGAUUACACUAUUAGUAAAAACCCAAGUUCCACAUAAAUUAAAGAAAAGAUCCAACUAUAAUUUAUAAAGAGAUGCAUCAUUCAUCUUAUAAGCCGAUUUUAUAAGAAUGAGAUAAACCUAAUGAUUAACACUAAAACAUAAUAUAAUAUCAAAUAUAUUGAUUCAGGUUACCCACCAUUUAUAUUCAUGCACCAAACAAUAUAGUCUUGGGCAUGUUUUGAAGAAACAAGUCCCACCGUUAAAACCUAAUAUACCACUUCCUCAAAAUUGUGUUCCCUUAAACAAUUGUUAAAGCUAAAUGACUUGGCCCCCUAUUAUUUUUAAAUAUCCUUUUCACCCAGCCACUCGCCUGCAACAUUUCAGUACUAUAUCGCUCCCUCAAUCAACAAAAACCUACCUAUUCUACUCAUCGCCCUCCUUUAUGCUUUGGGUAUGACCACAUUAAAAUCUCCUCCUAAACAUCACUCUAUGAAGCACGGUUACGAUGCGAGGUAUCGGAUAUGAUGAUACGUUGCUCAUUAAAAAAUAUAAGAUACCAUACAUUUAAGAUACGUAUAUAAAAAUUAAAAUAAAGUUAUAAACGGUUAAAAAAUAUAAUAUCAACGUCAUCUCCUUCAAUGUCCAUCUGCUCAUUCACCAUCAUCGGUAAAUAGAGCAACUUCUAAAUUUGAUUCAUCAAGAGACAAGGAUGUAACUUCAAGAGUUCCAACACCAUCAAAGCUUUCCCAUGCAUCUCCACCAAUGUCCCACAUCUUAGUAUUCUCUUCUUUGUAUUCAUCACUUUUCCUACCCAAAAGCCUCAAAUUUGCAUGCACAUAGAAGGUGUUUCUGACAUUAUGUUGCUUCUGCUUCUAGAUGACUGGUUUGAAUCAAGGAAUACUCUACUACCAUUUCCUUCAAGGUGGGUACUCUAGUAGUGACUAGUGAGUUUGUUUGUAUCUUCUAUAUAGUUGUUUGUUCAGAAUCGGUAAUUGUGGCAUAUUACAUGCACAACAGUGAAUUCAAUUUGCAAAGUAAAAGAAUUAUGAGAAAAAUAAACAAAUUUUGAAAAUACUAAAAAUUAAAUGGGUGCAUCAAAAUUUACAUGCAUCAAAAUAUUAGUCUAUCCUUGGAUUCUUGGAAUCGGUUUGUUUUAGAGUCUCCUUCUAGUGAACUUUAAAGUCUUAUUUUUUAUAUUUUUGGUGAUUACAUGCCUAGGAAUCGUGUAACUUAAUUUUUUUUUUGGGCCACAAAUCCUCUCUUGUACCAAAAAAAAAACUACAUGCAUCAAUUAAAGUAGAGAAAAGGUAAUUAAAGUUAGAGAAUAAUAAUUAAGGAAGGGAUAAAGAGUCAUGAGAAAUAUCUGAGGACUAUCAGAGUUUUUUGUAAUUAAAAAAACUAUGAUACUCCUUCAAUGCAUAUUGACAGCGUAUCAGAACGUAUCAACGUCUUGGACACGAUGCAGUGACAAUCCUCACAAUACUCACUAAAAACCUUAAGUAAUCUCCAACUCUUUAGGUAUGUGUUAGUUUCCCUCUAUAGUUUUAUAUCUUUUGCGAAAGAAAUCUCACUCUUUAUAUAUACCCCUCCAUCCAAUUCAGCACAAAUUCUCAACAGCAAAAAAAAUUCACCACAUACACUCUUUUUAGCUUUGAAUAAAUCAAGAUUUCAAAUUAUAAUCAUUCCUCCACACAAUUCUUGUGAGGACAUGACCACCCAAUUUGAUUUUUUAUUUCCCCACAAAUUUAAAAUUUCAGCCUCCUUAGUUUUUAACCCUCCUAAUGACAUUACAGGGAAAACUAUAAGUCAAGCUAAAAUCCUAAAGGAUGCUUUAGAGAAAACUAGAUUGGAAUAACCUACUCUUAGAUAGUCCAACUCCUCUUAACAAUUUGUCGCCUUUUACAUACAAAACAGUAAGAGUUGGCAUCCAACAUUUGAAUAUUAUGGUUUUAUAACUUAAUUAUACAGCCAACCAUAUUAGCUGCUUGACCACAAAAAUAGUUUGAUCAAGGAAGUUGAACUAACUAAAACUUUAAGUUCCAAAAAAGAAAAAAACCAACUUAAACUUGCAAAAGCUUUUAUAGUUGUCCAAACCAUUAUAUUUGUUGGACCAAUAUCAUAUAUCUUACUCUAUAUAAGACCUAGCACUAUCCCUUUACUUCUCAUAAAAUCUCAAAUCAAACACUCUUCCAACUUUCAUCAAGUAAGAAGUCAUGGCCUCAAUGAAAACCAUCAUUACAUCUUUACUUCUUUUUGUUACCUUGUCAAACAUGAACCUAGAAGCUCGCAACCUUUUGCAAACAACUACACAACCCAAUUUGCCAAGCAUUCCCACUUUACCAAAACCAACAUUGCCUUCAAUUCCAACAACAUUGCCACCAUUGCCUUCUAUUCCAACGUUGCCUUCAGUCCCAACAACAUUGCCACCUUUGCCUUCAAUGCCAACAUUGCCUCAACCUCAAGGUAAUGUUCCUCCAUUGCCUACCAUCCCUUCAGUGCCUAAGCUCACUAUGCCACCACUUCCUAGCAUUCCAACCAAUCCAACACUUCCAUCUCUCAACUUUCCACCAUUUCCAUCCAAUUCACUUCCCAACCUUCCUUCAAUCUCAACCAUUAUCUCCUCCAUCCCUUUCUUCUCUCCACCACCUUCAACAUCUACCCCUUGAAGUCUUUUCGCGUGUUCAUAUCGUUAUUGUGUGAUGUAUACUGUUGGAGAUUAUGAUGAUAGUAUUAUUAUUGUAUGGUGUGAAAAGUUUGUAUUUCAUUUCUAUUUAUGAAUUUGGCAGUAUUGUUUGUACUUUCCUUCAUCUUAUAGAUGUUUAAUUACACAUUUAGAUACAAGUAUACAACUAUGAUGUCUACUUUCUUCUUCUGAACUCUGUCUUAUAAUUGCUAUAAAAUAUUACUAUUACUAGCCUUAUUAUCUUUACAUAUAAUGGAGAGAAAAUGAGACAGUGGAACACCGAAAGCCAACAUAACUGGAACAUUGUGUUAUGGAACAAAAAUUAGCAUCAAUAAUUGAAAACAUGGAAUCCACAUGCUUAUAGAAUCCACAAGCAUUAGUCUACUUUUCUUUUAAUUGUUUUUCUGAUUAAAUUAGUCUCUACUAUUCUUCUUUCCCCUUGUAUCAGUUUCAAACUGCCACAACUUGCUUUACUUAACAUUCUCCUUAUUGCAAAAGCUCAUGAGAUAUUACAUCUUUACAAAAAGGUACUUGCAUCUCCAAGUUCCAAAUUUUGAUCAUAUCCACAAGUUUAAAAGUGUGAUGGAGGAAGGAAGAUCCAAAAAGUACAUAAGGAAAUUGAGUCCCAACAUAUAUGAAAACUAUUUAAUAAUAACAAGCCAUAUAUACAAGUGAAGCUUGAAAUAUAAACAAGGAACUAAUGCACUAUGAAGCAUAGAUAGAUAAAAAUACCGGACACGACACUAGUAAUAAUUUGAGAAUAUGGAAAUAAUUUGGACAUAACUACAUGUGUUUGUGUCGGACAUCAGAUACGUCUUCAAUCUGAUGUGUCGAUGCUAGAUAGCUUUAGCACCCUCACAACAAAUAAUAGCUAAUAUUUGUUCAUGAAUACACUUAAAGAGGAGGACACAUAAAAUCACCAAAUGUUUCUAUAUCUUCAAGAUCUGCAUCAAGAUCAAACUCAUCCAAGUCCAUGCUGCCUACACUAAGAAGUCCACCAAUCUUAGGGUUGUUAAGAGGUUUUCUUGCCUCUUGUAGAAUGGACAGAACUUCAUCAACACUUUGUGAUGGAUUAUUUACAUCAUUGCUUUGCCAGCUUCCACCUUCCAUUAAUUCUACUGGUAAGUUCCUUAAAAACCAUGGAUGGUUUUUUAUUUCUGGUAUUGUUAUUCUCUGCAAAAAGUCAUGAAAGACUGAAUGAUAUUCAAAAGGAGGAAGCUACAUGCAUUUCAAGGGAAUAUUUUCAUCAACAUGUCCAAAAUAGAGGAAAGCAACACUUAAACAUGCAUUGGUAAGAGAAAUAACUUAUACGUAAGCACUUAUAUGAUAAGUGUUUAUGCUAUAAGCGUUAAAUUGAGUUGUUUUUCCAAACAGGGCCUAUGUCUUGUAGCUUUUAGGAAUUUAUCAACAAAGAAACUAAAACUAGAUUUUCAAGAUCAAACAAACUCUCUACCUUUUCAGGAUUAGCCACAAAUAUUUGAGAUAGAAGAUUUAUACAUUCCGGUGAAACUCGUACAAAAUCAGGAACUUUGUACUGAACACUAAGUAUCUUCUGCAAUAAACCAAGAGAGGUCCAAUUGAAACAUCAGAACUGAGAAUUCAUAACUAAACAAUUCAAUUUUAUUUCAAGACUUCAUACUGCUUAGGAAUUCAAUAAGUUUGCAGUUAACAACACUCACGGAAAUGGUUUUCUUAAAGUCCUUUGGAUCCGCAGGGUCUUCAAAAGGAUAAGCGCCGACUAACAUCACAUAUAAGGUGACUCCACAAGACCAAACAUCUGCAAUCUAUAGCUUUCAAUGAAAAUAUAGUUAGCAAAUAAAAACAAAAAAAAACUGCAUACAAAAAGGACCCUCUUCAUUUAAAUAACAAAAAAAAGGUAAAAAUUUGAGACAAAGGAUAAGUAAGGAUUUGCGCUGUGUGCAGUCACAGCCUCGUGAUUGCACGCAGUCAGCUACAUUUGGACCGUCCGACAGCUUUCAAGCACGGUAUUUUAUAUUUAUAAAAAGACAAGACCUGCAUUGAAAUUUGGACUCAUGCAUAAUCCAACAGCUUUCAAGGAUGGUCCAGAUGUGGUUGACUGCAGCCACACUGCUCAUAAUCCAAAUCCAUAAUAAGGAAGAAUAAGACUCCACCUUUCCAUCAUAUUCUUUCUUCGUCAGAACCUCAGGUGCAAUGUAAGCUGGAGUUCCUACUGUAGAUUUUGGUUGUGAAUGCAACACAGAUGACUAAAGAACAUGGUAAAAACAAAUGAGCAUCACUUGACAAAAGGAUUCUGGAGCAGUAAUCUUUUGUUAACAUGUUACCUUUGAGUAACCAAAGUCGCAAAUUUUGACUCGUGGUGCAGUGCUUCCGUCUAAGAGUGUGUUUUCAAGCUUCAGAUCUCUAUGGCAUAUUAGCUGCAUAAAACUUCAUUUUAUUAAGAAUAUCUAUUCAUUGCAAAGAUACAAUUUGAAGAUUCGUCAUGAAGUUUUGUUUAGUUUCGUACCAUUGAAUGACAGUAACUGACUCCUGAUAUCAAUUGCUGAAAGAAAAACCUUGCCUGAUAAAGAAAAAUAUUAAUGACUGAACCAAAACCUAUGAAUGUAACAAUGACUAUACGAGCUUAACAGAAACAAUUAGUAAGAGAUGGACUUUGAGCAUGUUCGGAUUGGCUUAUUUGAACUUAUCUAUUAACAUAAACUAUUGUUAGACGUUUUGAGAGAGCUUAUGGAAAAAAGCUUAUGAUAUGUUCAUAAGUUGUUUUCAAUUUUCAAAAUAGUUAGACUUGUAUGAAAACGCUUUUAACUUUAUUUUAUCUUUUGUUAUAGAAAUGACUUAUACGUAAGCACUUAUACAAUAAGUGUUUAUGCUGUAAGCACUUAAAUACCUGUAUCCGAACAGAGCCUUUGUUCAACCUUUUCAUCAAAAGGGCAACUUUACAGAAGACAGAAUAAAUACAUAAAAUAUUUCAUAUAGUAAACUCUAGUUUCGAAAUUACCUCAUCUUCACUAAAUCUACCAGCACUACAUAUCCUCUCAAACAGUUCUCCUCCAGCAGCGUACUCCAUUACAAUGGCUAGAUGUGUUGGUGUUAGCAGGACCUGCGAUGCAAGUCCAUGCAUCAAAACUCAUGCAAAAUUGACUAGAGUAAUAUUUCGAUAGAGGUAUGCAUUAAUAUAACCACUAGCACAAGGUUCAAUAUCAAAUUAAUUCAAAAGGAAGAAAACAGAAAAUUAACGAUACUUCCAUGAAACUUAACCAUAUGAUAACUAUAAAUCAAAGAGCUUCGAUAGUAAGGUCUCUAAGUUUCAUGAAUGAACUACAUGAAAUAACUGUUAUAUGAAUCAUCCAACCAAUCUCAAAUCAACAGUCGAGAUUAAUUUGUGUGUAUAAAUACAUGUGUUUUCUAAUGCAUGGAACCCAGAUCCAUCAUCCCCACCACCACACUAAAAAAAUAUCAUACAAAAACGAACAAGUAGGAAGAAAAUAACUUUAAUACCAUUUCCACGUAAGUUUGUGGGGAGCAAUGUAUAAUUUUAAAUCCAAUUCCUACUUUUAGCCCACUUUAGUUAACUAUAGAAUACAUAACUAUAAUGUUUCCACGGCUAACUUCCAUCUUUUGUGACAGUAUUGCUAGCUAUGAAGCACAGAUACAUACACAGACACUAGACACAAUACUGAAACUGACACAGACACCGGUAAAAAGUUAUGAAAACUAUUGAAUAUAACUGCAUGUAUUGGUGUCGCGUCGGUAUCCAUAUCUACGUGAGUCGGACACCAGACACGUCUUCAAUAUGAAGUGUUAGUGAUACAUAGAUUGGUGGUAUUUCGUAAUUAUUUUCCACACACACACACACACACAUACAUUCUAUGUUUUGUGACAGUAUUGGUAGCUAUGAAGCACCGUUACAUACACGGACACUAGACAAUACUGAAACUGACAGACACUGGUAAAAAGUUAUGAAAGCGAUUGAAUAUAACCACAUGUACUGGUGUCAUGUCGGUAUCCAUAUCUACAUGAGUCAGACACCAGACAUGUCUUCAAUAUGAAGUGUUAGUGACACAUAGAUUGGUGGUAUUUCAUAAUUAUUUCCCACAACCACACACAUUCUAUGUACAGCUCACAAAACUCAAAUGCUCAUGUAUGUUACUUUUCUGUGAUACUCACAUUCCCAAUCCAUAAGACAUUGAGUUUUAAACCAAUAAGCUAGAAGACUACAUAAGCACAAAUUAACAAAACAGAAAGCAGGACCGAUCCAAUAAUUUUCGAUAGUAGGUGAGGCCUAAAGCCAAUUUGGAAAUAUAAUGAAAAAUAAAUUUUUGUUGGUGGGUCUAAACUAGGACUUUAGUAGCCUUACCCUUGAGUCAACCCUGACAGAAUGGAAACAAAGGAAGUAGGAGUCUUGAAAAGCAAGAAUCAUUGCCAUAUUUUUGCUGAGUUUUAUACUGUUUAGCAACUAAAAAGAAAAGACCCUUCAAUGAUUAGAAUCUUGAGUGUACUAACUAACCUCUUUGAACCUAACAAUAUUAGGAUGCUUCAAUGAUCUAUGGUUCAUGAUUUCCCUUUGGACAUUAUCAUCAAUCUGCAUAAGUACACACACAUCUCAAUAGUGAACCAAAACACACACACACAAUACACAAAAAUGAAACUGAAAUAUUGAAAGGGUUUGAAGGUGAAGUAUAUAUAUACCUUUUGGCCUCUCUCAAUAAACUUAACAGCAAAAAGCUCUUUGGUGAAGAUAUCCCUAACAAGCUUUGCAACAGCAAAAUUCCCAGAACCAAUAUCUUUGACAACCUCAUAGCGAUCCAUGAUCUAUUGCAAGGCUUUUGAUCACAGAAAUUCUACACACUUGUUUGUUCUGUUCUUUGCAUGUAAUAGUAAUAAGAAGGAAUGAAAAGUAAUAAAGCUCAGAAUAACUUGGAUGAAUUGUGAUUCCUUUUUAGACCAAACAAGAACAAAAGUAGGUUCUAGGGGUUUUUGAAAAGCCCCCAAAGUCUUAAACUUUACCAAUACGCAACCUACUAUUUGACUCUUAUGAAGGGAACAUAGUGGAAAUGGAUUCUCUAUUAUUUUAUCACUUUGCUGAUUUAGUAUGUCGGUAGAAAUUUUGAGGCAUUCUCACUGUUAGUACAUUUAUGGUCGUUGAAUUGAAAUUAAACGAUUUAAAUUUUAUGUUUGAUAUUUUAAUUUAAAAGGAUUAACAUUUUUAUUUUAACUUCAACCGUUUGAUCUUAAUUCAAUAGUUAAAGAUAUGCUAAUAUGUUAAAAUUUUAAUAGCAUGAAAUCUAAAUUUGUAUUUUAAAUCUAAAAGUGUGAAUAUUAAUUAAAAUAAACAUUAAACAAAUGAUAAUCUUCCAUCUAAGUUUUAAAUAUGGUUAUCAAAAGUAUAAUAUUAGUAGAUUUUCUUGUUAAAACUAUGGUAUUUGUCUCUCUCUUCUUUGUACUAUUAAGUUUUUAGGUAAAAAUUGUUUUUAAAUCUAUUUCCCAUUGUAGUGAAUUGUUCUUAUCCCAUGUGAUGAGGUAUGACUCAUCUAUCUAGAGAGUUUCUUAAUUUGUUGAAACUUAUGUAUUUAAUAAUACAUUGGAUAAAAAAAAAGUUUAAUUGGUUGACAUUCCUAACUCAACUCAUAAAUAACAAAAUUAUUAAGUUGUAUGUUGUAAUAUUUAGGUUUGAACCAGCGAUCCUUAAUUUGUGUUGUAAAUUUUCAAGUGAAUGUCUAUCCAGAAAAUUUCAAUUUGACAAAAACUUUAAAUAAAGUAUAUUUUCUAUUUUAUUUUUUUAAGGAAAAAGUAUAUUUUCUAGGUUAUGCUGUUAAAAGAAAAGUAUAUAUGUAUUUUUUUUUUCAAGUAGUAGCAUGUUAUCUACCAUGCCUAAUCAACACGUAUGUGUGAACUUCCAACAUCUUCAAAGGAAUCAAUACGGUAGAUUUUGAAUUAAUUGGUCCUGCAUCCCAUGGCAACUUGGUUUCUUUUUCUUCUGUCUUAACCCUUAAUUCUUUUUGUAAAAUUGAGAAAGAGGCAUGAUUAUCCGAAGUCUAGUCAAAUAUUAUCCUACAUUAUCUUCUGUGGAUCUCUGAUCAUCUUUCAAAGCUCACUAUAGGAACUAUUAUAUUUUUUUUUAAAGAAUGAACUAUUAUGUCUUAAGAUUCACUAAUAAACAAUAUCAAAUACAGGUGUUAAAUAUAUAAAAUAUGACAAUUAUAUUUACUAAAAUCUUUUUAAGUAUUCCUUUUUUUCUUAUGGUCCCUGAAUUGUUCCUUACUUUUUUAGAGAAAUAAUUAUUCUUUACUUUACACGCCGAAGCAAUGAAUUAUAAAUAUUUGUUGAAAAAGAAAAAGAUAGUGGAUGAAAAAGCUUUGACGAAAGAAAUGAAUGCAUGAUGUAACAUGCAUGAACUUACAUUUGGUAGUGAUUUUUGGUGUCAAUUAUAAGUUAGAAGUCUAACUUGGUUGAAGAAAUGAAGGUUGACUUGAGGAACGUACUCUCUUCAUUUCAAAAUAUAUAUUUAAUUUUUACAAUAUGUAUUAUUCAUUUGACUUACUUUGAUAUACUUUUUAAUUAAUGUAAAAAUACAAAUAUUAGCAUGUAAGAUGUUGUUUGAUUUGUCUCGACAAAUAUUUUCAAAAUAUUAAAUUUUUGUAAUUUUUUACUUUAGAUAAUUAAAGAUAUUAACGGUCAAAAUUGUGCAUUGACAUAUGUGAAGUGGUUGACUUGAACAUGUAUUUUAAAACGGAUGGAGUAUAAGUUGGAAGACCUACAAAAUAAAUAUACUUACCUUUUUAAAGAUCUUGAGUACAGAUGUCGUAUUAAGUUCUUUUGUAUGGUUGGAUUGAUGUUUUAGAAAGGGAAUGAAGGAGAUGAUUUUUUUAUUUUUUUUUUAAUUACAGACAAUAUAUAAAAUAUAUUUUUUAAAUAAAUUAAGUGUGAUUAAAAUAUUAUAUGAUCAUUUAUUAUAUUAAUGUUUUAAAUUUUUAAAAAUAUUUUAUAGUAUUCGUAAUUUAAAAAAGAAAAUAAAUCUUUUCCUCUCUUCCAAACCAUGCAUCUUCCAAACACAAGCAAUUUGCAAAUUUUCAACACCAUAAAUCGAUUAUUAUUAAUUCUAGUCAAUUUUCCAAAAAAUUAAAGUACUCUUCCUAUAAAUCGAUUAUGCUAAUGAAUUUCUACAGCCAUAAAAUUGAUUUAUGUGCCCAAAUCUAUUUUAAACUCAACAAAAAAUACAUCAAUUAAUAUAAUUCACAAAACAUCGAGAUUAACAAACAAUAAACACAAUGAUAAAGAAAAAUAGUUAGAUUUAUUUUUUUAAUAAGGGCAAAAGUAAGCAAUAAAGGUAAGAGAGGGCAUGAACCCUAUACAAAUAGAGGGUACACUUAGGGGUGUUCAAAUUCAAACCGAUCCAAACUAAAACCGCAAACCGAUCCAAAAAAAUCGAAAACCGCAAAAAACCGAAUAUAUUUGGAUGUGUUUGGAUGUUGUUUUGUAAAAACCGCUAAGAUCGGAUCGGAUUCUGGAUCACUUUUCCAAAACCGAACCGAACCGCAAAAAUAAAUAUUAAUACUUAUUUAUUCUUUUAUUAGUAUUAUAUAUUGCAUUAUUAUGUUGUUUGUUAAAUUUUAAUCUUAUAUAUUGCACUAAUUUAAUCUAUAUUAUUAUUACUUCAUAUGUUUAAAAAAUAAUCAAUAAUUUUCAUACUAUAAUUUUAUCUUUUUUAAUAUAUUUUGCAUCAAACCUAUUAUUCUACCAUGUUUGUGUAAUAUUAAUAUUAAUAAAGAAAAAUUAUUCCUUAAAAAAGAUUAAAUAAAAAAAUAUAUUUUGCAUUUUUGACAUCCAAAAACUGAUCCAAAUUAAACCGCAUAUAAUUGGAUCGGUUCGGUUCGGAUUUUUUUAGAAUACUCAUCCAAACCGAACCGAACCGUAUGUGAUUUUUAUUUUGGAUCGGUUGACAUUUUACCUCAAAACUGAUCCAAACCGCACCGCAAACACCCCUAGGUACACCUGAGGAAGCAAGCCAAGACUAAUCCUAAGAAGCAAAGGAACUACAAACAUCUAUCUUGCUAAAGUUUUGCUUUUAAACGAAAGAAAUUAAGCUGCCAAACAACAGAACAAACUACUAGCACUUAUUAAGAACCAUCUACAUGACAGUCACAAAUAUUUAAGAUUACUUUUGAUUACUUGUGCUAUUCGGUGAAACUUGUCUAUUUAUCUGCUUUUUUGCUUUAUGGUUAGAUAAGAGUGUGCAUCAACCAUUAUCAUGUUUAUCCUCAGUCUUAUUAGCUGAUGCUAUAGGAGUGUAGGACGUAGUUUUUCUUUGCUUCUUUUUCUUUUUACUUUUUUUUUUCGUUCUCUCAUGUAACAAAAAAAAAUGAGUUUGGAGGCCCUUACUACUUGUAUUAUUUGGUGAAACUUGUCUAUUUAUCUGUUUCUUUUGCUUUAUGGUUAGAUAAGAGUGUGCAUAGAUUAUAGAAAUCUGAAUCUAGCUACUUCUAAAGACAAUGAUGCAAUGCAAGUAGCCAAUAUGUUAGUCGAUGUUGCGACUAGCCAAGUAAUUUUCACUUAUGGAUGAAUAUUCAGAUUAUAACUAGAUUUUUAUAUUCAAAGAUGACACUCAUAUGACAAAAUUUCAGAUGUCCUAGGACCCUCAAAAUAUAUAAACUUGUUUUUUACAUUGUUUCUUAAAAGUCAAAGGUUAGUUAAGUCCACCUUAUCACUUGAUUUGGUGAGAGCUAAUGAGCUAUAUAAUAAAAGAGCUAAUAUAUAUACUUGGCCUCUUAAAAAAAAAUUCCUUUGAAAUUAUAUACACACACUUAAUAAUUUAUACAUGGUUUUCAUCACUGGUUUGAUCACUAAAAUCAUAAUCAUCAUACAAGGUUACAAUUGAAGGUCCAAAGUAUGGCGCACCAUGAACAACUAAAUCAUCAGGCAAUGGUUUCUCCUCAAGCAUGGAAUAACCUGUGAAUGAAUCAAUCAAUGGCUCAAAUUAAACUGAAUUGAAAAACAUGAUGCAUAAAUGAAUGAAGAGUAAUUAAUGAGAAGGUACAAAAUGAAAUUAUACCAUUAAGAUAAGGGAUAGGAAUGUCAUAGUAGUAAGUGGAGGGUCUUCCAAAAUCUUCACAGUAUGGUGGAGACAGCACAUCUAGUAUUGCACAUGGAGUCAACGCUCUAAAAGAAUGAAUAUUUCCACCACUUCUUGGAAAUAAUAUGGACGGUUCAUGUGGUGCUUUCAUCACUUCAUCUAUUACCUUACCCGCCAAUCCUACUGCAACCACAUAAAAAUUGUCUAUUUGAAUUAAUUAAGUUUGUGUCAUAGGUCAGAGUUUAUUCUAAUUCGUUCUACUAUAUAACCUUUAUGAUAUAGACCUAUGGAAUCCGGAUACGGACACGGACAUCGGACAGGACAUGGAUACUGACAUGCUGAUAUCGUUAAUAAUUUAAGAAAAUUGCAUAACGUAAUUAUAAAUGUCGGUGUCGGACGCAGUACAUGUCUGAUACGGAACACGCCUAAUCAAAGAGGGUACUUCUUUGCUAUAGAUAUAUAGACUCUAGUUCUUUCCAAAAAAAUAUAUAUAGACUAUAGUAAUUAUUCUUACUUGUUUGCUCUUUGGUACUAUCAAAAUUGAUCCAAUCAUAAGCUUUGACAUGGACAGAUCCAUAUAAAAGUUUGCUCAACACUGUCAUUUCCGGGUGAUCAUGAAGUGGAAAUUCUUUUCCUGCUGGAAGACAAAACACCCCUAUCUGCAUAUAUUCAUAACUUCAUUAAGUUUGGUCACUUGGUUCACCAUAGAUAAGGUUUAAAAAAAAGUAUGCAACCACGAUUUGAGUCACGACAUCAAAAAAUUUAAUAUGUUUGUCUCGUUUUAUUUCAAUUUUCAAAAAUUAAAGAUUAUGACGUGACUGUAUUUGACGUAAUUCUCAAUAAUAUCAAAGAACGUGACGAGAUUAUAUGUAAUUUAGACGAAGUUAGCUACAUUAUACAAUAAACAAGACUAUAUUUUUUUUCUUAUACGUACAGAGAAAUCGUCACAUUCAUGAAUAUGAAUGUAUGUUAUUUCAGAGAAGCUUUGUCCAUAAAGCAAUCCUCUCCUAGCACCAUCAAAAAUUGCAUCUGAUGUAGGAGAAUCGCAAAACCCGAACUCGUCGAUUCCAACAUCUAUUGCUUCAAUUUUGUCUGCAAAUUCAUUCAUCUUAAACGUAUGAAUCAAUAUUUUUCAUUAGCAUACUGUAUAGAAUCAAAUAUAUGCAUAAAAGUUAGGAUAAAAAUAUAAACACAAACAAAUCAUGUGCACUUAUCAUAUAUUCAUUAAGAAACUCACCUAGUAGAUUUUUCAGGUAAUGGAUUUGUUGAAAAUUUGGAAGUCUUCCUUGAGAAAACAAAACAUGGCAAGUAUCAUAGAGUACUUGUAUUUUGUUCAUUUCCAUUUAUUUAUUUUUUUGAAACGGCAAAAUCCAUUGACUUAGUGUUAAUUACUAGUCCUAUAAUUGAGUUGUGUGGAAGAUCAACUUUUAAAGCAUAUCAUGUAAAUGGACGGUGACACUACCAAUAAAGGAAAGGACAUAGAAUAACUGAAAAAAGGGGACUGUGUAUAAUGUUUACUAAUUAAACCUUGGGCAAAAUCUUAUAAUAUUACAGUGGAUUAUUUUGUUUCAAUUGUUUCUCUUUUGGGAAAGGGAAAGAUUUUGUUAUUAGUUAAGGUGGGGACGGAAGCUUGAAAUAGUCAAUAUUUUGAACAUUGCUCCUGUACUGCCCAUGUUUAAUGAUAAAAUAUGAGCCCUUAUCCACAAAAAGUUAAAGAUAAAAGACUAUUAUUUUUCCCACUCUGUUGCCUUCUUGCGUGUCUUGUAAAAUUUUCAAAAAUACCUCUUGUCUGAAUUAUAUAUUCCGGACCAGAUUGUUAGUGAUUUUCGGAAUACGAAAUCCAGAUCAGAUAUUAUGUGUUUUUUUGUGUCUUUCUUUGAUGUCAAGGGUCUCUGUUGACCGUUAUAUGAACCCCACACAAGCUGCAAUGCAUUGCAAUUGCAGGGUUCCUAUGAACGGUCAACAAUGACCAUGACACCAUCGACACCCCUCAAAAAACUAAAAACAUUUGAAGAAAAUGGAAGAAAAGAGGUGAAGUGAAGAAUGAAGAUAUUUGUUGAAGAUGGAAGCCUAUUUAUAGCCUAAAACAAGUCCUAUGUCAUUAAUACAGUCAAUGAAAACGUGUUGGUGGUUGUAACCGUCCAAACCCACAUUAAUGGCUCUGAAUCUUUCCGGAUUUUACAUUCUGGAAUGUCCUUAGCCCUAUAGGAAGUGCCAAUUUUUCCCUCGUUCACCAUUAUCGCAUGAAUCCGGAUAAUAUAUUCCAGAAAACAGAUGUGCAUUCCAAAUUUUAUAUUCCGGAAUGCAUCAGUCAUGGCCGGUGGUCUGCACCACACGUUUUUGUCGAUGGUCAAGUCAAAAAAACGUGUUUUACCACGUUUUUUUGACUGCAAUUAUGGUCUCCCAACCGUUUUUGACCCACCCCUCCCUAUAAAUAGUCUUCCAAACCCCACCAUUUCUCACACCAUCCUCUCCCACCAUCUCCUCCUCUUCUUCCUUCUACAACCAUAGUUUUCCAUCGUUGGCCUUUCAUAGAUAAGGACCUCGUUGAAAACUUUCAGGGUUUGUAUGAACGGUCAAUGAGGAUGGAACCGCGCUGCAACGAAGUACGGUUCAUCUGAGGGUCAUGUGGGUCAGUGUGGUUCUUAGCUUGGCCUGUCUGGGCGUAAGUUUGAGCACCCCCCACCUCCCUCAGGGGCAUUGUUUUCUUCUUCCCGUCCUCCUGUUCCCUCCUCCUCUGAUUUUCCUCCAAUAGGCAAACUACUGUUGUGUCCUAUCACAUAGCAAUGGUUAAGCUCUUAGGAGAUUAGAAUUAGGCUCUUAUGAGAUUAGAAAUAGAUUUAUGAUCUUAUGUAAUAAGUUUAAAAAGCUUGAAAAUUAUUGUAAUGUAUUGUUCAUAUAUUAAUAAAAUUAGUUGUUUUUAUGUUUGUGUCUUUUUAUUUCUGUUUUUUAUUUUACUUGCAUUUUAUUUUACGAAUUUUAAAGCUUAAAAUUGUAAAAGUUCUGCAAAAACACUAUUCCGGAUUUUAAAAUCCGGAUACAUCUGUAAAAUUAUAACAAUCUAAUCUGGAAAACAAAAUCCGAACCAGGGGUAAAAUUGAAAAAAAAAUAGGGCGCGCGAGAAAAGGCGUAAGAUGGGAAAAAUAACAGUCAAGAUAAAAUCCGGCAAGUGUCAAAAAGAAACGGUUAAAAAUAUUUUUAAAUUUUACUAGGAAAGGUAUCAUAUCAUAUUUAAUUUCCAUCAUGCCAAAAAGAAAUGUUAUUACCUACGAUGAAGGAUACCAUGGGAGGAAAAAAUACCGACUAUAUGGUUGAUUUUCUACGUAAACGUAAACUCACAAUAAGAAUACACUCUCCAACACAUAUUAAUCCGAUCUCAAAUAUUAAAAAAAAAAAAAAAAGUAAAUAAAGUUGAUAUACUAUAUUUGGUUAAAAAUUGAACGACCGUAUAUCUAUUUUUGUUUGAUCUUUUUUCUUUAUAUUCGAGACUAAAUGGAGUAAAUUCAAACAUAUAUUUAUUUUUUCUGUCAAGUAACAUAUUCUAUUAGUUAGUAUUGAUACACAUCCCAAUAAUAUAUAUAUAUAUAUAUAUAUAUAUAUAUAUAUAUAUAUAUAUAUAUAUAUGUAACAUGUAUUGAUAAGUGGGAUCCAUAUAAAUUUAGACGAAGAGAAAAGUGAUGUUUGUGUUAGAGUUAGCGCAAUUGAUAAAGGAGAUUGUAUUAUAUAGGUCAAAUGUAUCUAAAGGUUCUUUAAGUUUUUCGUUUUUUCUAAAGUGGUCUUUUAAGUUUCAAAAGUCUCAAACAAGUCCUUUUAGUUUUUGAAUCAUUUUAAACAAGUCCUAUUGUAGAUAGCAUAGUUGGUAAUUGCUUCCUUGAACUCAUAUUUGGUACCAAAUCUGGCUCCUAACAUCCACUUCAAAUUAGUCAUCUUUUUAGGCAUUACAAAUCGUGGAUAAUGUUCUUUGUUGCUAUCAUCUUAAUCAUCAUCCUCUAAAAGGACUUGUUUGAAACGAUUCAAAAACUAAAAGAACUUGGUUGGGACUUUUGAAACUUAAAAGGACUUGUUUGGGACUUUUGAAACUUAAAGGACCACUUUGGGAAAAACAAAAAACUUAAAGGACUUUUAGAUGCAUUUGACCUAUUAUAUAUGUAUGGGUUAGAGUUCGAACCCCAUAUAUCAAAAGGAAAAUUUUAUGGUACACCCAAAAAUUUGAGUGUAUUGGUACACCCAAUCAACAAAUUAAUAGUUAAAUGUGUUAUUUUUUGAAGAGAAAAAUUGUUUUCCAUCACCUAUAAUUAUAAUAAUUAAAUUUUGGGUAUGAGGAAGGAGUAUGGAGGGUUGGGGGUUAAGAGGUUGAGGGAGUUUAACAUUGCUUUGUUGGGUAAAUGGUGUUGGAGGUUGUUAUUGGAGCAGGAUGCGUUGUGGAGAAAGGUGUUAGUGGCUAGGUAUGGCGUGGAGGAUGGCGGUUUGGAGGAUGGGGGCCGGAGUUGUUCUUCGUGGUGGAGGGAGAUCGUGAGGAUUAGAGAUGGGAUAGGUGAGGGUGGAGGGGGAUGGUUUGGGUCUUGUGUUAGGAGGAGGGUGGGAGAUGGUGUAGAUACUGAUUUUUGGCGUGGAGAUGUUCCUUUGUGUGUCCGGUUUAGGCGCCUUUUUGACUUGUCUGUUCAUCAAUCAGUCUCAGUUAGGAAUAUGUUCCUGCUGGGGGUGGAUGUGGGCGGAGAGGCGUUGAGGUGGCGUAGGCGGUUGUGGGCCUGGGAGGAGGGGUUGGUAGAGGAGUGUAGGGCUUUGUUACUAACAGUUUCUUUGCAGGAAUCAGUGAUAGACAGAUGGCUAUGGUUACCUAAUAAUGAUGAUGGGUAUUCUGUACGUGGAGUCUAUGACAUGCUGACAUCACAGGAGCAGAUCCAGUUACACCAUAAUAUGGACUUAAUUUGGCAUAAACAGGUUCCUCUCAAAGUAUCUAUCCUUGCUUGGCGACUUCUGAGGGACCGGUUACCCACAAAACUUAAUUUGGUAAACCGUGGCAUUCUAUCUAUGGAGGAGCGGUUAUGUGUUUCUGGCUGUGGGAAUGUCGAAGAUGUUUCUCAUUUGUUUUUGUCUUGUGCAACUUUUGGAGCAUUAUGGCCGAUGGUGUGGGAUUGGUUAGGAGUGGUAGGGGUCGACUCUCAAUCAACUUCAGAUCAUUUUGUGCAAUUUAUUAAUUAUGUCGGUUGUUCGAGAGGGCGACGGUCUUUCUUCCACUUGAUUUGGUUGCUUUGUGUUUCGGUGUUGUGGAAUGAAAGGAAUGAUAGGCUUUUUAGAAAUAGACAGAGUACUUUGCCACAAUUGCUAGAUAAAGUGAAAUCAACUUCUUUGUGGUGGUUAAAGGCUAGUAAUGUUGUAUUUAGUUUUGGCACUCAACAGUGGUGGUCGAGCCUGCUUUUAUGUUUGGGUGUUGACUGAUUUGAUUGUAAUUUUGUUUGGACCCUGACAUUUUUGUGAUUGUUUGGCACAUCUUGUGCGGUAACAAUUACGGGGUCCGUUUUAAUAUAUCUCAUUUUUGCCUGUUCAAAAAAAAAAAAUUAAAUCUUAUUAACCAAAAACGUCGACGAAAUAAAAUUUAAUUUUUCUGAGUUUUUAGUACUCAUAAUAGAGAAUUUUGAUUAUUUUUUACAAUAAAAUGUAAAAAAAUUAAUAUGAUUUUUAUAAACAAUGAAAUGACGUUUUUUUCUUAUAAAAUGACAUUUUCUAAAAUAUAAAUAUCAAUAAAUAACUCUUUAUUCCAUAAAAAUAAUAGUUAAUUUAAAUUUUUUUGAAGUAGGAAUACCGGUACACCUUAAUUUGCAGGUAUACAAUAGAAAUUCCCAUAUGAAAUUCUAUUAAACUAUUUGGCAAGAACUAAAAUGUUUGUGUUAGAGCUUAGUCAUGUCAAGCGCUAACAAACAGUGUUGCUCUAUUCGAAAGAAAGAAGAAGAAAAACAGCGUUGCUUGAACAUAUUAAUUAACUAAGUUCACUAAUCGCCUGUUUUGUUCAUUCAUGCGGCAAAAGAUAAGAUCAAUUGAGUAAGAUUUACUUCCACUCUCCAAAGAUGCUAAAAAGAGCAAAAUGCGCACGUUGAAAUUAGUGAUGCUGACUAAAAUACUAUCAAAGAAUAAUAAUGUAAUCACUAUCUAGCAUAUUGUGGAUUCUUAACCUUGUAAAACGGAUUAUUUUGUUUUCACAUAGUGAUGGGGUUUGGGAAGUGCAUUAGAAAUAAUAAAGGGAGUUAAUUAAUUUGUUCUUGAUCUCAUUGGAUUGACUUCUUACAUUUGCACCCUCAUUUGUGUCAUGGACUGAUCUUAGAGUCUAUUUUAAAUUGAUGAUAUACGUUCAUAAGUUGUUUUGUGUUUAUUAUCAUAAUUUUUUUUAGUAUAGAUUAUGGAAACAACUUAUAUCUAAUUUAUACAAAAAUAAUUUGAUUUUACUUUAUCAUUUGUUAUAGAAAUAUUUACACGAGUGUUUAUCGAUUGUCACAAUUUGAUUAUUCUAAUUAGAAAAAGACUAAGAAAAAAAAAAGAAAUAAAAAAAUGGUGAAAAAAAAAUCGGUGUGUGAGAUUAGUUGAUUUAGCCAAAAGAUAUUUAAAAAAGACAGCUUUAAGCAAUGAGCCAUUGACACAAGCCAUAUCAUACAUCUGCAAAUAAAGGAGACUCGAAAAAUAAACGUGAUGUUGGUUCUUCAUUUCCGCAUUCUCCUACACACUAAAAAAAUUCCUUGAUCAAUGGCUCCUCUUUUGAAAAAAGAUUACUCCUUGUUGCUACUCUAUUUUGAAAUAGUUUCCUAACUAAGCAUGAAACUUUUAACGGCACUGAUUUAUGUCAAGCCUUCGACCGUAUGGGAUCCAAAGAGCCUGACAAAUUAGACAUCAACCCCUUAUACCUCUUCUUAAAUGAAUAUACAUUAUGAGACUCCACUCCCCCAUAAUCUAUGUUGCAAAUGUCUUUCCACCAAACAGAAACUCCUCUGCUCUCUACUCUAAUAGACUCUCUAUUCAUACCAUAUUUAUUUUAUAAAGCUUUAUACAACAAACCAUUGCUUUUUGUACUAAUCUUCCUCCCCUGUUCUCCUACGAGAGCUAGAUUAAAAAUCCUCAGGUUUCUAAUUCUGAGACCCCCCAUCUUCCAAAGGUCUACAAACCUUAUCCCAUUUAACCCAAUCUCUCUCUCUCUCUCUCUCUCUCUCUCUCUCUCUCUCUCUCUCUCUCUCUCUCCCCUCAUAAAAAAGUUUAAAAAGUGCUUCAAGUUUAGAGAUUAUACAUGUCGGGGCCUUGAAAAAGGAUAGAAAGUAGACCGGAAGCGCAUAAAGACUGAUUUUAGCGUAACAACUCGACCUCCAAUGGACAACUGUUUAUUCUUCCACUUUGACAAUCUUGAUCUUGCCUCAAUCACAAGAUGCCAUGUAUCUAUUCUCCUUGGAUUUGCCUCGGUUGGUAGACCAUGGUACUUAAAGGUGUUGAUCCAAUCUUACAAUUUAGGAUAUUAGCCACCUCUUUGAACCAAUUCUGAGAAUUAUUGACUCACACCAAUAAACUUUUAUGAAAAUUUACUAUUAAGCUCGACAUUACUUCAAAUAAUAGUAGAUUGGCCUUAAUGAUUAUGAUAUUCUACCACUUUUUUUCACCAAUAAUCAAUGUGUCGUCUACAUAUUGUAAGUGAAUUAAUCGCUCCUCCUCCGUAUCGAAUUUGAAUCCUGAGAAAUGUCCUUCCUCCACCGUCUUCAUCAUCAACAUAUUAAAAUCUUAUGCAGCUAAUAGAAAAAGAAACGACGAUAAAAUAUCUCUUUGUCUUAAGCCACGACCCAUUCCAAAUUCUUUUAUCGGACUAAUUGUUUACUAAAAGUGAAAUUAUUGAUGAUUUUAACCAUUUUGAUAUGCAUUUCCUUCACUUCUCAUGGAACCCCAUCUUCAACAUUACAAAAUUAAGAAAAUUUCAAUCAAUGAGUCAUACGUCUUCUCAAAAUCGAUUUUAAGCAUGCAUCACAACUUCUUUGUUCUUGCUCUUUGUCUCAUCCACAACUUCAUUCGCAAUUAAUAUCCCAUCUACAACAUGUCUGUCGGAUAUGAACGUCAUUUUCGUGUCUGAUAUGAUAGUUCUGAUCACUCUUUUCAAUCUAUUUGCCAAAGUCUUCAAUAUGAUUUUAUAAAUUCAUCCUAUCAAUGAUAUAGGUCUGAUAUCUGAAAUUUUCAUUGGAUUUUUCUUCUUUGGGAUUAACACCACAAAUGAACAAUUUUCCCCUUUGACGAUUCGACCAUUUGUAUAAAAUUUAGCCAUCACCUCAAAAAAUCAUCUUUUAUAUCUUCCCAUAAUUCUUUAACAAACCUAAAAUUUACUCUAUAUGGCGCUGGACUUUUUGAGCUAUCACACUCCCAUACUGCUCUACGGACUUCUUCUUUUGAAAAUUCUCUAACCAACUCUUCCCAUGAUCUCCUUCAAAACAAUUCAUUCUCCCUUCUUCUUUCUCCAAUAUCAAUUUUCCAAUGUUCGUUUUUCAUCUUCAAUCGUGUUAGCAAGAACCACAAUACCGUGUCUCAAACCAUGAUUCAAAUUUAUACGAAUGUGGUCAUCUUAUCUUUGUUAAAAACAAUUGAUUAUUUGAAGAAGGGAAGUGUCUGAUAGAGGAGUUAAAAACAGUUGCAUUAUUGGCAACGCUAAUGCUGAAAUAUGAGUUGAGUUGUGUAAAUUUCUAAUUAUGUAUUGGAUUUAAACUGCAACUAUAGUGGUUGAACUAUCAAUGCUUCACAUACUCGAUUGGAAAAGAAGUGGAUAUGAAAUCUUGUAAAUUAAAACUGCUCCAAGUAUUCCUUCUCACAUAACAUUGGUUAAGUCACAAAACAUCAUCUUUGGCGAAUGUUAUAGAUUAUAAUACCGUGUACCCACAUCAAAAUCGUAUGAAAAGGAUGAAUGAUAUUUAUACAACUGUUUUUUUAAAUAGUCAUUUCUCUCUCUCUUGUUUAGGAACAAAUUUAGGAGGGAAGAAAAUAAUAAUAUAAUGAGUAUGGAAAAAUGUUGUUUCAAAAUAUGUAGUAAAAUAAUUAUAAAAAUAUCAUUUCACGUUACAAAAUGAGCUAAAUCUCAUUAAACUAUGCGAGACACCUAUGUAAUGUGUCUAUGGUACGACCAUACUACACCAGCUAAAGUCUAUAAUCAAGGUGAUGUUCACCUAGCAUGCUUGUGAUCCUUAAAUGGUUAUCUAAAGUGAUUGAACUAUAAUUCAAAGUGCUGGUUCAACCUUCCUCAUUAUAUAAAUGUUGGUUCAACGUUUUUAAUAAGAAAGUCCAAUCCAUUUUUCUUAUAAAAGCAUUUUUUUAUGAUUUUUUUUAUUUUUUAUAGGUUUAUAUGUUUUUUUGGUCCCUUAAGUAUUUAAUUGGUAUCGCUUUGGUCCCUUAACUAAAAAAAAUUUGUUUGACUACUUUAAGUUUUUUUUAGUCUCGUUUUGGUCCUUUCUGUUAGUUUAUGUUAGGGUUAAAAAAAAAGUUAACUCCUGGACACGUGUCACCUUGUCAUUGGCUCUGAGUUUUUUUUUACAAAAAAAAUUAUUAUUUUUAAAAUAUAUAUAUUUUUUAAAAAAAAAUCCCAAAGCCAACGACAAAGUGACACGUGUCCCAGAGUUAACAUGUGUCACCUUGUCAUUGGUUCUGUGAAUUUUUAAAAAUAAAAUAAAAUAUAUAUUAAAAAAUAUUUUUUAUAAAUAAAAUAUAUGUUUUUUUGUAAUUUUUUUCUCAGAGUCAAUGUCAAGGUGACACGUGUCCACACUUAACGUUUUUUAUUAAACUUAACGGAAACCUAACAGAAUGGACUAAAACGAGACUAAAAAAAAACUUAAAGUAUUCAAAUAAUUUUUUUUAGUUAAAAGACCAAAGCGAUAUCAAUUAAAUUCUUAAGGGACCAAAAGAGCAAUUAAGCUUUUUUAUAAAAGUUGAAACCAAUUUUCAAAACAUUGAUGAUUAUAGGUAUCCCCUGUCAAAAAAAUAAAAAAUACAAAUUGAAAAGAAUAAUUUUUCAAAAUGGAAGGAAUAGUAUUUUCUCUUACAAGUUGCAACAGACAUAUUCAGUCACCACGCAAGUGCGCGUGAGUCACACCUUUUCUGCCAACCAAAAAUCAAAACUCUCGUGCUUGACAGCUAUUAUUCCCUUCGUUAGAUAGUACUUGAUUAAUCGAUGUAAACAUAAAAUGAACUAAACAAAUAUAAAAAAAUACAAAACCACUUGCAAAAAAACAAGUGAACACAAAAUAAAGUCAAGGCUAUUCUUGUCAAUAAGACUAUGAAAAUAGAAUCCAAAGGUUCAAAUCGCGCGUGGAAAAAUAAUUGGUGCGUCACAAUCAUCUGUUUCAGAAUAGUAUCAUAGCACGAGCCAGCCAAUCCCAGCCUUUCAAUGUCCCCAAAUUAAUUUAAUUAAUUAGUUAAUUAAAAAUAGUCUUUUUCACAAAAAUAAAUUAAAAAUAUUCAUUAAAUUAUUUAAUGAACAUUUUCAUCUUUUUUUUUUUAAGGAAGGAAUAAGACCGUCUUAUGAUUGACGAAUGAGGAUGGAGUUUAGUAUGGGACAGAGGAGUUGUUUUCCAUUAUGGAAAAGUAAAUCUUAACCAUUAAAUUAAAGGGAACAUUGAUUUUAUUAUAGUUUCUCUACACUAAAUUUAUUCCCCUUUAUCUUCAACCUUACAAUCAUCAACCAACACAAAUAAAUCCCACCAGCACCAUCGAUUUUGGCAUUAACUCUUCAUUGUAAUUGCUUGAAAUUACCACAACAAACCAUUUUUGUUCUAAUGGAAUCAACAAUAACAUUCCUUUACUAAAACAAGUAAUUAUGGCAAGAUGAGAUGAGACAAACCUUGGCUGGUUACCAUUCCAACAACUUAAUGAGACAAAUCUUCACAAACAGCUCUAAAUAUUUUUCUUCUCUCUUCCUACAUUCUUUACUUCAAUUUUCUAUGCUAAAUGGGUCACUAUUUUCUCUUCGUUUUUGUUUUAUCUGUAAAUCAAACUUUCUCUGAAUCAAAUUUUUUUAUGCUUUUUUGGUAUUUUUUUCAAUUAAGUUUUAAUAAAUGAAUUAGUUUGAAUAAGUUUUUUUCUAUAAACAGAAAACAAAAAAUGGCGUGAAUUUAUGUGUUGUUUCUAUGACUGAUUUUUAAGAAGGACUAUGAGUGAUUUUUAAUGUCAAUUUUAUUUCCAUUUGAAAAAGAAAGAAUGAAAGUGAUGGGAUUCAUCUGCUGGUGGCAGUGGGUCAAGUUCAGUGCCAUGGAGGUUGAAGACAAUGUGAAAAAAAUACAGUGGAGUGAUAAAAUUAGUGUUCCUAUUUAAUCUAAUGGUUUAAACCAAACUUUCCUAUGGUGGAAAAAAACUAGCCUUUUCCAGACUAAAUGACACCACGAAUGAGUGAUAUAACUAUGAGAUUAAUCCUCACCAAAAAAAAACUAUGAGAUUAAUUUUUUAAGUGAUACAAUUCUAAAGAUAAUUUAUUAGUGUAAGAAGAUUAAUUUCUUUAUAAGUGAUAUCACCGAGACUAAAAGUACAAUUGUUAUAGCUUUUUUUUUUUUAAAAUAAUAAUCACUUUUAAUUUUUUUUAAGAAGUUAAAUUAAUCUACUUAAAUUGACUUUAAGGAAAAUCGAACUUGAGACCUCGAGAAGGAGUACACAUCCAAUUUCCAAACCAAUACCACCAGACCAACUUAAAUUGGUUCACUUUUAAGAAUAUUAUAUACAUUUGUUCAAAAAAAAAAAAAUUAAAUCAAAACCUAAAAAAAAUAAAAUCUAAAAACACCUUCAAAUUAGAAGUCAAUAAAAGUAGCUUUUUAAAUAAAAAAAUGAACCAAGAGAAAAAAAAUAAGGGUCAAAUGAUUGAACCAAGUUUAUAACAAAAAUUUGUUUUAUACAAUUGUAUUCAAACGAAAUGAAUAUUAUUUUUCUAAAAAAGUAAUUUUUACUACGAUAAACAAACACAAAGUAGAUUAUGAGGUUUACAAAAUAUCUAAAAAUUAAUCUCUAAAUUAUUAAAUGUUAAAAUCACUUUUAUUUUAAUCCGUAGUAAACGAGUUCUAAUUUAUCGAUUAAGAGAAGAAUCAAGUUCAUCCACAUACGCAAUCCAACUUUUUAUUGUCUAUUUACAACGUUUAAAGGAUGAAGAUUUAGUUUGGUAAUUUAUAAUUUUUUUUUCAGCCCAAUCUAAUCAUUGAUAAAAAUAAAAACUACAGUAUUGUUUGCAUUUUUAUACCGUUAUAAUAAAAAAAACUAAUUUAUCUUUGAUAAGAAUAUGAUAGAAAUCACUUUAAAUUUUAUUUUUAAAGUCAUUGAUUUGAAUCGCAAGAAAAUUGUAUAUAAUCACAUAUAAAGGUGAAAAUAGGUUAGGUUAAACGGCAAGGCCCAAGUCUAAUUUGUCAAAAAUUUAAAACCGUCUUAAUUAACUCAUAAUGAAUAAUAGGUCUUUUACCACUUUAAAUUUUAUUUUUGUCCGGCUGAAGCAUGGCAUAAGAAAAUUGUAAAAAAUUAAUUCAGGUCUUCACUCUUCUUCUUUCAAAUUUUUUUGUUUGGGUCUUCACUCAUAUUCAAAUGUAUAAUGGCAAAUCCGUACAAUUUAGGGGGCAAAUUUGUGAUUUCCAGAACUAAAAAUAGUUAACCCACACCGUCCACUAAAACAAAAAACUGCUAUUUCUUCCUCUCAUUCACAUCCACCCUUUACAACAUUUCUCACACACACUCUCUCUCUCUUCUCUCUUCUCUCUUCUCUCUCUCACUCACUUUCUCUCUCUUCCUUCAACCAGAUUCAUCCAUGGCAACAGCACCAACACCACGUGAAGAGUUCGUCUACAUGGCGAAACUCGCCGAACAAGCCGAACGUUACGAAGAGAUGGUCGAUUUCAUGGAAAAAGUAACCGCAGCCGUCGAAAGCGAAGAACUCACCGUCGAAGAACGUAACCUUCUCUCCGUCGCCUACAAAAACGUCAUCGGAGCACGACGUGCUUCGUGGCGUAUCAUCUCUUCCAUUGAACAGAAGGAAGAAAGCCGUGGUAACGAUGAACAUGUUACCGUGAUUCGUGAUUACAGAUCUAAGAUCGAAGCUGAACUUUCCAAUAUCUGUAACGGUAUUCUUAAGCUUCUUGAUUCUCGCUUGAUUCCUUCUGCUGCUUCUGGUGAUUCUAAGGUUUUCUACCUUAAGAUGAAAGGUGAUUAUCAUAGGUAUCUUGCUGAGUUUAAGAGUGGCGCUGAGCGUAAAGAUGCUGCUGAAAGUACUCUUACUGCUUAUAAAUCUGCUCAGGUCGAUCUUUUUCUCUGAGAUCUAACGUUAUAUUUAUGGAUCUGUUUUUUCAAUUAUUUUUUCAUUUUUGUCUUUAUUUUGUUGUUAAUUUCAUUAAUUAUUUCAUUAAUUAUUGUUAAUUUGAUGAUUUAUAUUCCAUUGUUUGUUUGACAUAUUGCGAUCUAUAACUGACUUUAGGUUAGGAAAAUUUAUCGUAGUUGCUGUGAUUUGUGUUUUUUGAUGGAAAAUGAAUAUAAUUUGUGUUAAUUAGGUUUUUUUUAUGCAAAAUUUUUGUUUGAGUGAUGUGAUUGGUUUGUUUUUUUUUUUAGAGAAAAUGAUGUAAGCAUUCACUUGAUUUAACGAUUUUCUUAAUUAGGUUAAAAUAAAGGAAUCUCUAUGAUAAAAGUGAUUUUUGAAAUGAGUUGAAAAUAGGGUAUCGUUUGUUUUUGGUUUAAACUGAAAGUCUUGUAUGAUGGAACGUGUGCUAGUUUAUUUUACUUGUUUAGAAUAGUUGAUUAUGAGAUGUAUAUUUAGUGUUCUUGUUUUGUUUGAAGCGUUUAUAGCUUUUGUCCUAUCAUGUGCAAUGUAUAUUUGGUUUUCGAAUCUCUGUAGACCGACACCUCUAAUCGACGUGUCUGGUGUCUCUAUGUUCAAUUAAUUUCAUUUUCUCACCUUUUUAACUGGUGUUGUUUUGUUAUUGUUGUGUCCGUUUGGAUUUGAAGAUUUGCGAUCUGAUGUUUUAAUUUGACUCUGCUUGUAGGACAUUGCUAACUCUGAGCUACCACCAACUCACCCAAUCAGGCUUGGUCUUGCUCUGAACUUCUCAGUGUUUUACUAUGAGAUUCUUAACUCUCCUGAUCGUGCUUGUGGCCUUGCAAAGCAGGUUAGUGUUCUAGAUACUGAAUAAUGGGAGAUGAUUUUCAUUUGGUUUGUUGUUCCUUUCAAUUAAAGUUUGCAGUGGAUUUUGUGAGUAAGUAUUUGAAUUCUGUUUAAUGUGAAUUAGAUCAAUGUUUUAGUUUCAUUAAUGUUGAUGUGAAUUUGUUAGUUUCUGGUAAAAUACAUAGGAAACUUUUAAUUAUUGUUCUUCAAUAAGUUUAGUGUAUCAUGUAUAUGAUUCUGUUCUGUUAUGAAUGGUGUGUGCGCUAAUGAACUAUCCCGUUCUUUUUGUGUGCUAAUGAACAAUCCUGUUAUUUUCUUUAGGCUUUUGACGAGGCUAUUGCUGAAUUAGAUACAUUGGGAGAGGAAUCAUACAAGGAUAGCACUUUGAUCAUGCAACUUCUCCGUGAUAACCUCACCCUUUGGACCUCUGACAUGCAGGUAUGAUAUUUUGUAUCUUGUAAUCUCUUAAUUAACUUUUUUACUUACAAAUCAUAUUCUGUUUAUUGAUUUUGGUUUAUAUUUUGUUUGGGUUUCAGGAUGAUGGUGCAGAUGAAAUCAAAGAAGCCGCACCAAAAGGCGCCGAUGAGCAGUAAUCAUAUCGUAUUACUGCUAGUUAGUUAUUAACUUCUCCUCUAUAUCAUGUUUUGAAAGGGGAGAAGGUACUGAUUGAAAAUGUUGAUGCUACAGAGAUUUUAGGCAUUCAUGGUCUAUUUUAUGAUAUAUGGAUGCACUGGGCCAUUUUAGUUUGUUCUUCCAUUUGUGUACGUGUUUCUGAAUUGCAUGUUUUCUUAAUGUCACUGAAAUUUCUAUCAUAUGAAAUUGGUCUAAUAACAACUCUAUUAUAGCAAAACUUCAGCUGAUUUUUUUAUUUUUAUUUAGGCGAUGAUGUGAUCUUUAUUUGUGUUUAUAACAAAGCUCAAAAUAUACGUUGGGCUUCAUUUCAAACUCUUUACUCUUCCGAAAGGGGUUGAGCGCUGUUUGAAUGCAGUACUGUUUGAUUUUAAAAAUAUGAUUUCAAAUUUCCAUACCUUGUAUGGUACGUUGAUAUUAGCUGUUGCAUUCGUAAAUAAAUAGUAAAUGAAUGGAUAUUAUGGGGAAAUUGGAGAUGCAGUCUUAGCCUGUGUGAUCCAUGAUCAUGACUAAAUUUAAAAAGUUCAUUUUCAAUAAAUCUCCGUUGAUUGCAAAAAUAUUCCCCCUAAGAGUUCAAUGACAAUAAGCUGUUGGUAUAAUAUGCCUCUAAUUUGACAUUCGAUGAGAGGCCAAUGGCCAUACAAAAAUCAGGUGAUUAGAAGUAUAACCUGCUGAUUAUAAUCUUUUGUUUGGGAGGUUCAAUUAAUGUAGGUACGUAAUAAAUUGUUAGUUAAUUGCUUAUAAAAUUGAACAAAACUGCUAGUUAAUUGAAAGUAUAGCCAACAGGAAAAUAGUCGAGACACAUGAAAUCUAUCCAUGCGAGUCAAACCUUACAAAGCAUGGGUCAUUGAGUCAUCUCUAUUAUUGCGCAAGCUGGACCUUGUACUCGAACAUUGAUGACAGGUCAUAAAACACCGAUAAGCAUAAAAACAAUGAAGAGAAAAAAAGGAAGAGAGAAUAAGGGUAUAAUGUGAAUAUGAAAAAAAAUAUUUGUCAAAAAAUUGUCUUAAAAUUAUUGUAUAAAUAUCAUUUUUUUUAGAAGAGUAAAUAAUAACGUGGUCAAACAAAAACAAGAAUCAUAAACUUUCUUAAGACCAUAAAUUGCCACCACAUGUGGUUGUAAAGUAGAUGCUAUGAAUGUCAACUGACGGAGGGGAUCAUAAAAGAUGUCCACCACAUGUGGUUCUAAAGUAGGUCACUCUGCUUGUCAAAACAAUUCAUGAUGAGUACAAAUACUUUUAUUUUCGAUCGUGUUUACAUCUUUCGUAUCUUUUUUCUGUUUUAACCUUUUGUGCGUUAAUCCACCAUGCUUUAAUUCUCCAAGAGCUUCAAAGUUAGAAACUAUUUUGAUCAACGGAGUGCACAAUAAUAAACUAUUUUAUGAUUUCUCUAUAUUUAAGAAUUAUUGUGCCUAUUUAUUACACAUUUAAAAACGAAAAUGAUUAUUUGCCCUCUAAUGUUUUAUGACGUUCCUACCAUCAAUAAUAAUGAUAAAAAAAAAUAAAAAAAAAACUAAUUUCAAUGGGUUAUAGGCUUAUAGCAAACAAAUAAACACCAUGAUUUCAAGAUUAACAGAUUAAACUUAAGUAUAACAAGAAACAAGAAGCUCCGAGAAUCAUUUGUUUGCUUUUAAACAAGAAAAAAAACCGUAUUAAAUUUUAAAGGUAAAAUAUCACCCAUUUCUUUAAUAAAAGAUGAUAUAAAAAUUUUAAAUUUAAUGUACUAAACUUUAGUUAUUUUUGUCAACUAUUUUAAUGGUUGUAUUACAUUUUAGGGUGCUGCUAACCGGGGCACUGGUUAAGAAGCAAUAAAUGAAUAUAUUACAUUUAUUUUACCUUAAUUAAAGUGAUAAAUAAGUUAAUUAAUUAAAAUAAAAGAGAGUUGUAUUUAAUACUAUAUCAAAUUUCCUUUCCUUUAUUUUUCUUGUGAUUUUAGUUUUGGUAAUUUUUUUCACGUGGAUUUUACUUCCUUAUCCUAUUAAAAAUAUGAUUUCUUUUCCUUUAAAUAAGUCAACUAAUUAAAAUAAAAGAGAGCUGUAUUAUUUUUAUUUCUUAACAAUUUUUUUUUCACUUUUUCCGUAAAUUUUAUAUGAAUAAUUUUUUUUCUUUCGAACCUCCGUGAAUUUUUUAUGAAUCGUUUAAAAAAAAAAAAAAAGAUUCAAUGCCUGUAUCACAAAAAAGGAAAUUUGACAACAUAUUGAAGGCACAUUUUCCUUAUUUUAAUUAGUUGAUUUAUUUCUCACUUUAAUAGAGGUAAAACAAGUGGGAUUGAUUCAUUUAUUGCUCUUUAACCAGUGUCCCCCCCCCCCCCCCGGGGGCACUGGAUAGCAUUGCCCUAAAUUUUAAAGGUAAAAUAUCACCUAUUUCUUUCUGGAUUUUUCUAACCUAUGCAACAUUAUAGGAUAAGGUGUAGCUAAUGUUCCACUAUCUUUAACAUAAACAAUCACAUUGAUUAUCCUUUUCUUGAAAAAGGAUAAUUUUCUCUAUCCUAUUAAUCAUUCAAUUUUUUAUUUUUUAUAACUUCAUAUUACAAAAAUAAAGUCUACUUAUAAUAUCAAAUGCAUGGAAAAAAUGCAAAUGGAACGGCAUUUGUAAAACAAAAAAAAUGAAACUAAAUGGAUAGAAAGUACAUGAGCACAAAAGAAGAAAAUUGUUACAUAUAUUAACGUAGAAGAAGAUAAGACUUUUUUUUUGUUAGUACAAGAAGAAGAUAAGACUUUAAUUUCAUGAUGAUUUCUUUUUGGAGUUCUAUAUUAACGCAGAAGAAGAAAAUUGUUACAUAUACUUUCACACAAUUUUUCAAAUGGAACCAUGACUAUUCUAUUUUUGUCCAAUUGCCAUAUCUUUGAAGAAAAAAAAUUAAAGCAGAAGAAGAAGAAGAAGAUUGUGUUACAAAUGCCGUUUCAAAUGGAUGAGUUUUGUCACCUAAUAUAGAGAAUCAUGUUCCAAUUUUUUGUUGUUACAAAUGUUGUUCCAUAGGUAAUUUUUUUUGUUAAAAAUAAAAAAUAGAAUGAUUAAUAAGAUUGUGAAAAUUGUAAUUUUUUUAUAAGAAAAUUAUCAUUUUUCAUAAAAAGGAUAAUCAAUAUGAUAGUUUAUGUUAAAAAUAGUGAGACAUUUUUUAUGUGAAAGAGAGCUUUCAUUAAACUACGUCUGACAUCAAAUUAAAAGAUGAGACGCAAUACAAGGUGGUGAUUCAUUAAUCCAUACAAAAUCAUCAUUUUGAGUUGCAAACUUUGUUAAAUAGUGAGCAGUUUGGUUUGCUACCCUUCUUAUAUGUAGGGUCUGUUUGGUUAACCCCAAAAAAGAGCUUUUAGCUUAUAGCUUAUAAGCUCUUUUGACAAAAAAAACUCUGUUUGGUAACACUUUUUCACCAUGAGCUUAUAGCUUAUUUCACGAGCUUAUAAGCUAUUUUUCAGAAGCUAUUCCAAGUAGCGUUUGAGCUUAUAGCUUAUAGCUUCUCACCUUUUCUUCCAAUUUUACCCUUAUUACUUUCAUUUAAAUUGUAUUUUUAUCCAUUAUAAUUUUUAUAAUAAGCUACGUAAUAAAGACUACUAUCCCUUUAUUCCAAUUUUUGUAUAUAUAUCAGCUGAUCUUUUUUUUUUUUUUGAAAAAAUAUAUACCUUCGUUUUUUUUACGAAACAAAAUACUAUUAUUCUAUUAGUGUUACUUUUUUUUUUUUGAGAUAAAUGUUAUUUUCUUUAUUCUCAGUUAUUAGUAUUACUCUAUCAGUGCACCUUUUUUUUUGUUUUUGAGGUAAAUGUUAUUUUUUUUAUAAAGUGGAAACACUUAAAUGAUAAUAAAUAUAAGAUAAAAUUUUAAUGAAUAAAAUUUAAUUUAAUUUAUAAUACAUAGGAUAUAUUAAAUUAAUAAAUUUAAAGUAUUUUUAAAAAAAAAAAUUAGUUUACAAAAUUACAAAUACUUAAAUUAAUGAUAUAAUUUUUAUUAUGAAUUAAGAAUAACCUUUAUGUCAUUUUACAUUUAUCAGCUAGUUGAACCGCUAUUUUUACCAAACACUUCAGUUAGUUUAUCAGCUAAAAGCUAUCAGCUAGCUUAUCAGUUAUCCGCUAUUUUUACCAAACAGAACCAUACUAAUUCUAAUGAAUUAAAACUAGGUACCAGCCUCAUACAAUCAGCGAAAAUGACCUCUAUAUAUGAAAAAUUUAUUUUCUUGACAAUGAUGCUUUCAAUUGCAUUAAAAGAGUCAGCUUCAACAAUUAGAUUAAGGAAAAGCAUAUCUCUUGCGUUACUAAACCCGGUUUCCAUACAUUUAAUACUAUAACUACACUCAAAUAUAUACAAACCAAUUAUAUGCUUCUUGAAUUACUUUUGUUUCUUCCAAAAUUAAAUUCAUACAUACUACUGUCUACUACUAUUAGUCUUCUUUGUUAAUCACACCCACACAAAUGAUUUUUGGAUUUGUGACAAUUGCGUCACUCUGAAUAUCUGACUUGAUUGAAGAAUGAAACUGGAUAUCAAACUUGUGAGCAUGCAUGAUCUGAAGUAAAAAAAUACGACAACUUAAUAAGUGUUAAAAUACUCGUAUGGAUAGAGUUCUAGGAGGAGUUGAUCUCAUUGAAUGUGCCAUGCAUAUAUGACCUGUUGUAUCUAUAACAAUAGGAAACAUGAAAUUGGUGAUCGAAGAUUGGAAAUGGAACUGGAUACCAAACUUGUGAUCGAGGAAUAGUUGGACCCAUUGUAUAAGUAAUAUAAAAUAACAAAACAAAAUUUAAACUAAUUAUUUUAUGCAUGUGAGACUCCUGUAUAUGGAAAAUAAUGCUGGAAAAAUUUCAACUAAUUAUGCUUAACUUUUCACAUUACCUUGGAUAUGCCAAGGCUUGAUUGUAAUUUACUUGACCAUUGUUGCUACCUAUUCGAUCAGUAAUCUGAAAAGAACAAUAAAACAACUUAAACAUUGUUUUCAUUGAAUUAGUAAAAAACACAUAUAUUAGUGAGAAUAUUUUUUUUCUGAUGAUUUAAAAAUAAUAUUCACGUAACAUUUUCUUUUUGGUAUUUAACAUGUUAUUAGAUGUCUAUUUUGAAUGUGUUAUUGGAUCAUUCAAUGAAAAUAGCUCUUGUGAAUUCCAAUUAUAGGGCAAUCAUAUACCAAAAUUCUAAAAGACAAGUGAUGAUUUUGUGAAUACAAACAAUGAAAAAUUACCUCAUAAGAAAAAUAUGAAUCAUGAUGAAAGAAAAGAUACUCCUUUUCUUUUGAAGAAUUAGGGUGCGUUUGACCCUACUUUUUUGAGGUUUAAAAAUUACUUUAAGAAUAAAGUUAAAAAUUAAAACUUAAAAGGGAAAGUUAAAGUUGUUUGCUAUUUGUUGUUUUUUUUUCAAUUUUAUUAAUACUUUUAAGUUGGCCCUAAUUUUAUAAAGUUUUUUUCUUUCUAUUUUGGCCUUAUUAUCAACAUUGUUAAUAUGUAACUAACUAAUCACUUGUCAAAAAAAAAAAAAAAACUAACUAAUCAAAAGAGGAAAACUUGGUUAGUGCUUCAAAACUCCUUGGAUAGUCCCAUUAAGAGUUAGUUGACCCAUUGUAUGUGAUAUGAAAUUGACAAAAAAAAAAUGUACAAAAUAUUCAAGUAAUGAUAAAAGUUUUGGAAAGAAUAAUUGAGAUUUUAAAUCAAUUUAAGGAUAAUUAUGGCAAUGCAAUAAAAUUCUAAAGAAAUUUUCUCCCCUCUUCUUCUAUAAAUUGAACCAAACACGCCAAAUUUAAAAUAUUCACUCCUCUCCCCUCCAAAACUCUCGAACCGUAAAACAAAAAGUUGUUUUUGAUAUGCAUGUGAGACUCCCGUUGUUUUGAAAAAAGUUAUCAUAUAUAGCAAAAUAAUUAUGAAAAAAAAUUAAACUUUAGGUUAAUUAUCCUUAUUUGUUCUUCAAAAAAAUUAUCAUUAUUUGUCAAGAAAAAGUUAAUUAUAGAUAACUUUUCACAUUACCUUGCUGACGAUGAGAAUAGAUUGUAGUUUAUAUUAGAAAUCGUGGUUGGGCCUAACACAACCCCACAAAACCGGCUUGUGAGGUGAGGAUUGCCCUCACUUAUAAACAAAUUGUCAGGCCAACUCCUAACCGAUGUGAGACUCUUAACACACCCCCUCACGCUCAGGAUUGCACAUCUGAAGUGUGAACAUAAAUGACGGGUGACCCGAUAACGGAAACCUGAUAACAGGUGGCCCAAAGAAUCGUGAAGAGGCUCUGAUACCAUAUUAGAAAUCGUGGAUGAUGUUAGAUAGAGGGAGAAUCAAGUUUUUGGAGAGGAGGUCUGCCUCCGAAGAAAGUUGUGAAGAUCCAUAUGAUUGGGUACACAGAAGUUGGCUUUGGGACUGAUUUUGUUCCUCUCGAGGCAAACUAACACAAACAUAAUAAAAUUAGUUAUAUAUUGUUCAUUGAUGUAAAAUAGUUAUAGAAUUUUCAUGAUAGCAAUAACAAACCUUCCCUUGAAUAGAUUAAUCUCAUGAAUGUCCUCAUUGAUGUACAACUUUGUGAAAGUAUAAGUAUUUGAAACACUUAGUGGGAAGCGUCCUGUUAUAAGUUUGAACAAUAUAAGUUAGUAUUAUAAUAUCAGAACUACAUGUAGGAAACACAUAUGGUGAUAGCUAACAGAUGUAGGGGUAAAACCUUCUUCCUUGAUCUUGGUAUACUUCAGCAUCACAACCACGGAUCCACCUUCUUUCCUUUCACUAUUAUAUUUAAUGAACUGUGCAGCAUAUUCUUCCCAUAAAGUGCAGUUAAUCGAAAUGUCACUGCAUGAUGAGAGUAGUUAUGUUACUACCAUUAUAAUGUACAUAGUAAAGUUUAUAAAAUAGCAGUGAUAUUUAUAGUUUUCAAGGGAAAAUGUCAGUUGACAACCAAAAUUCCUCACCUAAGGUCUUUCAUAGUAAAGUUGACCUGGAGUUUUUUCCCAGUACCUUGGUUCAGUUGACAAAAGCCCAUUUCCUGAACAACUCCAAUGGCAUCUUGAAAAAAAAAAUAGGGCAAGAUUCUUAGAAACAAACAAAUAAAAUAAAAUGAAUAAUAACAAUUUAUUAUAAACAACAAUGAACUCACUAACUAAAAUAUCAGGUUUCCAUUUUCCAGAUAUAAUUUCAGCAAACGGCUUGAAUUUGGUGUCAGAUUGAGGAACAUCAUGAACAUUGAUGUCUUCAGCAGUAGUCCCACCGGUUCAUUUCAAAAGAAACUUAUGUUCUAAGGCUUUGAACACUAAAUCAUUGCUAACCACUUGAAAGUUGCAUAAAGUGUAAGUAGCGUUUUCUUCUAAGAUUUUGUCAUAGGUAGCUUUGUAUGUCGUAGGAAUAACAACUUGUAUGUCCCUACCCUGAGAAGGAAACAAACACACCAUUAUAUGUUAAUAAAUUAAGAGUGAAUAAAUUAGUGAAGCAAAGAAAUAGUAGCAUGAAUGGAAAUAUAUAAUAAGACCUUAACAUCAACAAUAAUCAUCUCCAGAUGUUCCUUGCCAUCCUUAACAACAGUCCACUUGUCUUUGACUCUAACAGUUAACUUCCAAAAAUCUGACUUAUCUGUGACAUCACCAAUAAACUGGCAUGGUCUUUCCAUUUUCAGAUCUACUUGAUAAACAGAAGAUUGUCAGUAUGUUUGGCAAACUUAAACAAACACAACAUAUGUUUGAAAGAGAGAGAAAAAAUUGAAAACAGAUAAUAGAGUAAAAAAAGCAGAUGUGAGUAUGGAAGGCAAACAUACAUAUAAAAGAGUAUAAACAGAAAACCUAAUAAAAAAUAGAUCAUAAAGUAAAUGAAUCAUAGAAAAACUUUAGAUAGGAACAUGUAUCAUUGUUUUAGGAAGAACCAAUCAACUAAAAAAAUAGAAGAGUAGUUUACCAGAUUCAAGAUGAGAGAGGGGCGUGAAUGACAAUGUUUGGUAGUAGUGUUAAAGUAAGAUAAUAGUUGAAAGUGAGCUCAUAGAGUAUGUUGAUUGAUUGCUAGCUGUUAAAUGGAUAUUUGAACCAAAAAAUGUACUUUUCAAAUUUCCCUUUAAAAAGUAAUGAGUUCAGUUUAGUUUAGUUCUAAUGGUAUGGCAAGUUAGAUACAUCUCCAGAUAAAGUAAACCAACUGUUAUGUUUCAGUUAGAUGUCAUCAGUUAUCCUUAAGUGAUGUCAUCCAAUUAAAAAUGUAAAAUAAUAGACCAUAUUUACCCCUAAAUUUGGGAUUUUUACAUUAAAAGAGAAAAGAGCAUAUUGAGGUUUUCCACAACAUGUUCUUUUCUUAUAUUAAAGGAGAUGUUGAUGCAUAAACUUAUUCAAAAAAUAAAAAAAUACACAUAACCUAACUAUAAAACAAGGACGAAAAAAGUUUAAAAACUAAAAAUUGAAGAAAAAUUAAAACGAAAAAUUGAAAUAUUUAUAAUUUUCAUAGAUAAAAAUAUAUUUGUCCUCGUAAAAAGAUAAAAAAUAUAUUUAAUUUUGUUUUUGAAGGAAAAAAUAUAUCUAUUUUAAUAAAAGAAAUAAUAAUUAAGAAAUAUGAAUGACACCUUCUCGAGUCGAAUACAGCCAGCGUAAGUUCACCAAACAACACAUUCUGUGUUCUGACCUUAUAACUCUUCACUCCUGUUGAACCCAGCCGCCCAACCAAAAGCUUCUUUCAUCAAUGGCGGAAACUCCCAACAGCUCCCAAACUCUCGCUGAGGUAUCAAUUUCUCUUCCUUUUACUUAUCAAUUUCCAAUUCUACUUAAAUACCUCCAAGGAUCUUUGUUUUAAUUCCAAUCUAUUUAUUUUUCGAAUGAAAAAAAUUAUAAAUUGAACCUUGAUUAUGUUAUUUUGGUGCAAUUCUCAGUGAUUUCUCCUAGAUCUUGAUUAGCUUCAAUUGAUUUAGUUUUGUUUUUACACUUCUAAAUGUUGGCAUGAAAAAUUAGAAUUAGCUUAGUCUAUGUAAAUUUGUAGUCUUUGUUAGCUAACGAAGAUUCUAAGCUCAGAUCUAUAUCAUGGACGCAAAAUAAAGUCCAUUUUGUUCAAUCAAUGAUAUCUAUGCAGCACUGACACUUCUGAUUGAAGGCGUGUUGAGUUGACCCAUGUAGUUAUAUUCAAUCAUUUAUAAUUUCUUCAAUUAUUUUCGACGUGCUAGUGUCGUAUCUGGUAUCAGUGCCAUCUGUACGAGUUAGAUAGUUAGAAUGAUAAGAGGAUUGAAAUAUUGAUACUAAUUUGCAAGUUUUAGUGUGCAACUAGAUGAGUUGCUAUUGUUAUUUAUUUUGGAUGUGAUAUUGUUUUUAUGAAGAAUGGGUAUGAUGCGGUGCUAGAUUUUGUGUUUUUUGCUGGGUAGUGUGUAGUGAUAGAAUUUUCCCUUGAUUUCCUCGGCUUGAAGCUGGUUUUCUAAUGUUAUGUAAGAUUUGAGAUGAAGAUAGUGACAAAAAUGUUUUUGGUUUGUAGGAAUACUAUGUGAAGGACAAACAAGAGAAAAAAGAGGUAGCUGAAAAACCAGUUGCUGUCGAAAAACCUGUUGCAGUCGAGGAAGUUGAAAAGCCAAAGGAGGCUACUCCUGUGGAAGCUGUUGUUGAGAAAACUGUAGAAGAAACAAUUCCUGCUGCCCCUGUCGUUGCUGAAGAAAGCAGUGAAGUCACCCCUCCUGCUGCUGAAGAAAACGCUCAAGAGGAAAGUAGUGAAACUGUUGUCGAAGAAAAUUCUGGUGAUCAAGAGGAAGCCGAAGAGAAACCUGAAAUUAAGGUGACAUUUAUUUAACUGAAUCAUCAAUCUGGAAUUGUUGCUUGAUUUCAUCAUAAUUAGAGUUGAUGCUCCUUUCAAUAUCUUGAUAUUUGAGCCAUUAUUUUUCAGCUUGAGACUGCUCCAGUAGAUUUCCGUUUCCCAACUACUAAUCAAACAAGGCAUUGCUUUACCCGAUACAUUGAAUAUCAUCGGUGAGUUAUGCACCGUUUUUAUUUUUAUGGAGAUUUUAACAUACACUGAAAAGUUUUACCGUUCUUAUAUUUUAACCGUUGAAAUUCAUGUGCAGAUGUGUAGCUGCAAAGGGAGAUGAUGCACCAGAAUGCGAUAAGUUUGCUAAGUAUUAUCGUGCUCUUUGCCCUGGCGAAUGGGUAUGUAUUUCGAUAAUGAAUAUUUUUUAUCAUCUGCUAGGCACUAGGAUCUGCUUGUCCAACAAGAUUUACUUACAGAUAUAUCGUCUUGCUAAUGUCAAAUUUCUAUCUGUUGAUUGUCUAUCUGGACUCUUACAUGGAAAUUGAAUAGCAUCAUUUGCCUUGUUGGUAGUAGUAUAAUUCUUAUGAAUAACUUGCAUCUUGUUUCCUACAACUUAGUUUUUCUUUUGUUUUUGACCUUUUGUUACAUUUAACAUGAUAUCUGACUUUAUGCCAAAUCAUAAACUUUUCUGCAAAAAAAUUGCAAUGAAAUAAAAUUUUAGUUAUUAAACGUGUUGGCUUUUUUAUGGGGAGGAAAUUCUUCUUUUAAGGCUGUAUAGGGAGACUGAGCUCUUAAGCUGCUAAAUAUUCAUGUAUAUCAAUCUUUAACUUUCUUCAUGCCUUCAACUCUUGUGGCUUAACCACUUGGAAUUAGUUUAAUUUUUGAGAUGGUUGAUGCAUACUCAGGGCCCAAAAUUACUAAAAUGUGAAAAGGCAUAAACGGUGUGUCACACAUGACCACUGUUGUUAAAUGGCUGCCAUGGCAGAAUAGCUGACAAUCAGCACAAGAAAUUUGUGAAGGGAUACCUGCCAUGGCGCCGCCAUAAGCCGUAACGGCGUGUUUCUAUUGUGUAGUUUUGGCAUUCUUCAAUAUUCUGCUAUCCGCCAUUCACAACUAUGCAUAUUACCAAAUUAGAGGCGAUGGAACAGAUCAGAUCUAGGAGACAGGAUGGCACUAUUAACCGCCCAGUUCGCAAUAUUAGUGGGGAGUGUGUGUAGGUGUCAUUAGAAGGUUUAUGUUGGGAAUUACUUGGGACUGUUUGGCGAGAUUGGGCACUCUCAAAUUGCCUAAGCAUUUUAAUUUCUUAUUUAUGCAUUUUCUUCUUGUUGUAGAUCCUAGCAAUUGUAUUACCUUGAUACCAACCUGAAUUUUCACCAUUAAUACAAUUUUUCAAGUGCUUCGCUUUACCCACAUUUCUAGUACUUAUCAUACGACAUUAUACUCUAUCCCCAGAGCUCGAAUGGUCAUUAUGCCUGCAACAAUGGAAUCCUAAGUCGAGAGUUUUGAGAGUGAAUACUUUUGGAAGUCUGUUACAAAUAAAAGUUCUGAAAAAGCUGUUACAUGAAUUUGUAGUCAAGGUCAAUCUUGAUGAACUUCAACAAGGUUCAUGGUAUGGACAAAGAUAGGAAGGUUAAUCUCUAUUGUAUGGCAAGGGGAAUAAAGGGGUGGUUUGAGUCUUCACUUGAGGUAACCACUUAGGGAGGGACUGUUCAUGUGGAGAGAUGUUUGAAGCUGAAUUUGUGCAAGUUGAGAAGCUUGACUCUCUUGUAUUGCAUUGGGGAUUGAUCAUUGAAUUGGUAUAAAUGGUCUGAGGAACAGUCGUAAGGAUUAGUUAGGAGGAGUUCAAUGGAGCAGUGAUUCACCCUUUAAACCUGGAUAUUCUAGAGUGCCAUUGGACGGUUGUUUAGUAUAAAAAACAAUCUCACGGGUGGAGGAGUAUAGAGGGAUAUUUGUAAUAGCUUCUGUUGCACUUCAUGUUGAAGGGCAUUUUCCUAUAUGGUAUAAUGGAAGAAAUCCGCGCAGAACUGAAGUUGCAGGACACAAUCUUAGAUAGUUGAUGGUCUUAGCAUUGCUGCGUGAAGAAAAAAACUCUGCUUCAAGACGUGGACCAGAGAUUCACCAUGAGAGAAGGGCACAGAUUCAGUGGAAACCAAACCAUUGAUGGAGUUAAUACAGAGAAUAAAUUGUGUUGGUGUUAGGGGAUUGACGCAGAUGGUAAAUUUCAUGAGAAGUUCAAGGAGAAGUGGGGCUUACCAGUUAGUGCUGGUAUAUAGGAUGCGCCACCAUAUGAGGAUGUCGGGAAAUGUUUGAAUUGGGGAUAAGACCUGUUUCAUAUCCUUUUGAAGUGAGGAGGAGCUAACUUAUAACCAAUCCUUUAAGACAUGGAGAAAUUUUGGAGAAAGGUGGGGUCUAGGGCUAUGGUAGGGAAUAAGGUAUUUGCAAGAUUUAUGCAUGAAGAUACAAGGAGUGGGAUUCGAUCAGAAUUUCUUUCUCCUGGAGUUAGGAAGGACUUCAGUAGUUUUAGGAUUGGAUUGGAUAUAAAGGGGGUAAGAUGGUGAUAUGAGAACAAUAGUUUGGAAGGUUUAUGUUAGAAGUAAGGGAAAUAGGCUGGGGGUUGACAAGGCCUGACUAGACCAGAUAGGAGUUAGGCAGCAGUUGAGCUGUCCUUGAGGAGAGUCCAGAGUCUCUAAUUUCUGUUAUAGCUCUGAUGUAAAUGGUUGUAAGCAUUCAACCUUUCAAUACUCACAUUGUGUAUAGUUCGGUAAUCUUGUUCAUUCAUUCAAUAAAGAAGAGUCAUUUUCCAUUCUUCAAUGGUGCUACUGUAACAUAAGGUAUUGUUGAGAGGGGAUUUUCCCUUUGCAAGAUACAAGCGAAGGAUAUUAUAUAGCUUAUAAACACGGAACAAAAGAAAAAGGAGAGUGACAGGAGCAGUUUUCCACAUUUAUAGAAAAAUAUCAGCUGAAUUUGAUGAUGUUUCUCAAUAACCAGAUGGCCUACCACCUAAUGCAACUUGGGUGAUGCAAUCUCAUUGGACUGGACUCAAAUUCUCAAGAUUCGUCCCUAUAUGUACCCAUACUACAAAAAAUAGGUGAAAAAAUUGUGAAGGUGAUGCUUUUUCUGCCUAGCACUAGCCCCUUUGGUAAUCCUAGCAUAUUAAUUAAGAAAAGAUGUUUGGUGGAGGGAUUCGUGUAGACUAUUUGGCCCUACACAGCAAAUGAUUCUCGAUAAAUUUUCAAUUCUCAUCAUAAUUGUGCUAAAAAUGAGUCCGGGGGUCCAAUGAUCAUUUCUACCAAAUAGGAUCUCAAAUUAGGGUACCAUCAGAUUCGCCCGAGAGAAAAUGACAUUCCUAAGGCAGUCUUUAGGACUCGUGAAGGUCUCUAUGAUUUUCUAGUUUGAUUAUCAAAAGAAGUUUCUAGGUAUGCCCUUUUGUUUAACUAAGCAUUGGGCACAUUACCAAAUUAUACUCUAUGUGAUGCGCCUGAUUUAGAAGAGAAGAUUACUGGCUAAUUGGCAUUAAUAUUUGUGUGCGGGGAUCUGUGUAAUGAGAGAGUAUAAGCAUGACUGUAAUGGGGGGAGACAAGUUAGGGAUAAUUAGUAAGGACUAUUGGGAGAGUCUGGGCCCUCUUGAAUCGCUUGGCCAUUUUUUGUUGCGUUUUCUUUUUUAGAAUCCAGAAACUGAAAUCACCUUGAUACAGGCCUGAAUUUUCUUUUUAUUAACUUUUUUCUCUCCUUCAACCAAUGUUAACAUUGAUCUCAUGUCUAACACUCAGUUUUCAUUGAUUUGCCCAUGCAUCAGGUUGACAGAUGGAAUGAGCAACGCGAGAAUGGAACAUUUCCUGGCCCGCUGUAAGUGGGAAUAUGUCCGAGAUAGAUGUGCACUUCACUUGCAGUAUUACAUUUAAAAUUGCAAGAGACAAACUUCCAAACACUUCAGGGAAUGUUCAAUGUUACGCAUUUGGUUAAUAAGAAAUUUUGCUUUUGUAUUUAAACCAGCUUGAGUUGUAAAAUUGCAGGAAAUGCUUCUGGUGAAAUGUCCAGAUAUGUGUCUUAUUAUUUACUAGAUUCUUAACAGAGGGAUUGUUGUUGGGUUUUUUAUGCCCCCAAAAUAAUAAAAGUUCCCCAAGUUAAACUGGGGAAUACCUGAAGACUCGGUAGGGACGUUCAAAGAACACUAACCCAGAAAUUGAGUUUAAACACAACACCACAAUAUACAAGGACAGUGUCAACCUCUAGAUCUAAUUCUUGUAACAAGGCCAUGGCAGUCUCUAGAUCUAGUCUUCAUAAAUCAUAAUGAUACAUGGUAGCCUCCCAUGUGUUGUGUUGCUGCCCAAAUGGCACUGUUGCACCCUGUUUCCCUUAUUACAGAAAUCAGAGCCUCAUAUGUUGUCUUAUUUUCCGCACCACAUUUUUCAGAAGUUUCCGACUUUUUUUUCUUUUGUUGCAAAUUUUGACCUUCCAGUUAAUAUAACCGGAUGAAAUUUGUUCGGAUUCUACAAUUUGAGGUUUAAAAUGCUCAAUUCAAUUUUUUUUCAAAACUUUUACACCUUCGGAUUGUUUAACCUUGAGAGGGUAAAAAAUCUGUAAAAAAAAAAUGAUUUUGGGUUUUUCUGUUUAAGAACUAUAGUGGGGAAAAUUAAGCUCUCUUUGAUUUGUCGAUAUUGGGAUUUUACUUUUAGAUCCGAACUCUGCUGCCCAGUCUUAUUUAGUAAAAGUAGAAAAUGAUUUAAUGUGAAAAAUAGUACUUUCAGUAAUAAGCUUUAAAAUGAUUUUCUUGAAGAAACCCUAUCACCAUCAUCAGUUCCUCAUUUUUCAAGGCAAACCAUUAACAUCAUUAGAAUAUGGAAGAAAUACAGAGGAAUAUAAAUGGAGAUGAUCUUGACUCGUAGGAAAGGGGCUCAAACAAGUUUAUAUUCAUCAAUAAGCUUAAUCAAGAGCUUAAUGAUUUGUCAGAUGUUGGCAUCUGUUGUUGUUGACAAAAAUAAUGAAUAAAUGAGAUAAAUAGGAGCCAGUGUAACAAUUUUCAAGAUGAUUUCAUCCAGCUUUAGCCACGCCUUAGUACUAAAAUUGAAGAUCAAUUAGUGUUUUAAAAAUCAGACUAAACCAAUAAGUUUAAUCAUUACAAUCGAAAAUUGGUUUGUUCGUCGGUUGGUUCAAUCUUGUUCAAGUCGAAUUGAAUUGGAGUUGAAUUAUAAUUGGUUCAACCAUUUUUUUGUUGAAUUUUUAAUAUCUAUUAUUUAUUAAUUAUUUGAUUAAACUAUAAUUGAGCUUAUUUUUCAUAAAAUAAACCAAUAAAAAAAACUAUAAUUGAACUGAUUGAAUCAUGAACUGAUGGUCUCAACCGUUCAAUAUCCUAUUUACUAGUUUUGAAAACAUUGAAAUGAAUAUUCAAGUUGGUACUGUAGUCUUCUAAAAUUUUGUUAGUUUUCUUUGCACCAUCUUUCGUAUUAUUUGUUGAACACUCUAUCUCAGCUAUCUCCAAAGCUUGAACCAUUUUAAAUAAUUAAUACAGGUGAGAGUUUAAUGUUGAGUUUUAUUUUAUGUCAAUGGAAUAAAAUAAAACUAAAUAUCAAAACAAUAGAGUAUAGCAAAUGAGUGAAACUCUGGUCCAUUCUUCAAUAUAGGUUUUGCUUCAACUUUUUCUUUUGGCAAGAGGUUUUGCUUCAACUUAAUUAGAAGAGAUAUGGUUUUAUCUCACUACAUAAGCAUAAGUAAUUGCAUAGAAGCUCAACAUUUUUUCGUUAAAAAAGAAAAAAGUCAAAACUUGAAAUUGAAGGUCUGUCCUGGGGGAAGAAAGUGAGCAUGAUAUUGUACUCUAUUUUUACAACUUGAGUUUGGUAAUGUCGAUCUUCUUGCGAGGAUAUGUAUAUGCCUCAUAGUUAAUUUUUUGUCCCAAGGUACUCAAUUUUGUGAAAGUGGUUAUCAGAUCAACCUGAGAAAGAUAACAAACCAAAGAGAAUUACCAAGUGAAUUUUUUUAACCAAACGAAAGUUUCAGUAACUGCUUUGCUUCUCUUGCAUAGAGAGGGAUUCAUAGUUAAACUUACCUCGUAGUCGGUUCGAGAGACAGUUUCGCGGCUCCGUUGGUAUUUUUGUACCCAUGGAGCAACAUCUGGAUCAGAUGCCAAUAAGGUUUCUGUUGCAUCCUGAUCAGGACCUAUGAAUGCAGACAACACAGCCAGCUACCCAAAUAGACAGAACAUAAUUAGUAACAUUCAAUGUUGUCAAUCGUGGAUCGCAGAAAAUUGAGGUUUGUACAAAACAGUAUAUCGCAAAACAAUAACAAUUUGUUCAACUGAAAUUGUAAAAUGAUAACUGAGUUCGGACAAGACCAUUUCGCUAAAAAACAUUAAAUGGAAUGUAGGGAAUAGUUUCUUAGAUGGAAUAGCUUUAAUCAUUUUAUAGCGACACUGGAGAGGGGAAAAUGCUUAUGUCAGUCUAAGUUGAACUUUGUAGCAUAUAUACCAAGAUUGCAAUUUCUCUUCUAUAUACAGGUGGCAUCUUAUAUAUGCCUUUCAAAAUUUCUAUAAGAAAGAUCAGGGUUGUUAUAUAGCGUGAUAGCAUAGCAAAAUUUGAACAAUCACUAUUGUGUCAUGAUCCGCUAUUUAGUACAAUGUUGUCAAAUAGCCGUUAUUGUGGCGCUCUAUAGUGUCAACAAACACACUAUAUUUUGCGCAUCAGCGAUCGACAAGAAUGAGCAAAAAUAGUGAUAAAAUAUGGGAAGUACCUGGCGAGGACCAAAGCCUACUGCAGAAAAUUUAUCUUUCAUUUCCUGAACACUUGCUUUCUCCCAAAGUGGAAUUCUCCCCUCUGGAUCUGCCUCGUCAGUAUCAGUCCUACCAAAUUGCCUAUCGAACAAACCCCACUGAUCCAAAACGAAAAUUGGAUGUGUUCCAUGAUCGUGUAUUCGUGUUAGUGAAGGGUUAUUUAGCAACAUCUUGUGAACAUUUCCAACCAUGGAUCAUUUCAUAAAGUUUUUGUAGGACAUUAUUCUGUGUAAUUAUUGAUAAAUCAACACAACACAUCUUUAUCCAUUUUUCACUUGAAGAGGUGCAGAUUGUGCUGAUAAUAAGAUAAAUCUUACCAAUGUACACUUACUAAAGUUUGAAAAUAACUAAAGCAUAAUAGAUCAAACUGACAUUGAUCUAGAAUUCAUUUUGUAUAUAGAUGUUACUAAAAUAUAGAUGUUAGAUAGCAUUUAAUGUAUUCAUUUUGUAUAUAGAUGUUACUAAAAUAUCCUAUUGUGUAAAGAUGUGUUAAAUUUGGACUUUUCAUCUUCUAAGACAAAUUCGUAGUAUAAAUAAGGGAUAUAUUUUGAAAAAUAAUAAUUAAUCUAUCUACUCUACUAAUUAAAAUGAGGUUUAUAUUUAGCGAUUUUUAUAUAAACGGGGCUUAUAAUUAGAGACAGAGCUAGUAUUAACCAGAUUUUGGAUAAGAGCUUAAGUUCAAAAGAAAACCUGUCCAUUUGAUCCAUAUGCAGUGUAUAGUAAAUUCCCUUUCUCCUCAUUUCCACCGCAUUUGCGAAUUGCAGAAGCUAAAAAUUGAGCCUUUGUUGCACUUUGUGCUACAAAAAUGAAGACAAUAAAGUCAAUGGAAUUUGAAUAUAUCCCUACAACUUCUAGCAAAUUCUUAAUCAAAAUUGAUUUAACAAAAAAUCGUCACAAUAAUCAACAGACAUUUAGAACAAGUAUGUGAAACAUGUAUUGUAGAAAAUGCUCACAAUAAUCAACAGAUAUUUAGAAUAUGCAUGUGAAACAUAUACUGCUAAUAAGCUAUGAAUCGUGGACACAGACACUGACACGCCGACACCGCUAAUAAUUUGAGGAAAUCACAUAAUUUAGUGUAAUUAUAUGUGUCUGUGCUUCAUAGGUAAUAAGUAUUAUGUUUCAAAACGGGGAUGAAAUGUUCAACCUGCAUACUGGAUGAGAUCUGCAUAGGAAAUAGGUCCACCUUUGGAAUAUGAAUCUAUCUCUUUUUUUGCUUCCUCUAUAAAAUUCAAGGCUGCAGAAAGCCCCUUGUUUUCAGGUCUACUUAUUUCUGAGCUUCACACAGAAUUAUUAAAAAAAACAGAAAAAGUAUUAUGAUUAUUGGUAAGCAAAAAUAAUGCAUACAAGCAAAGAAAGAGGAAAAAUUUUCAUUUCUGAAGAAAUUGCAAGUAAAAUCAGAAAUUUAAGAUAUACUGACAAGUAAAACUUCAAAAUUUUAUUACUUUGUACUAUCACCUAUGGCCUAUAGAGAGGGGCAUAAAAAAGACAACUUUCAAUGCAAUAACAAUCUUAGAGUACCUUAUUUAGAAGACUAACUGUUUCUAAAAAGAAUUAAAGACUACAUCUAUGGUUAUACUUAUACAUAUGUUAACAUCAUUGGAUUUGAAUGUUAAUUACAAAAAAAAAAAGUACCUGAACCGGAUAGAACCAUUUGGGCCACCCGUUUUCGUUGCCUACAAACUUAAGAAGAUUCCAAUCAAUACAGAUGAAAUAUAGAUAUAUCUGUUCAUGCAUGUAUGUGGGUGCGAGCGCGCGUCUCUCACCUUAUCAUAAGUCAAAGCAUCAUUUAGAGCCAGUGUUAGAAUGGAUGGAGUAAGAUCAGGAUUUGCCUGAAGAGAUAUCAAACGUCGAAUAAGCUCAUAUCCAAAUUGGAAAUUCUAUUCUCUAGCUGGAAAAGACAAAUGUAUAAUCCAUAACCAUUCAGUAAAUGCAAGUCAGCAAACUAUACCUUUAUUGCUGUAUAUAGCGUCCCUUUAAUUUGAGCUGUAAGAACAGAAAGUUAGAACUCUGCUAAAAUGAAAGAACCAUUGAGUUUGACAUGAUUAAUGAUCACAUGGAGUUGUAAAACCUAAGAAUCUUACACUGAAAAUCAGAGCGCUGUCUGCGUUCUAUUAGAUCAGCAGCAUUAGCGGUUCCAAGGAGCGAUCCAGAGCUUGAUAUCGACUCCUACAAACAGAUGCAACUGACCGAAACUCAUCAUCAAAUCAAUCUUAUCCACUAAAUACAUAUCCAAUAAUAAUAUAUAAAAUAUUUCAGCUCAAAUUUUUGGUUGAUCAAGAUGAAAAUAUGAUGGUGUGCAUUGUUUUAUCCCAAAGUUUCCUACCUGCACUACUUUGUGAUGAUUUCUCAGCAUAAGAGGUCUUUUACCAAACUCAAACAACACUAAAUUUACAUUUUAUAAGGAAAUAAAAAUAAAAAGAACUAGUAAAGACGUUGAUCAACCUUACAAGAAAUACAUUUGUUACCAACAAUUCAAAAUAAUGACUCUUACCAAACCAAUGGUCAACCCAAUGCAUUUAAGAACGUCUCUUCGCCUCCAAUGGAAGAACUGUUCUUCUUCAUCGCUAACAUCAGUCUUGAUUUUUGCACAACAAAUGGACACCUAAAAACAAAACCAAUGUUAUUUCAAAUUCAAAUUAUUCAUAACUAAGCAACAAUUGCAACCAAUAUGAUUGAGUGAAUGCUUGGAACCAUUGAGCUUGAUGAAAUCACAGUGACACCAUGAUUUUGUUAAAGCUCCAAAGUAUAACUUAUGAUCAAAUCAUGAUUCUAUCAAACUAACUGUCAAUCCAAACAUACAUUGACUUUAUCUAUUUUUUUUAAUGCAAAGUUCCAAAACAUAUUAUCAUCAUUCAGAAUUCACAUAAUAUGUACAUCUAAGAAAGGACAUUGUAAUGUAUGUAACAAAGACUUACUGAACGAGGUUGGUGUCUGGUUGAAGUUGUUUUUGGAUAAUGAGAACCACCAAGUGGAUGAAGAGAAGGAAGAGUUGAGAUUGAGAGGAAAGAGACACCCAUUGCUACAACCAAAUUGUUAUUGUUUGGUGUCUUUCUUUGUGUUUGGAAGGAGAAAGAGGAAAAAGGUUCAUGCAAUGUCAGAUAUUUUGUUUUGUGGUUUUGUUGCAAGUCAUUUAUGAUAAUAUACGUUAUCCACUUCCAUCUUUUGCUAUUGCUAUUGGAUUCUCUUAUUUCUGCACCAAUCCUUAGAUUUCUGACUUCUUGGUAGGGUACUCAAUUGUGUCAAAAGAAAAAAGAUUUUACACCGUCAGUGUAUAAUAGUUAAAUUACGUUUAUUUAACAUCUAAUUAAAAAGUCAUGCACCACUUACGAUUGAGACUGCCAUUGAACAUAUUCAUGGAAUGUGGCUUGUUAAUCUUACCAAGAAAAACAUUACUAACAUUAAUUAUUUUAUUAUGGGUUUUGUUAACGAGUCCCCUAAAGGCACUCUUUAAGGAUUUCUAAUAAAGAAAUUAUUCUUUAAAAAAGUUAAAAACUCUAAUUUCCAAUGCAUUGAUUUCAUAAACUUUGACAAAAACUUACUAUUUAAAGUUACUAAACAAUGCCCUAAGGGCAUUUGUUAACAUUUCACUUUUAUUAUUUAUUAUUGUAUCAUAAUUAAAAACUAAAAAUGGGGAGAGUGCAUGUUGAAAUAUGUUGUUUUACCAUCUAAACAGUAAUACACAAUAAUUUAAGAUAAAUUAGGCAAAAAAUAUUAAUAAUCUUAUUUCCACUGCUUCCAACAAAAGCUAUUUUAAAUCCUUUUUUGUAAUAGAAUUCCAAAUCCUUCUUCACCAUUCAACAAAUUUAUCCCAAAAAUAUACUGUAAAGAGUUAAAUUAUAAUAUGAUUUUUGAUGCAACACUUAAUAGUUGUUAGCAUUAGCUUGCACUUGUUAGGCAGACUAAAUGCUUCUUUCUUAUUUACAAGAGGCAGACAAAAGGCAAAAUGCGAAAUAAACAGUCAGAAUAUUGUUGCAAUUAGGAGGUAGUUCGGUUACUGAGUUAAAAGACAUCGAAUGAAUUUUAAACACGAGAUAUAACUUUCAAACCCAAAAAAAAAUUAACAUAAUCACUAACUUACUAACAUUUGCCUAUAAAAAAAAGUUAAAAUACUAAAUCAAUUAAAUAAAAUAAAUACUACUUAAGGGGAACUAUGUAGGAGUUCUCAAUAAGAAAUAAAAUAACACGUGAGACUGAAUCCCUGGCCACAUAUAUGAAAACCUUGCCUAUAUAAUUGAAUCCAGUCAUCUUAAAGCUCCAUCCUUCAAGAACUUCUUAUCCCAGCACAUAAUUGUGUACCUAUCAAAACCUAGUUAUGGGUUUCUUUUCUGUUUUUUUCUUUAUUUUUUUUUCCUUCCCAAAUUAAUCGGUUCAUGCAGAACGCCUUUUCAAAAAAUAAAAAUGGGUAAUGCAAAACCAAUUUCGAUAUUUACACUCUUCCACUUUUGUACUAAUGAAUCUUUCAAAGGAACAAGUGGGUUAGUAUCUGAUCUACUUGAUAAUGUCAGAGAUGUUUCGGGACGGUGGUUCUGUCCGGCAUAAACAAUCAGGUAAGGGAUUAGCAUAAAAGGUUUCUUCUGAGCGAAACCUGUCCAUGCCCUUUGUUCCAGAAAUUGGUCCUUUUCUUUUCCUGGGGGAGCCAAGUCUGCAACACAGCAAUUUUAAAAUCACAAGCAGAAGUUUAAUAUGAGAUCGUCGUAUAAGAAUGAGUACAUUAUAAACUAGAUUUUUUCAAUAGAUGAAACAUAAUGUUGACAUGGAAUUGAAAUAUGGCCAAAGUAGUGUUUGUAAGACUUGGAUAAUCCUCAUCUCUUGAGCUACCUUUGGGAGUUGAGUUAGGCUUAGGCCUAAGAUGAUACCAAAAUUUUCACGACAUGUACGUAACAAAAUUUACAAUUCCUCCCAAAAAAAAUUAAAAACAAAAUUGGAGAAGUUAUUUCUAGUAGAAAUUAUUAUCUAUUAGUGUGGCACUAAUGGCCAAAGUAGUAUUUAUAAGACUACUUUGGGAGUUGAAUUAGGCUUAGGCCUAAGAUGAUACCAAAGUUCUCACGACCUGUACAUAACAAAAUUUACAAUUCCUCCAAAAAAUUUAAAAAACAAAAUUGGAGAAAUUAUUUCGAGUGGUAGAAAUUAUUAUCUAUUAGUGUGGCACUAAUGGCUAACAACUGUCUCCAGCAGGGAUUUGAACUUCGUUCUUUAAAGUUACAGGAUACGACUCUUACCACCUUGCUGACAACCACAUAAACAAUUUCUCUGCAAAUAAAAAAGAAAGAAAAGUAAACUUACCGUCUAAUGUGGAGAUCGAUAAUCCUAUUUGACAGUUUUUUCCCCUCAGUCAUUGUUCCCUGAUCUAGUUUAUCAAAGAGACGAACAAGGGCUUUCCUAUUUGAAACAAGACAGGACAAACAAAACAACGUUGUAAAGGGUGAACUAGAAAAAGGUAAUUAAACAAAUUUUAAAAGAUAAAUAAAUAUGUGCUCCUUGGGUAAACAACAGCUUACCUAUCCGGAGAUAUUGAUCGACCACGUCCAAGAAAACGGCGAUGACCUUCAACAGCCCUUGCCAUGUUUCCAGAAUAAGAGGGUAUAAAUACAUCACUCUCGAUAGAUACAAUAUAGUCAAGAGCAGCCAUUUGAGAAGCAUGAUUAAAAAAGGGUUCAAGCUCCUCAAUGGAUGCCAACGUUUCCUGAAAUUAAUCACAUGAAGGUUAAUACACAUCAUACCAAUGCUUCCCAUCAUUCAGCUAUAAUCCCAGAAAAGCAGUUUUUAAGCUAGUUGAACGUAAUAUUACUCCCUCUGUCUCAUAAUAAUGGCCAUUUAAGGUAAUGCAUACAUAUUAAGAAAAUGAUUAAUUAUACUAACUCCCAAUGCAAAAUAAUGUGUUGUGCUCCCACUUAUGAUCAGAUAAGCCCACCCUAUACUAUGUAGUCAAUCGUGGUCAUAGCGGUCACUAUAGUGCUGUAGCGUUGGAUAGCGGCCUCAAGACACUAUAUGAAACCCCAUUGCGUUUUUGUUUUGUGUGGCGGUUGAAGCAUCGCCUAUAGUGGCGCGACCAGACGGCGGCCAAAUAGCACUUGCUGUGAUAGGAGUUUAAUUGGGCCGGAUCCUAUUGAGGGCUGGUGGGCUUUAAAAAUGAGAGGCCUAAAGUGUGGAGGGUUUACACUAGAAAAAAGAAGAAAAAUAAUGUGGGGAGCGUGUGAGUGGUGAGCUGGCAGAUAGCAGUAGAUUCCCCUAAUAAGGUGUGUGAGGGGAAUCAGAAAGUGAGGUUUGAGUUUGUUAAACCUGAUAUGGUUAGGCAGUAAGUUUCUCACUGAGGAGGAUUGCUUUGGGCUGCAUUUUUGCAGAUUGUUCAUCCAUUUCUUCACUCAUUAAUAAUGGAAAUUCAUCCAUUUCAUCUAUUCACAUUGCUUUAUUUUACAAUCGUUAUCUCUGCUCUAUCAUGCUGCAGCAGCUACAGUGAAACUUCUGUAAAAUAUUUGCAUUUUUUGGACCUUUUGGUCACUUCACCGUAAAAUAGCCGUUUUUUACCUUCAACUUACAGCCCUCUUUUAUUUAGGACCUUUUGGUCAUUCAACAUAAAAUUUUGAAUGCCGACAAAAUAAGGCACCCUCCUCAGCUCUUACCUUGUCUGGCUUUCCAGCAAUUCUUUUGUGACUUUCUGGCAAUCAUCCUCACCUUGGAGAUUGUGAUUCCAUUAAGGAAUCACUUGUAUAUGAUUCCUUAUGUUAACCUUGGAGGCUAAACUUAUUUGCCUUAUAUUGGGUUUGAACAGCAAUGAACUUUGAUUAUUAGUUGUGAAUAUGUCAUUAAUCUUGCGUGUUCUUCUAUUGCGUUUAGCUUUUAUGUGUAUGACAAGUUUCUUCUAUUAUUUCCUUAAACUUCAACGUAACGGCUAUAACGCUACCCGCUAUAGCGUUUUGGGGGUCGGCUGCUACCAGCCACUGACUACAUAGACCCUAAGUUGCAACUACAGUUUACACCCAUUUAUCCUAGUCUUGCAAUACAAUACAAACUACUUUAAUAAAUAAAGAUAACACUGGAAAAAAGUAAUAAAUACUUAAGGUUUGUUUGGGAGUUUAGGAGGGGAAGGGAGGGUUUCCGGAAAAAAAGGGAAGGAAAAAGUAAGGAAGGAUAGAACCCCAACUUGAAUGGAGAGUUCAUUUUUCUUCCCCCCUAAUUUGGGGGAACUAAAAGUAUGUACUGGAGAGGAUUUUACAGGGUUUAGAAAGAGAAAAAAAAAUAUAUUUCCAUGUUAUAAUACACUCAAAAUUAUAAAUACACUUACCACAAGUAUUCUCUUAUCAUUCUCUACAAAAUCACUCUCUCCAAUAAGGUGAAAGAUUUCUUUCUCUUCCUUUCCCUUCCCCUAAAGCCCUCCUUUCCUCCAAACUCCCAAACGGAGUCUUAAUAUUCAUAAGUGUGAAAUAAUGAGUUACAAAUAUUUCAAACAAGAGUUUUAUAUGAGUCGGCAUAUACAUUAUCUUCCGUUUUAUAUUUUAAUUUACUGUUAUUAAAAUGUAGGGAUCAUUUUUCAAUAGUUUUGGACUAAGGUCUACUCUAGAAGUUGUUUUCUCAUAAUAACUGAUAACUUAGACACUGUAAUAUAAGUGAAGUACCUGCCAUUCAUAGAACAUUUUUUCCUUUCCUUUAUAAUAAAAAAACCUCUAAUAGAAAUCAUGACUUGACAGCAUAAUGGGCCCCAUUAUGGCAGAGGAUAAUAGGUGAUGAAUAUUUUAGAUGGAGAGAGGGAUAAUUAUAGGGGAUGGACAUUGAAAAAGAUUUGAAAAUUAGGCAUUGGUUUGGGAUACAGAAAAUACUAAUGCAUUAUCAAACUUCAUUUUCUAGAGAUAUAUUGAAUAAAAAGCCCCCACCAUGCAUCAACAACAUAAAGCAACUAAGAACUGCAAUUAUUACCUUGCUCAUUAACAAUGGAUAACGGGAUCGCAGUUCAGCCAUAUGGGACUCACCCCCAUAAAUCUCUCCAGCAGCAAUAUAUAUCGGCGUCUUUGAUGGAUAUCCAAGAGCAGUAAGAAAAAUUCCAACUUCCUUUGGUGUUAAGGGGCAAAACCCUUUGGACCUCUGUUCUACGGGAUCAAUAUCUUUUACUUUCCAAUAAGAAAUGUUCUCUCUACAAGUUUAACAAACAAUAAACAUCACAAACCAUGUAUGAGAAAAGACAUGACAUUCAAUUUAUCCUUCUUAAGAUUCCACAGUUCCAUACCUGAUAAUCCGUAGCUCUUCAGCUUCAUCUAGAGAUAAAUCAUGCGUACACCCACUAAAUGCAAGCAUAUCCUUCUCAUAACGUAAAUGCAAGGCAAUAUAUGGACCCCGUGACCUCAUUCUUUCCACCAACAACUACAAGGACCCAAAAAAAGUAUUACAGAUUGAGAAUAAAAAUUAAUACAGGGGUCGUGGAAAAGUAUUAGAUAGAAAACAAAGAAACCAAUCAGUUGAGAUAUCCUCAUAUACCUUUCCUAUUUGUUCAAUACGAGGAGAGAAACGGAGUGCUUCAUAGCAAGCUCGGCAACGAAGCUUUUGAAUGUCUGGAGGUAGAUUGUUGUUCGCUAGCCGUGAAUCGGAUUUUGAAGCACGAAUAACCUGAAGUUAAAAAAUAUUAUGGGUGCAUAAUAUGUUAGAAAAUAAUGGCAAAAAAAAAUAAAAAUAGAAUGGUAACAUAGAACGGUAGUAACAAUAGAUUUUCAACAUACAUACUUCGUGAUCUUCCCACAAUCUCGCAAUUUCAUUCUCAUAGUAAUCCAUGCCAGACCAGCUUCUGAAUUGCUGCUUAACCAUUCCGGUUUCAUUAACCAUUACCAGUUCAAUGGGAAGCUUCUUAAUGAUCUUUACAUCGUUAGCUAGAGAAUUAAUAAAAUGCUCUUCAUCGAAAACAUCAGAGAAAUUGCUGAAAGAAAAAUCAUAAAACCAGAAUUAAAAAAAAAAAAAAAAAAAGUCUAAGAGAAACUGAAACAGAAAUAAUAGCAAAAAAAAAAAGGAAUUAAUUUUUUUACCUAGUAUCUUGCCAAAAUGAUCUUUUAUCAAGUUCUGGAAUUACAAGAGUAGCAUUUAUGAUACGAGCUACAGCUACCAUAUCACAUAUCUGCACCAAAGGAAACAUAUGUUCAGUUUCUAACAACACUUGAAUAUGACAAGUUUAAAUGCGAUGGUCCUUCUCAUUCACAAUUUGUCAUCCAACGGCAUAACAAACAAUUUUCAAGAAAAAUGUUCAGCCUCAGACGAGUCGGCAUUAAUAAUAACAACAUGCAUAUGUGAUUAACAAAGAGAAAAGAGAAAGAUCAGACCCCAGAACGCAUUUGGUUGAGCCCACCAUUUGUAUGAACUAAAAGAUAUCCACGUGACUCAGCAGGAGCUGAAUGAACAUGUAUUAAUCUGAGUAAGUACCAAACUAAUUCAUACUUGUAACUUGUAAUGAAAGUCUAUGUUUAAGUUUCUUACCGGUGUAAUUAGGAGUAGGCUUUGUACAAGGAAGAAACCCACGAUUUGAUGGAGGCUUCCACAGCUUCACGUAAUCAGAAUCCCCUCUUAAACGAUUCAACUGUCAAACAGAAAGAGUCAAAUAAAAAACACUAUAGGUGCAUAUCUUUACAUAAUUUAAAUAUAUCUAGCUGCAUACAUGAUACACCAAUAUCUCUGCAGAUAUAAUACAACUAAACCAAACAAGUUUAAGGUCACACAAUACAUGAGGUGCAUAAAUACUACAAAUGAGCAGAAUCAACUGUCCCACCCACUCGAUAGGGAAUGGGAAUGGGAAUAGGAGAGGAGAUUCACUAAUGUAUUAAAAUACAUGUUUGCAAUUAAGCUGACGUUCGAACUAUAAUUAUUUGGAUUGACUUCUUUGAGCUUACCUACUGGCAAAAACACUUGUCGGACUAUUUGAAAGAACUAAUGGAAACAAUUUAUCACAUGUCCAUUAACUGUUUUCAGGUAAUUUGAUAAGCAUUCUGGGAUAGAUUAUAAAAGCUACUUAUAGCUUAUGAGUUACGUAUAGCUUAUAUGAAGACAAUUCAACUUAAUUAUAUCUUCUGUCAUAGAAAAAACUUAUACAUAAGCACUAAAUUAAGUUGUUUAUCCAAACAAGGCCUAAUUUAAUAAGCUCAUUGGCAGAUACAAAGAUAGUUUUCAUAGAUGUAGGGUAUUAUAUUUCCUUAGCAUUUUCAUAGUUUUUAAACAGAUGAUAUACCCAAACAAGUUACUAGCUAGUGCUGACACGCAGGACCAAACCUUGGAAGUAGAAAGUGGUAGUUUGGAUAAAUGGGGUGGAGCUAGCUCUUGUGUCCGUUGCAAGUUUUGAACCUGUCAAAAUUUGAAAGACAUAUUUUAGUAAACCAAAGGUAUCCUUCAGAAGCAACUGCAGAGACUAAUCCCCUCGAGGUAACUAAGAUUCAUUUAAACGGGUUGACCUCUCCCAAAUUUGAAACACAUAUGACAACAAAUACAACAACAACAAAACAUAAGGGAAUCUUCCACUCUCUAACAAAGUUUUCAAUCUUCCACUAUCUAACAAAGUUUCCCUAAGUAGAAUCCAAUAUACAAAACAAAAAAAACAAAAAAACACACACACACACAAGCAUAUACCAAACCUACCAAUGUGAACAAAGACCCUUGCUUUUUUUAACAUUGUUAACCAUUAAUAGCAAUCUCUUGAAGUCAACAAAGUACAAAAUAAGCAAUAACAAUUGAAUAAAACCUUAAUAAUAAAUAAGUCAUAUGAACAAGUUUAAAAGAACCCUAAAAUAAUAGAUUUUAGUAAAAUUAAAGAAAAAGAGACAAACCGUAGGGAACUUGUUAUUGAACUUGUGAUCCUUAGAAGAAGGAAUGUGUAAAUGACCAGUGAAUAGAGCAAGAAAAGUAAUUGAGAUAAUCGCUGCAGUUAACAACUUCCUCAACAAUACCAACGAAAUGAAUUUCCGUUUCUGCAUUCCACUAUUGAUCAAUCAAUCAAUCAGAUUCUGGGUCACUGAUUUCACACCCAAAAAUUAACCUUUUCUUAACACUUGAUUAACAAUAAUCUGAGCGAAUGAAUAAUCACGUUUGAUGAGUUUCGGUGGGAAGAACAGAACAGAACAGCAAGACAACAAAAUCGGCAGGUUGUGUUGUGUUGUUUUUGGGGUUUCUCGAAGUUUUUGAUGUUGUCGGGUUUAACAAUUGUCUGACCUAGUACUAGUACUUCUUCUACUCAUUCGUUUUCAUCUGUUCCAAAUUUAAAUUUUGUACUUCUUAUUAUUUUUAUCUUUUGACCAAUUAAUAAAAGUUUAUUACUUGGAUUAAUUAAAUUAAUAUUCUCCGAUCACUCAUAUAAACAAGCGUUUAUUAUUUGGAUUAAUUGAAUAAACUGAUAUAUUUGAUCUAUAAUAUUCUUAAUAUUUGAUCUAUAAGUGUAUCAUAUAUCAAAUGCAUCGGUUAUUAAAAAAAAAAAAGAUUAUUUAUGUUAAAAAAAGGAUUUUUAUUUAUAAUAAUGACAUGAAGGAGUACUACUUAUUCUAUUAAACACAUAUGAAAUUAUUUUGCUUAUAUUUAUUACGGUUUUUUUUAAUAAAAAAAAGAAUCUAAAAGAAAAAUUGGAAAACAAUUUCAAAUGAAAAAACUGUUAAGAUUAUAUUAGAGUAGAAAAAAAAAAUUGUCAAAAGAUUGAAGUAAUUUUAUAAUAAAAAAAUCACAUGUUGUCUCCAAACAAACUAAUUUUUUUAAAUGAUUUUUAUUAUUUUUAACAAACACAAGGUAGUUUCUACUUUUUUUUUUUUAUAUAAGAACUUAAGUCCUCGUGAGCUUAGCUCAGCGGGUAGAGACAAUGCAUAAUAUAUGUAAGAUUCAAGUUCAAACCCCGGGUACCACCAAAUAAAAAAAUAUAUAAAAACUCUAAAAAAUAAUCUCUAAAUUAUUGAAUACUUAAAUGACUUUUUUUUUUAAUAUGUAAGUAAUAUGCUCUUAGUUUUUCUUUCAUGAUUUUUUUGUGAUUUCAUUAUCUUACGGUUGUUAUUUUUUAUUUUAUUUUUCGGUUAUUGUGUGGGGGGUUUUUAUUUUCUCUUUUGAGGUGGUGUUCAUUUGAUUCAACUUGUAAGAUUAGUUUGUCUCAAUCAAAUGAAUGACUUUAGUGUUGUCAAUGUUACAAACAUGAAGGCAUGGCUAUUAUGAGCGCAUGAGUAUAAUCAUAUUUUUAGGUUUGUACAUCUUAUUGUUUUAUGUUAGUAACAUGGACAUUGUGUCUAUUUUUUUUUCUUUUUGGUUUUAUCGGCUUUUAAUUUGUGUUGUAUUAAUGAGAUUUAUUGAUUUAAAUGAAUGAAUAUUGUUUAUAUCAAGUAAAAAAAGAAAAAUAAAUCUAUAGUGAUUUUCUAACUCUAAUUAACUUUCUUGUAAAAAGAAUUACUCCUAAAUAAUUAAUGUCAAAAAAUAUCUUGAUUAAUAUUAAAAUAAUAAAUUUGAAGAUAUUUUUAUGUGAUUUUUAACAUAUAUCAUUUAUAUUUUUUUAAGAAGUUAAAAUGAAAUAUUAUUACUAUCAACCCUGAAUUUUCAAGCACAAAGAGUGCCUGAAACCCAGGAAAGAAAACAAGUUACCAUCAAAAGUCUGAGAAAAGGUGAAUCAAGAAGCUAAAACAACCCUAUUACAAAAAAUUCUCAUACUAUUUGAUGGGUUAAGUCACCACAAGUGAUAGGUAAAAGUAAGAUUGAGACGAUUUGCUUUCAGCCACCAAAACGUUUGAAGCUUAAUUUUGUCGAGAAGUUGUAGUAACGAGGUCUCCUUUUGUUUGAACACCCUAACAUUUGUUUCAUUCCAAAUCGUCCAUAUGCAAGAGAGUCAAAUGAGAUUAAAGACUUGACAAGUACUUUUAGAAAAAGCACCUAAAGUUCCAAAUUGAUGAAGGUGAUAUACCACAUGUUAUGGUUAAAUCGUAAUGAAACCCAGUUAAUGCAAAAUACCAUCCCACCCAAAAUAAUCACAAGAGAGGAACAAGUGAUCAACAUCUUCCAUCUUUCCACAUCCCCCCACACAAGGUUGAGCAUUAUGAUGUAAAACGUGUCUCCUUGCUAAAUUGUCCGUAGUUGAUAAUCGAUUUCGCAGCAGACCCCAUGCAAACAAGUUGACCUUCAGGGAAACCUCCUUGCUCCAAAUUGAUUAUGUAUGAUCGGUUGCCAAGACGUUGACCGUUGAAAUCAUGUAAUUAUAAGCACUUGUAAUAGAAUCAUUUUUGGAAGCAUGUAAGUGCCAAAACCACUUGUCAGGAAGAUUAGGCUGCAGAACAAUGUUAGAUAAAAUUUCACUACACAAUCUAACCUGUUCCUCCUCCCAAGCUAAUAAUCUACGACUCCACUGUCACGCAUCACCGUCCUUCUCCCAUCCAAGAGAGUACAUUUCAGUCACCGAUGCGAUUUUGUUAACGACUAAAUAAAAAAGGUGGCUAAAAUUACUUUUCAAAACCACACCAUCAAUCCACGGAUCCCACAAAAAAAAAGUCUGAGUGUCGUCUCCUACCUCUCGACCGAUGUUGUCAUCAAACUACCAACCCACUCCUACACCAGCCCCGCCUCUAAUACUAAUCAAAUUAUUCCACCAUACUAAAUUAAAUCACCCUCCUUUGAUACUCCAUCCCACAUCGUUGUACCUCACAAUUAGAACUUUAUACCACCAACUCCUAGUCUCACCAUUCAUCCUCCAACACCGUUUGUGAAGUAAAGACAAAUUAAAUUCCAUAAUCCUCUAUAACCUCAACCUUCAUUCUCCUUUUUUAAAAUAAAUAGUGUCCCAAUUAAUCCAAGUUAUUUUCCUAACUGCCUCACCCCUAACCCCCAAAAGAAACAAUUAAAAAUAGAUUCAAUAGAGGAAAUGAUACAUGCAAAAGCCUUGAAGAAGGAAAGAAAAUAAAACCAAAGAGAGGACAAAAAAAACUUCAGAAGUACUAAUCGACCACCCAACAGGAGAUUUUUACUCUUCCAACCUGAUAAUCCUGACUUAAUGUGAUCAAGCAACAAACGCCAAAAAUUUAACUUACGAGAAUCACCACCAAUUGGCAGCCCCAGAUAAAUAAAAGAUAAUUGGAUCAAUUUACACUUAAGAACAAAAGCUGCCUCAGCCAACCAAGAAUUAUGAAUGUUGACAUCAACUAAAAUAAUUUUGUGAAAAUUCACCUUGAGACCGGAUGACGCCUUAAAAAGAAGAAGUAAAGCUUUAAAGGCUCUUAUAUUUUCCUAGUGACAUUAAAUAGAGGAGUAGACCUUGCAAUAAUUUGUUUAAUAAUUAAUACUAUAUAUUGUUAAGUGUCAUUAUUUUAGGAAAUGAAUUUUUAAGUGUCUACAUUAUUAAAUAGGGUAGAAGACACGCGAAAGUAUUUUCGGAAGUUUGGUUGAAAGUGAGUAAAUUUUGAUGGAAGAGCAGUUUUCAAACAUUAAUGACUGAAGCCCAAAGUGACAUUUACAACAAAAGUUUGGUGGCCCAACUACUUAAACCCAUAAUGACAUAAUACAUAGACUAUUACUUUUCCCACACUAUGCCUUAUUAGCGCGUCCUAUAAAUUUUUCAAAAAUGCCCUUGUGAAAUUUGGAUUUUAAAAUCCGAACUGAGUUGUUCCUUUGUUAUAGGGUGAAAAAUUGAGUUUUUCAUAAAUUCGGAUUUUAUAAUCCAAAAACGUCAAAAAUUAUGGUGCGCUACUUGUUUUUUCGGGAUUAUAGAAUCCGAACACCCCAUAGACACCAUUUUACAAGAAAAAACAGUCGGAUUAUAUAAUCUGAACUGUAUCAGCACAAAUUAUGAACAUGUUUGAAACAUGGAUAGUCAUUUUAAGGACAAUAUUAAGCUUCCUAAUCCUCAUCCUUCACUUUUGGGUCAUUAUUAGUUGUUAUUAAUAAAAAAUUCGGUUUUCAGGCUACUUGAUCAGAUUGCUCCGAAACUUUCCCAGAAAAUCAGGAAAAAAUCAAGGAUCAAGAUUCUCGUAAGAGAAACUUCAUACUGGAUUCCGCCCCUCAAAAUCCAAAAUUCCAUCGUUUAGACCCAUUUUUCAUUUUUUCUCUUCAUAUUCUCAGAAAAAUUUGAAAAAAAUUGCAUCGGUUUUAUUUGAUUUUUAGAAUUUUUGGGUGGUAUUUUUAUGAUUUUAUUUGAUAGGUUUUUAACAUUUUUUUACUUUGUUUUUUGGUUGUUUUUAAAAGCAAAAUUUAAAACUGCUGAAAUAGAAGAGGUUGCUAAUUAUACAUAAGCGCGUAUUUCGGAUUAUAAAAUCCAAAUUAGUAAAAAAUCAUUUUAGAUUUUAAAUUCUGAAUAGCUCAUGGACAUUUUUGUAAAAUUUAUAGGACGCGAGAAAAAUGGAUAGAUUGAAAAAAAUAAUAUAUAGCCUAAUACAUAACCCUAAUUGUUUUGCUAUAUAUCUAUUAAACAAAAUCGGCUGCCACACUUCAUCUUCUUUUAUGGUUAUUUCACUUUCUGCUCCUCUUCUUUGUGUGACCUCCAACACUUAUACCUCACUUCUUUUUCUUCCAUUUUUCAUUUCCUUGUGAUUGCAUUAGCGGUGCAUUAAUGGUUUCGUGGUGAAAAAAGAAUUUCUCAAGAUGUGCAAAGUUAAAAAAAGGGUUAAUACCUCUUUUCGUCCAUGUAAUAUUAGCGAAUUUCAGUUUUAGUCUCAGUUAAAAAAAGAUUUAAAUUUUGUCCCUGUAAUUUCAGAUUCUUCCACUUUUGGUCCCUUAUUCCACCACGUCAGCAAAAUCUACAUACGGCACGUAAAAUGAGGGAUCAAAAGUGGGAGGAAUCUGAAAUUACAGGGACGUAAUUUAUGCAGAUUCUGCUGACGUGAUGAAAGAAGGGACCAAAAAUGGAAGAAUAUAAAAUUACAGGGACAAAAUCUAAAUUUUUUUUACAAGGACUAAAACCGAAAUUCGCUAAUAUUACAAGGACGAAAAGAGGUAUUACCUUAAAAAAAUUAAGAUUAUUUGUGAAUUAAGACCCUGCACACCCUCAAGUAGACAUAGAUCCGCCCUGGAGUACAACUGGUUAAAAGUGCAUUCACAUAUGCUUCUGCGUAGUUUCACCAUUUUCUCUGUAGUUCCUCUCGGAAAAUUUAUAUUUUCUUGUAGUUAAUAAUUCACCUUAUUUUGCUUUUAAAAAAAGUAAUUAACCAAAAAAAUCCGGAUAGGCACAAAUUAAAAAAAGUAAAUAACGCUAAAAUAACAUUUACAAAAAGUAUAUUCACAAAAAUAAAAAAAAAAUAUCGUAACACUAUUUUAGAUAAUCUAAAUUAUAUUCUAAGCAUGAUAAUGAUAAUAAACAAUUAAAGUAAUGGUCAUGGUCAAUUUCUGCUUGCUAAGGUCAUCGUUUCUCUAAUGCUAUACACAUAGAACGAACCUAUAUAUUUUCUUUAGGUUCCUUCAACUUUCUUUCUUUUAUCACCAAAAAACUUGAACCAAAAUCCACAUGAUCUUUUAUUUCCAUGCAUAACAUCUUUUCUUCUUGAAAACGACUUGCUCUUUAUGAUUUCAUGUUGACCACUAAGCAAAAAGAUAGAUAAAGAGGUGCUUCUUUUUCCCUCGCUAUUAAAACAAAAACAAUGCAAAGGAGAAGCACAAGAAGAAACGGAAGAUGAAGAGUAACAAGAUGAAGACAAUGAAGAAACAUAAGAACUUGAAUUAGAACCAUCAUUAAUAUUAGCAACAAAGGUUCUUGUUCUUCUAUGUGAACCAAAAGAAGAAAGUUGAAUAAGCUUUUCAUUCAAGCAAAGAGAACAAACACCAGGUGAUUGGUUGUGUUUUGGGUGGUUUUUGCAACGACCCUUUGGUUUUAUUUGACCAAUUGUGUCAUUUUCUUUUGUGAAAGUUCUUUGUAAUCGUAGGUUUCUCAUUUUGGUGGCUUAUUGAUUUUCAUUUGGAAUAUAUAUAUAGUGAAGAAAGUAUUGAGAUAUUAAUGAGGUUAAGGUGUGGCUAUGACGUGGUUGGUGUGUGUAUGGCUGUGUUUUCACUUUCCAUGAUACUUCAUGGUAGCUUCCUUGCGUUAUUUAUAUGAAUAGUCAAAAGUCAUUUUAGUGUUUUUGACGGUUUCUUUGUAUAUAAAAUAAUUAAAUUAAUUAAGUUGAUACUAAAGGGGUAGUAAAUAGACGUGUUUGAAGGGGGCAAGAUGGGGCCCACAAGCUGAGUCGGUGCCUCUCAUGUUUAUGUGAUGAUCGCAAUCUCAAACAAUCCUUAAGGAACUAAAAAUUAGUACCAAUUUUUUUCGAAAAUAAGUGAGGUAUUGGUGUUGUGGCAUGAGAUAAUGAAGGUGUUAUUGUAGCUACGUAGCUACUAACUGCUGGUAAGUCUUUUCUUUGCCAGAUUCAGAGGUUGCAGAAGCUUUAGCUAUGUGGAAGGGUUUGAAGUUUGCGAAAAACAUGUGUUUUAUGAAUCUUAUAGCAGAAUCAGAUACUUCUAAUUUGAUUUUGGCGUUGAAUACGCAUGAACAUUAUUCCAUCUAUUUUUUUGAAGGAACAUUAUUCCAUCUAUGUCGGCUUUAUUAUUGAAGAUUGUAUUAGCUUAAGUGUUUGUUUUUGUAGUUAAAUUAUAGUCAAUAAAAUAAAGUACUACGUACUCUCACUCGAACAAAAGUUUCCACUAUUCUAAUGAAUUUGAGGAAAAAGACCACAGCUUUCUGCGGGCCGCCGUGGAAAAAUCUCUCAUAUUUUUAAAAAAAUUGGUGAGGUGAGGGUAAAUAAAAGCACGCUGCAAAAGCUUCAUUGCACGAGAUUGCGAAAGUUUAAUAUGUUGGAGCCUACAUUCAAACUUGCAAUAUUCCCUUUCUUUGCAAUGUCCAUUUUCUCCACAUUUAGCUGGAAUUGUUAAAAUUUACGAACUUAAAAUAAUGAGUCAUUUAUCUUUAGUGUAAGACGUGUAAAAUGAAAAUAUAUCUAAUUGUACAAUAAAACUUGUGGAUCAUAUAAUCCCAAAUGUAACAAUGCAACAAGAAGAUAACUUAGAGGUUAAUAUUACAAACAAAAUGUUUCAUAAAUGACCAAUUUCAAAAAAAUAAAACUUAAAGGACCAAUUUAAAAUAAAAAUUAAACUUAAAAGACAGCAUAUGUAAUUUUUCCUAAUUAAUAAUAUUUGCAUCACAACCAUGUAAAUAUCUUCAAUUUUGUAUUUUAGUGAUAAAAGUUAUCAAUAUUAAGAGUGAUUACAUUCAUAAUUAAUAAGAUUAAUCUCGUGAAAUUGUUGUUUUUUUCUUCUUUUUCUCAUAUUCAUCGGAAGUAAAUGUGACCAUUGUUAUUGACAGACGGAGUACCGUUUUGUCCACGCAAGGAAUUCUAUUUAGGAAAGCUAGUCAAUUUAGUUUUCUUAUUUCUCUGUAAUUACUAAUUUUUUAUAUAAAAAGUGAUCACUAGACGAAUAAAAUAAUAAUGACCACAGUUAUACGUAAAAGGAAAGGGCAAUAUGGAUGGUUAGUAAAGCAAAAUAUGCAAAUAAGAAUGAUGAUUAAAAUAAAACCGACCAAUGAAGAAGUAGCCAUAGUAUAAGUUAUAAUUUGGACUUUUUAAUUUUUUUCAAGAGACACAAAAGAAGUAGGAAAGAAAUAUAGUGCAUGCUUGGUAUGGAUGAUAUGCAAAUUUGUGGCAGAAAGAAAAUAAAUGAUUAAAAAAUUAAGAUUAUUAGAAAAAGAAUGUUUUGUAUUUUAUUACUCAUUCGAGAGGUGGCUUGUUAGUGCGACAUUCUUUUAUGCAGCUCAUUUGGCUCACUUGUGUUUGGGUCUUGUGGACUGAACGUAACAAUGGUUUUUUCAAUCACAAGGAGAAUUUGAUUGAACAGCAGUUGCAUGAUGUAUUGGUGGAUUAAGGCUGCUAAUGGUAACUCUUGUCGUGUUCGCUUGUAUGUUUGGGCAUCGGUUAGUUCGCUUUUUUGUUAUUAAUGUGUGAGGACUAUGUUGUAAACUAGUUGUUUUAUUUGACACAUUUUACGCUAGAGAAACUUGUACUUCUGUGAAAGUCUUUACAUCGAUGACGAGAGUUGAACUCACGAACCACCAAACAUGUGUUAGCUAUUCUAUUAUUUUUGCAGCAUUAGCUGGCUGGUUGAGUUUGAAUCCUUAAGUAUAUAAUGUGAAAACAAUUUAAGGAAAAGUGUCAAAAGCAUUGGUGGAGACAACUGUGUGUACUAUAGUUUAGAAAUCUGUUGAGACAAUGGCAUUAAAAACCACUGAUUUUCCGUAUAGAGGGCCAUGCUAAAACCCCAUUCCUCACUUCUUUGCGUUGUCUUUACUACUGCCACAAAGUCAGUCAUAGCUUAUAUUAAUGUAUUGUUAAGAUUAGUUGGCACAAAUUGUUGAUGUUUCUUCCAUCUUUCUUCUGUUCUUCCUUUUUCUUGUAUACUUAUUUAAUAUAUGGAAAACAGGCAAGACGUGGUUAAGUUAGGUUGGAUGACUAAAAGUAGGUGAUCUAUUUCUAAUUUUUUUUUAGUAAAGGGAGAGAUAUAGAUCCAUACUUUCCAUGUAGUUGAGAAAUACUUAAAUAUAAAAAUUAUUUAGAGGCACAUACAUAACAAGAUAUAUUAUUUAAUUAUUUCAACCUUUUGAUAUAUUUUUCACAUUUUUAUGGCAAUUUAAUCAAGCAUAUAAUUUUAUCUACUUUUUCUUUGUAAAAAAAAAAAAACUUUAUCCACUUUUUCCUGCUAACAAAGAUUUUUUUUAAUAUGUAGAAUGUUACACAUGCUUAAUAAAUUCUAUUUAAUAGUUUAGUUUAUUUUAUUUUAUUUGAUGAAUUUAUCUUUUUCAUUUCACCAAAUGAAAAAUUAUGUAAUUCUUUUUGGUUAGGGUGCGUCACAACAAGUCUAGGCUCUAUAUCAGAUCAUUUUGCUCAUUUUAUCUCUCACAAGUUUCUCUAAGAAUCUUCAGAGAGAUAUUCUUGUUUUUUUUGGCUCAGUUGUGUGUAGAUUAUCUGAAAAGAUAUUAACAUGAGAAUUUUUCAGCACAAAAAGGAAAAUAGACAAAUAUUAUGUGAUAAAAUUAAGCUUAAAUUAUUUUGAUGGUUAAAAGCGGCAUAUACAACUUUUCAUUGUUUGACCUUUAAUAUUUGUUUCUAGUACAUUUUGUGUUGAAAGAACUUGUUUCGUGUAAUUAUUUUUAUAUAUUUGAUUUUGGUGUUUUAAAAAAAAUGUAAUUCUUUUUUAUAAGCGACUAUAAAGGGUAAAUUUGUCAAAACAUAAUCUAUAAUGAAAAUUGUUCGAUAGAAUUUCGCUUUUCCUUCCAUGCUGAUAACUUCUUCCCAAUCAUCAUGUUUAAAACCAGCUGCCAAAUUCUACUUUUCCUCGGAUUUGCUCCAACAUGAAUUCCAAAGAACUUAAUGGAAUAUUGCCAACACUACAAGAAAGAAAACCUUGAAGCUUCAUCCAUGAAAUGAUUUUCCGAGUACAAUCCAUAUAUAUUACGCUUUGUAAAAAAUUAACUUUUAAAUCUAAUACUCUGGAAACUCCCCAAGAUUGAUUUAAACCUAUCGUCCACAAAAUGUAGCAUAAGAUAAUGCACUGAGUGAGUCACAUUGUAGGCUUUAAAUAAGAACAUAUUUGAGGCAUUCCUAACCAAACCAGUUAAGCCUUCUACACCAAUUAAGAAGAGGAAAUGUGCCGGAUAAAAGAUGAUUUUAAUAUCCUCACAUAGCAGUAAGUAUUCCGGAUUUUAUCAAAAAUAAAUAUCAAAUCCUCAGGGACCGCACAUUAGUUUUGACUGUUUAAAUUUGCACUAUUCUAAAUCAAGUUUUUAAAAUGGUUCAACAUGUCCGCCAAGCAGUUUUUACUCAUUUUAAGAAUCAUUUUCUGUCUCAUCAGGUGGCACGACCUUGUGUGGGGAAUCUUCAGUUCAGAAAGCUUUCGUUCAUGAAAAUGGGUAGCAUGACAAAACCUUUUUCUGUGGAUGAAGUUAAGACAGCGGCGUGGUACUGCGACAAUUUUAAGAGUCUGGGUUCAGAUAACAUCAACUUUGGAUUCAUCAAGAAUUUUUGGCCUGAAAUGAAAGAUGAUAUCUUGAGGUUUACUUCAGAAUUUCAUUGGAACGGAAAAUUGUCGAAAGGUAUAAACUAUAUGUUCAUUCAUUGCUCUUAUUCCUAAAGUAGAGAGUCCUAAGUCCUUGAAUGAUUUUCGACCUAUUUCGUUGUUGGGUAGUCUUUAUAAAAUUUUGGCAAAAAUCCUAGCAAACAGGUUGAGACAGGUUAUCGGGAGUGUUGUGUCAGAAGUUCAACCUGCUUUUGUUAAAAAUAGAAAAAUUCUUGAUGGAAUUCUAAUAGCUAAUGAGGUGGUCGAUGAGGCACAUAAAUCUAAGAAAGAUCUUAUGUUGUUCAAAGUGGACUUUGAAAAGGCUUACGACUCUGUUGAUUGGGGGUACCUAGAUGAGGUUAUGGGUAGUAUGUCUUUUCCGACUUUGUGGAGGAAGUGGAUUAAAGAGUGUGUUUGUACCGCUACCGCAUCUGUUCUAGUGAAUGGCAGCCCUACUGACGAGUUUCAUCUUGAGAGGGGUUUACUUCAAUGUGAUCCUCUAUCUCCCUUUUUGUUUUUAUUGGCAACAUAAGGCUUGAAUGUUUUGAUGAAAGCCUUGGUUGAGGCAAAUAUCUUUAAUGGGUGCAGUGUGAGUGGCGCAAAUCCAAUUGUUGUGUCACAUUUACAGUUUGCUGAUGAUACACUCUUAAUAGGGAAUAAAAGUUAGGCAAAUGUUCGUGCAAUGCGGGCUGAUCUUGUCUUGUUUGAGGCUAUGUCUGGCCUGAAAGUCAACUUCCAUAAAAUUCUUUGGUUGGGAUCAAUAUAAAUGCCUCUUGGUUGUAUUAAGCGGCUUAUGUGUUGGGUUGCAAAGUGGGUAAAGUGUCGUUCCUCUAUUUGGGCCUCCCGAUUGGGGGCGAUCCGCGUCGGUUAUUAUUUUGGGAGCAUGUUGUUAAUCGAAUUAAAUCUAAAUUAUUAUUAUUAUUUUUUUGGGGGGGGUGGUGGAAUGAGUACAAAAGAAAAAUAUCUUGGAAUGGUUGGAAUUCUUUAUGUUUGAGGAAGGAGUAUGGAGGGAUGGGUGUUAGGAGGUUGAGAAAGUUUAACAUUGCAUUGCUGGGGAAAUGGUGUUGGCGGUUGUUAGUAGAUAGGGAAGGGUUGUUGCGUAAGGUGUUGGUGGCUAGGUAUGUUGUGGAGGAUGGGGGCCGAAGUUGUUCUUCUUGGUGGAGGGAGAUAAUGAGGAUUAGAGAUGGGAUAGGCGAGGGUGGGGAGGGGUUGUUUGCGCUGUGUGUCAGGAGGAGGGUGGUUUUGGCGUGACUGUUGGUGUGAUAAUGUUCCGUUUCGUGAGCGCUUUUGUCUGCUAUAUGACUUGGUUGUCAACAAAGCAAUCACGGUAAGGAACAUGUUCUUGCUGGUGAUGGAGGUUGGUGGGGAGGGGUGGUAGUGACGUCGUUGUUUGUGGGCUUGGAAGGAAGAGUUGGUAGAGUAGUGUAGGGAAUUAUUACUCAUAGUUUAUUUGCAGGAUUUAUCUGCUGAUAGGUGGUUGUGGCUAUUGGAUCAUAAUGUGUGUGUGUGUGUGUGUGGGGGGGGGUUACUCGGUUCGUGGUGUUUAUGACAUGUUGGCAUCACAGGAACAACCCAAUUUACAUCAAAAUAUGGAAUUAAUUUGGCACCAACAGGUACCUCUAAAAGUCUCUAUCUUCGUUUGGCGAACGCUGAAGGAUCGUUUACCUAUAAAAGCAAAUUUGGCAAGUCGUGGAAUUCUUCCUUUGGAAGCGCAGUUGUGUGUGGCUGGUUAUGGGCAUGUUGAGGAUUCGACUCAUUUGUUUCUGUCUUGUCCAACUUUCGGCGCGUUGUGGCAGUUGAUGCGGGCAUGACUUGGUUUUGAAGGGGUGGACUCUCAGGUUAUUUCAGAUCACUUCUUGCAAUUUAGUAAUUAUGCAGGUGGUAUAAAAUCGCGACGAUCAUUUUUUCACCUGAUAUGGCUCCUUUGUGUUUGGGUAUUGUGGAAUGAACAAAAUAACAGGUUAUUUAGGAACCAACAAAGCUCUAUACCACAUAUGUUAGAUAAAGUAAAAUCAUAUUCUUUGUGGUGGUUGAAAGCUAGUAAUGUUAUCUUUAGUUUUGUGAUGUAAGAUUUUUACAUCUCAUAAAACUAUUUACACGUCAGUAUAAUAGGAUCGUUUCCGCAGGGAGUUGCGUAUUUCAUAAGCAUUUUCACAAUAUUUGUCACAUUAAGUGUUUGGGUAUAAAUUGUUUGUUUGUGUAAAACUAUUUUCCUAAUCGACAUAAAAGUAAAACGAGAAGAGAUAGGGCUAUUUCGCUUGCGGUCAGAGACAUCAACCAAGCGUAAAAGUUGCAAUCUCUCGAUCGAUUAACGAAUUGUAGCUUUUUAAACGAUAUUAUCACAAUCACUCGACAAUAUCAUUCGUGUCCAAAUGAUAUUGUUAUUUCUAAGGGAUCGUUUAAACAUCGAUUUCCCAAACAUUUAAACGAUCACAAAGUCGAUUGGAUAGUUUAAUCGACGAUUUCUCAACCGAUUAAAUUACCCAAAAGCAUUAAGUCCUAGAUUAAAAGUGAUUAUCAAAUAUUAACAUCCAUGUCUAGAGUGAUAACUUAAGAUAAAUUGUUAUUCUAUUUCUAGAUUCAAAAAUAUAUGUCCAUAUCAUUUUGAAUCUCAAUAAAACAUUAAAUGCAAGAAUAACAACAAUAUUGAAUAAAUAGCUAGAACCAUAUAUUAAAUGAUCAAAAGAUUACAUAAUAGUUUGUUUGAAUACCUCAAAACCACAAGAGUAGAUGUAGCUACAUAUGUCUAUGAUAGCUUUGCAAAGGAUGAAGAAAAGAUGAAGAUUCCAUGACAAGAUCCAUGAUGUCCCAACAAAUCUUGGCUUGAAUCUACUCCUAACUACCUUGCUUUGUGUUUCUCUCUCUAGAAAAGCCAUAGUCUCUCUCUAAACCAGAAAAAUGUAAGUAAAACAAUAAUGGAAUGGUUGGAAAGAGAAGAGAAAACUAUUUAUAUGAGCCACUUCUGCGAAAUUUCGCUAAUAGCUAAAUAUUUCGCUAUUAGCGAAAUGUGUGAAAUAUGCCUCUACACCAAUGGAGUUGCUCCAUGUGGCCCUUAUCCACUUGAUCCUCCUGAGUUUUGCCUCCAACUACGCUGAUAGCGAAACUCCCUGUGAGCUUUUCCAUCAAUAAUUUGUACAACAACUCAUCAAACAUGCCUAAACUAACACAUGAAUUAGAUCAUUUUGAGCACUUAUCAUUUUGGCCCUCAUAAUUGGUGGUCUAGCCCUCUCUUAUGUAUGGGCAUCGACUAGCUUUUUUGUAUAAUUGACAGGAUUGUGUUUCUUUCUGUGAUUGUUUUGGCACGCCUUGUGCUGAAGCAAUGACGCUGUCGGUGUUAGUAUAAUUCAUUUUCGCUUGUUAAAAAAAAAGUUUUUAAAAUGAUUUAUUUUAGGAAACAAUUUGUAAAAUAAGUUGCAGAUAUGAAUAAAAAGAUUGUGAUGGUAUUAGACAUUGUCAGUAGAGCUGUUAAAUGGACUGGUCCGACCCAACCUGCCUUAGCCCGAUGGGCCAACACAUAUUAAUGAGCUGAAGGGGUUGGCCCACUUUAUUCAUGGGUACCAAAAUUGAGUCCAACCCAAUUAGUAGUGGGCUACAUAGCCUGAUGGGCCGGCCCGACCAAUAUUUCAAAAUGUAUUAUUUUAUUUUUUUAUUUUUUUUUUAUGAAAAAUGCUAAGAACAAUAAAGCUACAUAUCACAUAAUUAUUUUUAGAAACAUCACAAAUUGUCAUCCAUCAAAUAAUCACAUGUCUUCAUAAACUUAGUUAAAUGACAUAUAAAACAUCUAUUAAAUCAAUAUCCGUAAUAGAUAAAUACCACAAAAACAUCCAUGCAAAAGUACAGAGUAUAAAUACCACAAAAACAUCUAUUAAAUCAAUAUUCAUAUAAGAUAAAUACCACAAAAUACAUCCAUGCAAAAGAAGAUAAUAUUUAUCACAACUCACAAAGUGCAAUGUUGGAGUAGGAAACAACAAGUUAUGUCUUACAUAACAAAAUAAUUACCAAUCAAACAACUCAAAAUAGAAGACAAAAUAAAUUAUAAAAUUGACAACUUUUAGAGCUAAGUCUCUUGAACACUUGGUACUGCAGACAAUAAUAUAUCUUCUACUUGUGGUAUAUCUCUUACCAAAGUCAACCAAAAUUGUUUUAUAAUUUUUUUAGUAUUUUUAAUGGGCCAGCAGGCAAGCCCGACCCGGCCCAACCCUUGAAAAAUAUAGGCCUGGCCUAAAAAUAUAAAGUCGCUUUUUUCAUGCUUUUUUACGGCUCGUUCCGUACUAAAAUAGUGGGUCGAGGGGUUGGGCAAAAUUUUGAUUGCAAAUUCACAUUUGACAUAAUAUAUAAAUAGUCAUAAAUCGAAAUAAUAGAGACUCGUCAUUUUAUCCAUAAAAGUAUAAUUUGAAAUAAGAGAGAUGAAACAUAACCAUCCAAUAGUGUGCUAAAUAAAAUUAGGAGGUAAAUGCCCUUUAUGAGACCUCAUUUCGGUGAAUGUUCGAAUAAUAUCAACAUUAUCAAGUGACUUGAAUAUCUCCCGCUCGGUGUAACAUAUUAUUGAACCACACAUCGUUGAUCUUGUUUGUAACAAUUAUUUCUCAUGGGCUUAUAAGAUUAUUUUACUAGCUUAUUGACAAGACUUGAUAACUGGUGGACUUCCAUCUUUUGUUGAUGUUGGUAAUAGCUUUGGUACACCCGCUAUUAUUGAAGAUUCACAAAUUAGAAGUUAAAAUCUGAUUUAUUAUGCCCUGUUGUAGAAGUGAUUGUAAACUUUUUAAGGUAUGAAGUGAUUGUAAGUUGUAACUUGAUAUUAUGUCAUUUUGUCUAAUAAGCUAUUAUGAAUAGUGAUUCAAAUUUUGUUACCAUAAAUUAAAUGAGCAACAUAGUAUAUAUUGAUUUUGAUUUAUGUGAGUAUUGAGUAUUGGUUUGGGUGAAUGGUAUAAUAGUUCAUAGUCAGGUAAAAUUAUUCUAGUUAAGUCACUUCAAGAAUUUAUUUUAAAAAUUGAUUAUAGUAAUCAAUUUCAAAUUCCAAUGAUAUUGAUUAUAAUAUUUUAUUAUAUUGAUCAAACUAAUUUAAGUGGUAAUUUUAUGAAUUAUUCAUUUUUAGAAUUUAUAGUAGAAUAGAAAAUAUAAAAAAUAAAAUAAAACAAUGAUAAGUUUUAGUGACAGCCGCAAUCGUAGGUAGAAGACCAUAAUGUUUUUAAAAUGGUCUCCUUAGAGUUACAUACGUUUUGUUUGUAGGUAAAAGUGGAAAACAUGCAGUGACAACCAUUUGACAAUGACAAACGAAUUUAACUACGAAAAUUUUCCCUGAUUUUGGCCGUCACUAUAAGUCAAAUUUCUUGUAAAUUGCUUGUAGCGAUACAAAGAAAGUAUGGGUUGAGCCCGGGUGUGUUCCCAAGCUCGCCGGGCAGUAAAUUCGCCCAUGCCUCUUAGAUAAAAAAAGUCUAUGUCUCGCAAUUUCUAAAUCAAAAUAUAAUUCUCGGAGUGCACGUCGGGAAAAGCUUUAAAAAUAAUCAUUCUUAUAUUUUUUUUUUGUUAAAAAGAAACAAUAACUUUUUUGGUUGGGACGUUGGUGGGUUUCGUGGUGUGUUGCUGGAUGCUUUCCGAUGGUUGUUUGGUUUUCGUGGGUCUCAGGCUAUUUGAUUCGUUUUUCUCUCUUGGUUGUGGUGGAGGUUAUGUUUGCUCGCAACGUAAGUGGUGAUGGAUCGGUCACGAUGGUGGUAAUGGAUCAUAUUUGGCUUUACUUACGAACUGUUAUGGUUUCGAUGGAUCUUUGGUUGUGUUGGUUUGUGGUGCUUCAUGGCGGUUUUCAUGGUGGUGCUAAUUUUGGGUCUUUUGUGGCGGGGCUCAUGGUGGUUUUUGGUGGUGCUGCGCGUGGUGGCUGGUGUUGCUUUUUGGUGAGGAUUAAUGGUGGUUUUUGUGGUGGUUAAUGGUAGUUUUCGUUAUGGUGGUGGUAGUGGUGUUGAUUUAUGUGGUGGUGUUUAUUGUGGCUAGUGGUGGUUAGUGAUGAUUAUGUUUUUUCCUUGAUGCAUGAGGGUACAAGGAUUUUUGGUUGGCUUUUGCGGUUCUUUGUGAGGUGUGUUUUCGGUAAAGGUGCUUGGGAGAGCUAAUGGUGGUGUUUGGGGUUUUAUUCCCGACUGUUUUUCAAAGAUUGUCGGCUGUUGUGUAGGUUUUUAAGUUGGUGUUCUGGUGCUGUGUGCGAGUAGUGGAAUGUGGGUGGUGGAAGUUAUUUUUGUGGCAGUUGUGACGAUGUUUGAGGAUUUUGGUACAACUUUUGUUUAUGUUGUUUCAUUGAUCGUGGUGUUAGCUUUGUUUUGGUGUUUCUAUUUAUUGGUUUCGGAGAUAGCCAUUUGUUAGGAGGCGUUUCCUAUAGGUUUUUCGGAUUUUUUCUUUGAUUCUUGGGUGUAUGUAUGGGUUUUCCAUUGAGGGCUCCCCAUCUAUCCUUUGUAUGUUGCUAUUUAAGACUCCUAGCCUAUCACUCCUUGUGCUGGUUAAGAUUCAUUGCGAUUUUAAUAAAUUCAUUUUAACUUUUUCAAAAAAAAAAAACCUUUUCCAAAAAAAAAAUAGCUAUAAGAACUAUACGUAAAGAAAUAAUGCUUCUAGAAAAUUGCUAAGCAAGCAGUAAAUUAAAGGGAGAUAGAUACGAUUAAGAGAUAGAUUCAAAUUAACCGCUUUCAAAACAAAAAAAAAAAAAGAUAGAUUCAAAUUAACGCAAUAUAAAAGAUUUAUCAGCAAAUAUAGAGAUACAUUCUAAUGCUCAAUUUGUUACGCUAGUUUGUUACCUCACUUGUAUAUUUAUUUAUACCAUAACUUUGUGAAAAUCACAACACAAUUUUUAUCCUCGUAAAGUUUUUGACAGUAUGGGAAAUCGGUGCUCCAACCCUAAAGCAAAUACAACCGAAGAAGAAUACAGAAACAACAUUAAGAUUGAUUUUGCUUCAAGACUUAAAGAGCUUCACAAGACGUAUGAAGUUAAAGAUGUUUCAAAAACAAAGAAUGAUGAUGCGCAAGUCUUUAAAGCUAGAGAUGGUGGAAGUCAUCAUGGUGGAGGUUGUGGAAGUGGAGAGUCUUAGGAUUAUAGUUACUGGUUUGUAAUAUACAAACCUUAGAUAGUUAGUUAUGGUUUUUAAGAACUUGUUUACUUUUAUUUUAAGUCGCAAAUUACUCUAGAGUUUUGUUUGUUAUGUUGUUCGAUGUAAUUUGAGUAUCACAACAACUCUUUCAAAAGAUUCACCAUUACAUAUGUUCAUAUUUGCUGCUCAUCUUUUAAUUUAAGUAUAUUCAUGUUUGGGUCUCUUCCCAUGAUGGACGAAAUUCUGUUGUAAUUUUGUGAUAUUAUCAGCAAGAUGGUUGGUUCCCUUUCCUAUUUAUGAGUUGUCAAAAAGUUCAUGCUCCUUAACAUUAAUUGACAGUUGGCCCAUUUGUUUCUUGUAUUCCAAGGUAUUAAAGAUUUUGAACUAAAAGCUAGCUAAACUAACUUUGUAUAUGUUUCCAAUCAUAAAUUGGCCCAAUUUUUCGUAUAGGCUGUCUCAAUGGCUCUCACAGCAACACAAAGCUCAGCUAAGAAUGUUGUGCAGGUUCCAAAAUUUUCAGCAAAGAAAACCACAAAUUAACAUUACAAUUUCUAAAGAUACCUCCACCAACAGAUGAAGUUGAAGUUGAAGCUCCGUUUGUGUUGCACUUCAUCCAAUUGGAGAUGAGGGGAAUGCCAUAGGACCUCUUUCACUACAGAGGCCCUAGGGAGAUGGAUAUCAUUUUGCUUAUUUUAUGUCUCUCACAUGUUUCUCUAAGAACCUUCAGAGAAAUAUUCAUGUUUUUUUGGCUCAAUUGUGUGUAGAUUAUCUGAAGAGAUAGAAGCAGGAGAAUUUUUUAGCACAAAGAAGAAAACAUGCAAAUAUUAUGUGAUAAAAUUAAGCUUCAAUUAUUUUGGUGGUUAAAAGCGGCAUAUCCAACUUUUGAUUUCGACUAUCACAAUUGAUGAGUUAAUCCUCUUCACUGCCUUGCUUCUUUUUCUUAGGCGAAGUUUAUUGUUUCUGUUUUUGUUUGGUUUGCUGAGAAACUUUUCAUUGUUUGACCUUUAAUGUCUGUUUCUAGUACAUCUUGCGUUGAAAGAACUUGUUUCGUGUAAUUAUUUUUAUAUAUUUGAUUUUGGUGUUUUAAAAAAAAUGUAAUUCUUUUUUAUAAGCAAGAGAAUUUCAUUAGUGGGACUAUAGGGUAAAUUAGUCAAAACCUAAUCUAUAAUUACAAUUGUUUCUCCAAUAGAAAUUUGCUUUCCCUUCCACACUGAUAACUUCUUCCCAGUUAUCAUGUUUAAAACUGGCUGCCAAGUUUUACUUUUCCUCAGUUUUGCCCUAACAGGAAUUCCAAAGAACUUAAUGGAAUAUUGCCAACACUACAAGAAAGAAAGCUUGAAGCUUCCUCUAGGGAUUGUCCCUACUACCAUCUCCUAGUAAACAUGAAUAUAGGAGAGAAAAGCUUGGAAAACUAUUCUAUUGAUGAUAGUUGAAAUGAUACAAGAAUGGAAAAGAUAGUUACAAAUGAGUCACCUAAUGACUUAUAUAGUAACUAAACUAGUAUCCUAACUUACUAUAUCAUUAUUCUUAAUAAUUUGAACUAAGCCAUAAAGCUUAAACCACAUUCAGUUUAUUCAUUUAGAUUUGAAACGCAAAAGAAACAAUAAAGCACGAAAUUAAACAUAAAAGUAUAGAUACUACCUUUACAUAAAAACUAAAGGCAAAAGAUUAUUCUUAUUGAUAUUGAAACUAUAUCAGUUUGUAUGCAAUGUCAUAUCCAAUAACCUUCAUCAUCACAUCUCAAGAUGAAAACAAGAAAAGGAAUUACAUAUUUAUUCCACCAAUUGGAAGAAGGCCUUCCUUGUAAACUGCUAUAUCACAAUAUUCUCCUUUAAUAUCAAGCUCCUCAAUCAUUUGGGUUCUUAAGUCAAACCAAUUUAUUUCUCUGUCUUUCUUUUUGAAGAUUAUUUUACCCUUUGCCAUUCCAAAAGGUUCUUCAACGCAAUGCAACGGUCCAACAAUGAAGAGUUUAAUCCAUGAUUCUUUUACACUUAGUUCACUCAAAAUUGAUAUGUUACAAGUAGUCAUUUGUUCUUCAUAUGUGAUCAAGGCAAUAUAUCCAUUUAACACCACCAAUUGUUUCCAUAUACGUUCUUCUCUGGGAGAGCCAUCAUAUAUGUCUGAGGGUAUAGGUGUGGUAAAAAACACCUCGUUGUUCAAAUCAAAGGACACCAACUUUGAUUCAAAUUCAAAAUAAGAAUCAGAAUCAGAAUUGAUUGUAAUACACCAAUGACACAUUCCAUUCAUAUACACCUUGGCUUCCAUACCUGCGAAAACUUGUGUUAUAGGAAUAACAAUAUCAAGUUUCCUCCAAGAGUUACUUUUUAGGCUGUAUAUCUCCCAGAAAGGUUCAGGUGUAUCUCCCAAUGGCUCAUAACCGAUACAUUCUAAGAACGGUGGGGCUGAAAAUGUCACAUAACUAAUCAUCUUAUAGUCAUCUGUACAAGAAUCAUAGCCAAAUCCAAAAACAUGACUACUUGAGUGAAAAUUCAUCACAUCAUGGCUAGCAUUUGCACCAAACGGUUGAAACCUAUUAUGACUAUGAGGAAUGACCUUGAAUUCGUCUGUAGUUGGAUUCCAUAGUGCAAAUCUUGCAUCCCAUUUGGAGUUAUGACGAAGAUGACAUUGGACACAAAUAAAGUUAUUAAAAUCCCCCAGAUUUAAAAUAUUAAAACGGUGAAAACGAUAAGGAGCUUCAGAUCCUUCUUGAAAUGGAUUUGGCAGAUUUAAUUUGGCUCUAUUUUCAAAUCUCUCCCCAAAAAAAGAAUACAAAACUCCCUUAAAUAUAUCUCUGUUUGGUACAUCACGCACUAGGACGAGAGAUACAUUGUGGUGAUAAGAAGGGUUGUCAGAUAAGAAAUUGUUACGGACCAUGUUCAUGAAAAGAGGAUUUUCAAAUAAAAGUGAUCAUGAUUUGCGUACGCAUCCAAAUCGCUUCAAAGAUUUCAGAGGUAAUUUUGAUAGAUUUGAGAAGGUAAUAUCAUCAUGUAUAUAGGUACCAACCUUUUCUUUUGUGGAAAAAACAUAUUUCUUCUCCAUCUCCGAUGACCUCAAAUGAAAGAGACGAGCUUUGAUUGCAAUUGGUACGUAGCCUGACUAACCAACCAGCGACGGAAGAAUGAAAGUGUGCAAAAUCACACACUCAAGCGAAACCUAGAAACAAUAGAAGUUGUGAAAUAUUAUUUGAUUAUGAAAUUGGUUUAUUUGAUUUGUAAAGUAAGAUAAUGUUAUAAAAUAAGUUUAAGUGAAGGGUAAAAUUAGAAUAAAAAUAUUAUACUAAAAAUUGAUCUUUUUGUAGUAUAAAUAUUUAAAAUAUUUAAUUAAAAAAUGGUUAAAUUUAUACUAUAUAUAAACAAAAGUCCUCGUGAGCUUAGCUCAGUUGGCAAGGACAAUGCAUAAAAUAUACAAGGGCAGGGAUUCAAACCCUGCCACCACCAAAAAAUAUAUAUAAACAAAAUAACAUGUUUUAGCUCUUUUGAGCUUCUUUCAAAAAAAAAAAACUGAUUUUUCUCUUUUCAAAAUUACCUUCAAUUUUCAAUACAAAUAGCACAUAUAACAAAUAGAUAAAAGUAAAUUUAAAUAUUAAAAAUAUGUAACAAACUGUUCAUGAACAAUAACUAAGAACCUCAAAUAUUUUAUCUAUGCUAUUCUAUAAUAUAUGGGAUUUUGGGCUGGAUUUUUUGUUAUUCCAAUUAUACCAUUAAACAAUGUUUUCUAUAAUAAUGUUAUAUUGUUGGUGUUAUUAAAAAAGAUAAGAAUUUUUGUUAUAUUUGUUAUAUUAUUAUUGUCAUUGAAAAAGAUAAAUAUGGUUUGUUGAGUUUGUUACAUUUAAAAUUAAUAAAUAUCUAUACUUAUAAUUUUAAUCUAUAUAAUUUUUUAUAUAAAAUAUUGUGGAUAAUCUACACACGUUAACGCAAUAAAAAGAGUGAAAAGACGAACACGUGAAUACCCAUCUUUACACUCAUCUAAACCCAUAAAAAAAAAUAUACUCACCUAAAAUCACUAAUGAAUAAAUUAGCAACUUACACUCACUUAACUUUGACUAAAAAAUCACUAACCUUUGUUAUUUAAAAGUUGUAGUUGAGAGUUAGUUGUGUAAGUUUGUUUAAAUUAUUAUCAUCCACAUUGCUAAUUUACACCUACUUUUUUUAAAUAUUUAACACUCAUUUUAUUAAUUUACACCCACUUUAUUUUGUUUGUUUAUAAAAAAUAAAAAAAAAAAUUAGUGUGUGUUAUUUUAGAAUGAUGAAAGUGGGUGUAAAUAACUAGUAAGGUAGGUUUCUUCAACAAAAAAAAAAAAAAGCAAAAGUAGGUGUAAAUAAUUUGAUAAAACUUAUAAAAGUGAAGGUAAUUAAGUGAGUGUAGGUUGCUAAGUUACUCUUUAAUGGUUUUAGGAAGAUGUAGGUUGCUAAUUUACUACAUAGAGUUUUUAAACAGAUGUAAAUUAACAGCCCUAUAUAUAUAUAUAUAUAUAUAUAUAUAUAUAUAUAUAUAUAUAUAUGUGAAGAAUGCUAAGGAAACUUGCUCACACACUCUCCUUUAAAGUUUAAACACACUUGAAGUUGGACUCCUUUCGAACGAGAGGCCAACAUUUUGAUUUUUGCCAAACGGCCAGUUUUAGAAAUUAGUCCAAUGGCUUUUUUAUUUGCCACGCUAGUUUUUCUUCGAUACAUUUCAUACUAAGUUUCUAUUCAUCGGUAACUUAUUGAAGAAAAAAAUAGUAUUGAUUUAUAAAUAUCUUUUUGGCCUCUAUAAAUUCAAUAGAGAAUCAAAGCAAAUCAAGAGAACAACUUAUAAACUCUCAAUUGUGAAUUUCAAUAUCACUUGCAUUUGCAUUCAAAUUCUCAUUUUUGAAAAAACUGUUUAUCUUUUUCAUUUAUAAAGAAAAGUUUUUGAACACUAAAGUACCGUUUGGUCAGGCUUUUUUUCAGUCUAAAAGGUAUUUUAAAACAAAGUUAAAAUAAAGCUCUUUAAGAAAAAGGCUAAAGCUGUUUGGUUUCUUUAUUUUUUUUUAGUUCUAAAGUUAUUUUUGAGUUAAAAGCUAUUUGGCAAAAUAUUGUACAAAACUUUGAAUUUAUUAUUUUUUUGGUGGUGUCUGGGGUUCGAACUCGGGACCUUGCAUAUAUUUAUGCAUUGUCUAUAAAUAAAAAAACUUUGAAUUCAUUAUGAAUUAACAUAAUAAAUAAAAAAAUGUCUAAAAUAUUUUUUGAAGGGAAAAAAUGUUUAAAAUAUAAAAGAUAUAUUUUUAUCAAUACUAUAUUUACUCAAUGACGUUUAUUUUGUGUAACAUGAAUACAAAUUUGUAUCAUCAUAUAAACGACUUGUUAAAUAUUUGAAUAGGAGAAAUAAUUUAAGGAGGCUCAAAUAAUAACAUAAAUAAUAUCAAAGUAGUUUGGAAAAUUAAAAACAAUAAUCAUCUUUUUUUUUUUAAAAAGAGAUAAAUCAUCACAAACUCAAACAUUUCUACUCUCCAUCAACGCAACUCCUAUUUGAUUUCUAACUUUAUUCAUGUAGCCUCCAUCUUGCACUCUUCCUGGAUUAUAUGAACUGAUUUCUUCAUUUAUAUUGCUUUCUUCGUCACGCUCAAUCAUAUAUUCAGAGAUAACAUCACAUUUAUUAAACUCUUCAUCUUCAACUCCACACAUUCGAAUAAAGUUGUGGAGUGCUGUUGUUGCAACUAUGAUCUUUUGUUGUUUGAUUAGUGAAAUUGGUCGCAUAUCACAUAAGAUAUGCCACCUUUUUUUCCAAACUCCAAUUGUUCUUUCAAUGACAUUUCUCAAUGAAGAAUGUGCAUGGUUGAACACUUCAUGGAUACCUACCUUCUGCUUGACUACCAUCUCUAAAAUCAGGAAUGUAUAUGUGUGUAUAUAAUGAGAAUAAUUGGUUUUUUCUUUUCCAAUUAUACUCUAUAACAAAUUUUGUUAUAAGAAUACCAUAUUUUUAGUGUUGGUCAAAAAGAUAAGAAUUUAUAUUAUAUAAUAUUAUAUUUGUUACAUUGCUGGUGUCAUUGAAAAAGAUAUGUUUAGUUUUUUUAAUAAGAAAAAGAUAUGCAUAGUUUGUUCCAAUACAAAUGUGUAAAUUAUAUAUAAGUAUAAUUUUUUUAGGCAACUACACUUGUACUUUUAAUUAAAAUCAAAAUUUUAUAAAAAUAAUUAUACGCAUUACACAACAUUAACAAAAAUUAUACGCAUUAGCAUAACAAAAAAAAAAAACAGAAAGAGAAACAUAAAGUAUUACUCUAUUGACAGCGUGAAUACAAAUAUUUGCGAGGUUGUGAUGAUCAAAAGAUAUUGAAAUUAAUAUAUAAGUGAUAAGAAGAUAAUAAAAUUCCUUAAAAAAAUAGAUAAUAAACUUAAAUGGAACCUCAUUAAAAAAUUAAAUGGACCGGUUAAAAUAAAUAAAUAAAUAAAAUGGAUGAAAAAAACAUAUUGAAAAAAUAAAACAAAAGGUUGCCGGCGGGGGUUGAAGAGAGGUGCUUGUGAAAUAAAGUGGGGAGAAAUAGUUUUUUGAAGUGGCAUUCAACAACUUUUGGUUAAAGCUCAUUCCAUUCAAUUUUAUGCAUUCUAAAAAAAGUACUUUUAUCGAAGGUACUUUAUUGAUAUUGUGUUUGGCCUAACUUCUCCUUAAAAACGUAGAAAAGCUGGAAAAAAAAAGCUGGACCAAACGGUACUAAGUCCAUAUUAUUAAAGUGAUAUUAAUCAAGAUAAACACCCAUACAAUUUAUUCUUCAUUUCUUUUGUAAAAAUGGUGAGAAUUAUUUUAAAGAUAGUUGAGUGAUAUCUUGUGAUUGUUGUAAAAUGUUCUUUGACUCAGGGAGAUUUAAAGUCCAUCAAAAGUGUUUGGUGUUUGUGUUAUAAUCAAGAGAGAGGGUUUCUUUCUUGUGUUUAUGUUAGAAAGAUUGUUAGGGAAUCUUGAGGUGAGAUUGCUUGUAACAAAGAUUAUAACAUAGUGAAUUCAUUCACGCGGUGUGAAGGGAAUGGAUGUACCUAUAAGAGAAGCACUAUAAUUUUCCUGUGUUCUUUAUAUUUUCCUUACUCUAUUUAUUUUUCCGCAUUUUCAUUCAAACCUACAUAAUAACUUUCUGAAAAAAUAUCAAAAACACUAAACUUGCAAAAAAUAUCCUAAAAAUCCAAUAACCUAAUUCACCCUCACUCUUAGAUUAUAAUCUAAACUUACAAUAUCCCACAUUUAUUAUUAGCCUAAAACUAGGGGAUUACAAAAUUACAACGUCGGUUUAAGCCUCUCUCGUGUUCCCUAACCUUCUCCUACCUUUGUCUAGUUUCCAUUAACAAGCCGUCACAAAAUGGUAAUAAUUUCAAUGAUCUUUGAUUUUCUUAUUUUAUAUCCUCAAUCAAUUUUGCUGAAUAAACAAAAUUGAUUUUGUCGUUAUAGGUUUGUUUGAUUUCUUUGAUGCCUCUCUUUCUCGUUUUAAAGUAGCAUGUUCUUGUAACUUUUUUCACAAAGAUGAUGAUGAAAAUUUACAAGCCUUAUGGAUAUGGUCUUUAUAAAUCCAAGACCAGUACAUUAAACAUAUGAUAAAAAAUACACUCAAAACAACACACCCAUGUAAAAAGGAAUUAUAUGAACCAAAAUUUGGUCCUCAUGACUCCAAGUGAGAUCCUUUCUGACCUCUUAUACCAGAUAAAAUAGGUGAAUAUUAACACUUAAGUUGAUGUAUCUAAUUGAAUGAUUUUAAUUAGUUGAUAGUGUAAAAUUAUUUUACAUUGUCAGUCCGUUUUGAUUAAUCUCAUGAUUUAAAUAAUUAAUUAGUUAAGUAACAUUGAAAUAUAAAUUGUUUUAUCGUAAUAGAAACAAGGGUUUAUUUUUUAAUUUUUUUUUUUUUAACUAGAGAUAUAUUUCAUUAAUCAAAACAGAUAUUACAAACUUCAUAGAAUCAAGAAACAAAAAAAAAACAGAAUCUCUAGUCAUGCUCUCUGUCAAAAAACAAAAAGAAAAAAAAAAUCAAAAAAUGCCUACAGCCUUACAAACUCAACACUAUGUUCUUUAGUUUUCUAAAUUGCAUCCAUCUAGUGUAGACAAUCAUCUAGAUCUGGCGAAGAAGCUUUUGCACGUUCUGAAAUCUUCUUCUAUUUCUCCCUUUCAAAAUCAAACACCGAGUCACACUCACAACCAUUCUUCUUAAUUGAUGCAUACCACUGUUCCUAUUGUAUUGUCUUAGGAUACACUGCAUCACUAACUGCUAGUUGCUAGUAUUAAUGCUAACAUUACUCCAUUGCAAGAUACGUUUCCAAACAGCUUCAAAAUAUUCACACUUGAAGAAAAGGUGAGAAUGAAUUUCACUCUCUUUUUUACACAAAAUACACAAUUGGUCACAAAGAUACCAACUUUAUUUAACCUGUCACAAGUUGGUAAUCUAGCAUGAAUAGCUAACCAAGAACCAAACAAACAUUUUGGAGGGGCAGGGUUAUUGCAAAUCAUUUUCCUCCAACAAACUUUUGUAAAAUCUCCUCGACAUUAUACAUUUUCUUAAUAGAAAAGUUUGGUUGUUGAAGAACAUUACCAUAAGUACUUGCAAAAUUAUUUGCCGUAUCAAAGACUUUUUUUCACUACCCAUGAAGCCUGAGAAGGAGCGAGCUUCAGUAAGUAGCACAUUCCUCCCUUUUAUGUAGUAUUCAUGUACCCAUUUUACCCAUAAAACAUCCUUCUUGUUUGCCAAGUUCCAUAAAUGCUUGAUGAUAGCAGCUUGGUUCCAACAUUUCAAAUCAAUGACAUUCCAUCCACCAACUGUCUUAGGCAAACAAAUAUUCUCUCAAGCAACAAGAGAUCUUUUUGAAACAACAGAUCUAUCAGUCCCGAGAAACACUCUACAAGCAGUCUGAAUUAAUUUAAGGACUUUCUCAGGAAGAGCAAAUACUUGGCUCCAAUAUGUUUGCACACCAAACAACACUAACUUAAUAAGUUGCAAUCUACCAGCAUAGGAUAACAACUUAAAGGACCAAUUUUCAAUCCUACUAAUUAUUCUCUUCACUAAAAGGCUGACACUGCAUAACAAUAAAUUUUUUGGAGGAUAAAGGUGCUCCAAGAUAUCUAAAAGGGAGCAUUCCUUUGGUAAGAUUAAAUUUAGUGAGAAUAACCUUUUGAACACUCAGUUCUACUCCAUCAAAGUAGAUUGAGCUUUUAGCCUGGUUAGCUUUGAGUCCAGACACAAUAGAGAAUUGUUCAAAAGCUUCGAAUAACUGAGUGAUAGAUCCCACAUCACAUCUAGAAAACAACAGUAAGUCAUCAGCAAAGCAUACAUGAACUAAGUUCAACUUCUUGCACCUCGGGUGAUACAUGUAUUCUAAUAUGUUCUUUAGUAGCAGAAGACACUUAUUCAAGUAUUCCAUACAGAUUAAAAACAGGUAAGGAGAUAUGAGGUCUCCUUGUCUAAGUCCUUUCUUCGUCAGAAAAGGACUAGUCAGAUCACCAUUUACAUUGAACUUAUAAGAUGUAGUGGUAAUACAAGCCAUCACCCAAUUUACAAACUUUUAUGGAAAACCCAACUCAAACAUACUUAACAAAAGUUCAUUCGAUAGAAUCAUAGGCCUUUUGCAAGUUAAUAUUUAGCAUACAUCUUGGAGAUAUACCUUUCUUACCAUAACUUUUUACAAGUUUAUGACUUAACAUGAUAUUAUCAAAGAUUACCCCACCUUUGACAAAAGCAGACUGAUUCUCACAAACAAUGCUACUCAAGACACCUUGCAUUCUAUUUGUUAUAAUUUUAGAGAUAAUCUUAUAAAUCACAGAGCAACAAGCUAUAGGUCUAAAGUUCUUAAUAUAGGUAGCAUUUGGUACUUUAGGAAUCAGUGUCACAAAAGUAUUGUUUAUAAGUCUAGGCAUAAAUCCAGUCUUAAAGAACUCACCAAUAGCAGUAGUGACACUAUCUCCUAUAAUAUUCCAAGUAGUUAUGUAAAAAUGAACAUUGAAUCCAUCAAUACCUGGAGCUUUGGCAGAAUCCAUACCAAACAGAGCAUUUUUAACUUCAGUACUUGUGAUCUCUGAUCAAAGUAGUUCAUGUUGGUGUUGAGUUAGAAUCAUCCCUCUCAGAACGACAUUCCUAUCCAACAUAGGCAAAGAUUCAGCUGCACUUCCCAUCAACUUCAUAUAAAACCCUCUAAUCUCCUCUUUCAUGUGUUGAUAACUUUGGAUUUUAUUUCCUGCUUCUGACAUAAGAUAUUUGAUGUAGUUUUGAGAUUUUCUCUCCUUUGCAUAUGCAUUAAAGAAUUUUGUACUAGAGUCCCCCAACUGUAUCCAAUUAGCUAUUUUUGAAGUCAUGUCUUCUCUUCAAUUGUACUCCAUUUUCAAGUGAGGAUAAACAUCUCUUUUCUUCUUCAAUGAGGUCAGAGUUCAAAGGGUCUAAACUAAGAUGACUUUGGGCAGCAAUCAGCGCACUCCUACCAUCUUCCAGUUUUUUGGUAGUGCCUUGGAAAUAUAGUGUUUAGUGUAACAGCCCGAUUUUUAGCUAGAUUUAUUUUAAUUACUUUUAUUAUCUGUUUUAUGUGUUUGUGUGUGAUUAUUCAUCAUUGGGUGCAUUUUCAUGGGUUUCCAUGUUAGAAGGGUAUUUUAGUCAUUUUAGACUUAGGGGUAUUUUGGUCAUUUGGUGAGAACGGGUAAAAUUAUAAUUUUGGUGGGAAUUACUUUUAGUGAUUAGUGAGAAUAGUUAUUUUACUAAGUUACUAGAGUAAAAUUUAGAUUUUACCUUUUAGUGACCGUUAGUGACAUUUUACCGUUAUUAGUUAAUUACCGGUUAGAGUGUAGAAAUUGUGAGAUGUGAAUAGAAAUGGGUUAAGUCCACUAGAAACUAGGUUAAGCCCAUUAAGGGGUAUGCCAAAUGAGUUUGUCUUAAGAAAAUAUCACUUCAUUCAUUUCAUAAGAUAUUUUCUAGAGAGAGGUAGAGAGAGAAAGUGGUGAAGAGAAGAAAAAGGGUUGAGAAGGAGAACUUGAAGAAUCAAGAAUUGGAGUGAGCUUAGGAGCUAAAUUGAAGCCUAAGUUGGGAUUAAUCUUUACCUAAGGUAAGGGGGUUAGUCUUCAUCAUAAUCAUCAUCAUUUUGUAAAUUUUCAAAUGUUGUAUGAAUUUUUGCAUAAUGGAUAAUUGUUGCUAAAUUCAUGCUCCAACUGUGAUGAUAUGUUUGUAUGCAUGAACUGAUGAUAAUUGUAUGAUUGUUGAUGAAAUUACAUGUUCAAAUAGGAACAAAUGAUAAGUUGUGAAAAUUGUGCUCAAUUGGUGAAUUUUGCUAAGUUGUUGUUAGAUUGAGUUAUGAUUCUUGUUCAAUUGAUGUUAUGGCUGUUAAUUGAUGUUGUGGUUGAUGAAUCAUUGCUUGAGUAUGCAUAUUCAUGAAUUGAUGAUGAGAAUUUGAAUUGUUGUUGGUGUUUUGGUGAAAUUUUUGAAUUGGCCCAAUUGUCAAGUGUUUUCAAGUUUGAUUGAGUCUUUGCGAGUCUUUUUAGUCAUAUUGACCUAUAAACAUGUUCUGGAAACACAUUUGGGCAUUGAGGGAUCAAAAUUUGGGUUUUGGGGUGAAAAAUGGUUUCAACCCGUGAAAAAUUAUGUAGAAAUGAUGAUUGUUUGCUUAAGCGAAAGCGAGCUGUAAGCGAAUAGCUACUGUAAGUAGUUCGCUUAAGCGAAGACUCCUUCGCUUAAGCGAAAUGCCCUUUUGACAACAUUUCUUAUUUCGCGUUCUUGUGUCUUUUUCACAUGUUUCUGUUUUGAAUUGACAUUUGGUGUAAACAUGAAAGUUUUAGAUAAUUAUGUUAGCUUUCUAAUGGCUUUGGUUUGACUUCCAAAUGAUUUUUAGAACUUGAGUUAUGAUCAAAUUACUACACAUGGGUCAUGUGAAUUUUUGUGAAAACUUAUCAUAACUUUUUCUAUGAGUUGUGGAACUUUUCCAAACUUGAUAUUGGGUUUAAUGAAUUACUUAGAGUGAAUAAUUGAGUAUGCAUUUAUGUAUUUGGGAAUGUGAAUGUGUUGAUGGUUUGAGAUAAAUUUUGGGUGGAAUUGAAUCGGUGAAAACGGGUUUUGAGCUAAAAUGUCGUUUUAAGUGAUUACGUGAAAUAAGCUAUGUUUUAGCGAUUGAACUUGAGAUGUUAGAGUUGAAAAUGAAGUGUUAUUUUGCUGUUUUGAUUCAUAUUUUUGCUGGAACAUAUUUUGCAUGGUCAAAACUUGGAUUUUCCAAAUGGUUUGAAACAUGGUAAUUAAAACCGGACCGGACCGGCCGGUUCAACCGAUUGAACCGGGAACCGGAUCAGUGACCGAUCCGGAAGACCCUAAAAACCGUUCUGUUGUACAACCGGGAAAAGAACCGGAAAACCGGAAGAAAACCGGAAAAACCGCUCAAAACCGGCGGUUCGGACGGUUUCCUUACUUGGACCGGUUUUUUCCUUGAACAUGUCAAAACGAUUGGAUUUGGAUUAAAAAGAAUAUUAGAAGAAGAAUAAUAAAGUUCAGAUUCAUAUAUCAUAGAACCGUUCCAACCAUUAGAUUUAGAAGGUAAAACUUGAAAGAUGAAGAUGAAAUAGAAAGAAAAUAAAACGAUGAAGAUGCAACACUUGAAAGUUCAGUCUAUGAACAUAUAAUGAAAAUUGAGGGUUAGAACAAAAGGGGCUAGAAAAUGAAGAGAUUUUUUUCAAUUUAGCAAAUCGUACAAUCAGAGCAAGCACAUGAGGCUGGCGGCUCCUUAUUUCAUUUCACUGUUUCAGAAAUAGGGUUUAGAGUGGGAUUAAACCAUAUAAUGUUUUACUAGGCCCACAAUUUUAGCAAGGAAUUUUUUAUUACUUAUGUGUACC
RNAcentral lists this long non-coding RNA (146653 nucleotides) under Medicago truncatula (barrel medic). Its description in RNAcentral is "long non-coding RNA (MTRU_LNC003378)". The record is from RNAcentral. Lineage: Eukaryota; Viridiplantae; Streptophyta; Magnoliopsida; Fabales; Fabaceae.